Molecule: long non-coding RNA, 101160 nt
Filed under: Triticum aestivum (bread wheat)
Lineage: Eukaryota; Viridiplantae; Streptophyta; Magnoliopsida; Poales; Poaceae
Description: long non-coding RNA (TAES_LNC024874)
Rfam family: MIR1120/MIR1122 microRNA precursor family (bases 2545-2631)
Source: RNAcentral
UUCUUGAAGAUCAUUGAAGACACUAUUCAAAUUAUUUCGAUAUGAAAUAAUUUGCUAAUUCAAGUUAUUUUCGAUAUGAAAAUUGUUUUGCUAAUUUGUGUUAUUUUGUUAUUAAAAACGGUUUUGCUAAUUCAUCCUCGGUGUCGCCGCACUUGGCAAAGGGUCCUGGAUCUUCAGAGGGAGAAAAGCGAUUUUGGUAAGAGGGACUGCAAGUACAAAAGGAGAGUGUGACACAGUAAUUAGUCAUCCCUCGUCUCUUGACGACUUUGAAACAUGGUUUUGAUAUCAAAAUAACUUGGAUAUAGCAUUCAUAUUGAUGAAAUCAUGAAGUUGCACAGUCGUGCCAAAACUAACUUUUAUUGUUUAUUGAUAUUCACCAUAUCUUCCAAGCAUGGCGUUUUGGCACCUCGUUUAAUUCCUUAGGAUGCGCAGCAGCAUUUACCCUCUUCACAAUAGCUGUUGUCGAAACUGUAGCCAGACCAUUCACAUGAAACCUUACACAAGGUAACAUUGUAUCCUAUCGGGUUCUCGCAUAACCGGUCAGGUUUGCACACAUCAAUCAAUGCAAUUGUACCUACGCCCAAAGAAGUCCCAUUUCGGAUUAGUAAUGUAGUAUAAAUUACACAUGUUACUCAAGAAUGUCUCAAAACCUAUAGUCUGUGUAUAUUAAUACAAAAUUUGACUGGUCUAAACAAAUGAGGGUACCUUUGUUUCUCCCCGUUGCCUCGCAUGGCAACAAAGUGGUAGACAUCAUAAGAAUUACCAAACACAAGGCAUUUGUGUUGUUCUUGGUAAGUGCCAUCAGAAGUGUGGGUACCUAUUUUUUUUCCUCCCUUGCAAGAUAUUCCUUGAGGUUGAUAUUGCUUGUUCUAUUUGAGUCCUUAUUGUGGUAUUAUAUAGAGGCACUAUCACAUCUCGGAGCAUCUUCAUUUCAGGAAGAAAAUAAUGGAGAAUCCAAUGUUAGUGUUGUCAUCCUUUGUAUCUAUAUGCAUAGUCAACUCAUGUCAAUUAAUACUAUUAUAAGAGUUAUUGGAAUAUACCCAAAUAUAUUAUGUCAACAACUGGUUACUAAAUGUCUUCUUGUUCUUUAUAUACAAGACAUUAAUACUAUCAUAAGAGUUAUUGGAAUAUACAUGCCAAAAUAUAGGUUGUCGACAGCUGGUUAUUAAAUGCAUCUUUGUUUUUGGUAUAUACCAAGACAUUAAUACUAGGACCCCGUUAGUUGGGGGACAUUAGCUGGGGGUUGCUUCGAGAGAUAUCGCUGGAGUUGGCUCGAUCAAAAGAACCAAUUCCCCAACGACUUUUGCGAGUGUGGCUCCAGGCCCAAAAAAGUGGCGAACUACAACCCACUCACCACCAGUGUAAAAAUCAGUGUUCGCCUGGAAAAAACUGAAAAUAAACAAGUUUGCAUAUUAAUUAAGAAAGUAUUGGCCCAAAAAUAAUAGUGUUGGCCCAUUCAAAAAUUUGACAUGCUUUAUAUUUUUAUUUUCAAAAGAAAAUAGGAAUAACACUGGAAGUGGCCAUGACCGAAAGCAAAAAGUUUCCACAGUCUUAAUAAUAAAAUGAAUUGGGAAAUUCAUAAAAAAUGAAAAUCAAAUAAAAGUGGAUUCGGAAAAACAAAUCCUAGAUUACAAAAAAAAAGUUCACAAAUAUGGAAAAAGUUUAAUUUUUUGAAAGAAAACAUGUAUUUUGAAUAAAAAACACAAAUUUUAGAAAACUACACGGGCUUUGAUAUAUGUUCAUGAAUUUGGAUAAAGGUUCAAACAGUUGAAAAAAUGCAUGCAUUUGAAAAAGUUCGGACGCAUCUAAAAGCUUCCUAAAACUGGGGAAGGGGAGUGUCCCGCUCGGGCCUUACAUGCGUUGGCCCACUAUAUCAAACAAAGGGAGGGAGAGUAUGUGCGUUGUAACAGUAGCACUAUAAACAGCGCUGGAAGCCCCAAAUAGGAAUUAUGCAACCACAUAGACGAUUACCACAUGUGGCGGCAAUGCUACUAAUGGGACUGCCCAAGUAGCUUCAUGCAGGUUAAUUCUUUUUUUUUGCCUUUUUUUAUUCUUUGUCGUUUUUUCAUACUUUUGAAAAUAUUCAAAAUACAUAUAUUUUUCAAAAACAACAAAAUUGAUAAACAAUUACGUGGUCUAUUAAAUUUGUUAGUGUAAUUUUUAAAAACUGUUGAUAGCAUUCACAAAAAAUGUUUGUGAGAUUUAAAAAAUGUUCACAUCUUGUCAAAAUGUACUCCCUCUGAUCCAAAUUAAACAACGCAGCCGCUACACUAUAAAAAUUACAUUGUAUAGAGGUAUACAAUUACAUUGUAUAGAGGCUGCAUCAUGUAAUUCGGAUAGGAGGGUGUACGUAAUAGUUUUUUAAAUAUGCUUAUAAAAUGAAGAAAAAUGUACACAUGAUUAAAAAAAAGCAUACCAUUCAAAACAAUUCUACAUGUCAUUUCAAACAAAUGUUCCCUUGUUUCAAGAAAACUUAUGUGAUAUUCCAUUUUUAACGUUUAUACAAUGCAAAACAAAUAUACGAGUAGUAUAAAGAAAUGUUAAGUACUCCCUCCGUCCCAUAAUAUAAGAGCGUUUUUUACACUAGUGCAGUGUCAAAAACGCUCUUAUAUUAUGGGACGGAGGGAGUACCAUUGAAAAUAGUUUAUCUGACAUUUGAAAGAAAUAUGCAUGCGUUCGAAAAAAAUAUUAAUGUCAUUUAAAUAAAAAUGUGUAUACAAUGUAAAAAAAUGUAUGUGUAGUUUCAAAAAAUGUUCAACGGGUAUGUGAAAAUAUCAAGUAUUUGAAAAAAUGUACAUUGUGCAUUUGAAAAAUGUGCAAUGUGUAUAAUAAAAUGUUCAACAUGUAUACUAAAAAUAUGCAUUGUGUAUUGGAAAUAAGUAGACAUGUGUUGAAAAAAAAAUAACACAAAAAGAAGGGGAAAAAGAAAAAAAAUGAAGAAAUCCGGUAGUGAAACAAAGAAAAACAGAAAAAAACUUGGUAUUAAAAUGGUGAUUAUUCAAAUUUGAAGUUGCCAGAGUUUGACAAAACACCACAAUAUUAAUAUUUGAGUUUAUUCUAAAACUGAAGUCCCUUAAAGCAUAUAUGGGUCAGUAGUAGAACUUGUGAUAUUGGAAUUUCUCUAUAGUACAUCUAGCGGGGGGUGAUUAACAAGUGCAUACUUUAAUUAGAUUCGUUGACACCUAACUAAGUUGUUUAGUUUAUUAGAGUUCAUUUUAAUUUGAGAUGAAAGAAUGCUAAUUAUUUUAUGUCGUCAGCCCACUUGUUUAGUCCACCUGGCUAAGUUGUUUAGUUGAUGCCCAAAAGUAGUAGCAUCUUUGUUUGUGUUUCGCGAAAUCCAAUAUGUGGACAUAUCAUGUGAUAUGCUUUUAUUCUUAUAGAUGAUGACAUUCUUACUGCAUUUUGGCUAGCUCAAGGGCGAUGUAUCGCUUGGCCAUACAAGGAUGAAACUUUUUGUUCUUAUGAUUGAAUUUACCAAUGACUAUCAUGGUUGAUUGCUUGAAAAUCUUUCCUUCCAUGUAUGUAGUUGGAAGUGGACAAGUCCACGACAAAAGCAGGAACGCGUCCACAAGCUUGUUGAGGAGGUAAUAUACAUGUUUCUCUUGGCUAUUAGCUAACGAGGUCUAAGUGGGUCAUUCUUUUUUCUUGAUUGAGGUCUAUUUUUGCAUCUACUGCUCUACUUUCUCCAUAGAUGAUGCUUUUGACUAUUUGCUUCCUCACUCACCACAAUAGCAAAUCAAAUAGAAAAGAAUAAAGCUGGUUGUGGUUAUUGAUAUAGGGGGUGUUUGGUUUAAUGACGAUGUUGGAUCUGCUGAGGGUAUCCUUGUCCACCUACUUAGGGAUAGCUAACUUUUGUUGUUUGGUUGAGAGGAUAAAUGGCGAUUGGGGAUAGCCACUUUAAUGUUGGAAGGAUAGCAAGUGGAUGGAUUGUUAUGAUUAAGUCUCAGGUGAGAAUACCCCAAUAUAUGCACACGAAAUUAAAGGAAAUUCAGUUUGAAUGCAUGGCCAGGCAAAGAUAUAUGCAUCUGUGUUAAACAUAAAACCACUAUGUACAAAUUUUAUGUUCCUAAUAGUUUAAAACUAGGAAGACUAGUACGCCCAUGCGUUACUACGGGCUAGAGUGCUUAUAAAUGAAUAAAACAAAUUAUUAAGGUCAUAUCCAAGGAUUAACACUAAUUUUAUCUAUUUGCACGUUUACCAAGUGAGAUGAAUAAGUCAAACCUUGUGUCUUUGGGAUCACAGUAUUUUUCAUGAUGUCAUGUGUUGGGUGCAGAUAAUAUCAACUAGCACAUCAUGAAUUAUCAGCUUGUCGACAUAAAUGUCAUCUACUAAUUGCUUGUCAUGUACUAUACGUGUACACAAAAGUGAAAGUUAAUUAACACCCAUGGAUUUGUGUUUAUUCAAGGAAUAUAUGAACAUAUAUCAAACAGAAACCAAUGAAGCACCAAUUGUUUGCCAGAACCAGGAAUACAUAUGGAUCCGAAAUAUAACAAUACUUCCAGCCGGUCAUCACCACCAAAAACUUCAUCCAAAGUACAAGAAACAUACCCACAGGAACAGAAACAGUGGUGAUGCUUGCCUACAUCAACACUAGAGCCUAAACAUGCUCGAAAACAAUGAAAAGAAUAACACUUCUGCCAACAUCUUGAGCUGUGUACUAAGGAGUGAUGUUGCCUAAAUUGGCUCCAUCAACACCAAUUGCUUUCAAAAUCACAUUUUGAAGAAUUGGAGAUUCACAUCAAGAAUUGCAUUGAUUCUCACCCCACCUGUUGUUGGCACCUGGGUAUUGUAAAGAGUGAAAACGCUUCAUCCUUAUUAUUUGGGAUGAACGGAAACACACUAAGCAUACAUAAUUUUAUCCAAAUAGUUCGAAGCCAGCAAGAAUAUUUAGCACUAGUCUUACAAGAAUAUGUUGUGCUAAUCUAUCACUAGCAAUGUUAUAGUGGAGCCUAAAAUUUAUAAGUAGAAAAUCAUGGAAUUUUUUAUUUAGACACUAAUCAAUAGUAUCACUGGAAUUCUAAUCAUAAUCUUCUCCAAUGUUUGCACAUCAUCUUCCUCGGCUAUGAGGACACCUCACUUCCGACAGGCCAUUCAGAACAGUCCACUCUGUACCAAACUUCACUUUACCGUCCUUCAUAACCUAUGCUAACAUGUUAUAAUGGCAUAAUAAACAUACUUACAUUCUUAAUUGCAUAAUUGAAAAGAAAUCAUGAACUAGGAAAAAGAAUGACGAACCAAGCAUUAGAGAUUAGACAGACCAUGUGACAUUCAUUGGCAUGCAUGCUGGUACCUGAAGGAAAUAUGCCCUAGAGGCAAUAAUAAAGUUGUUAUUUAUAUUUCCUUAUAUCAUGAUAAAUUUUUAUUAUUCAUGCUAGAAUUGUAUUAACCGGAAACUUAGUACAUGUGUGAAUACAUAGACAAACAAAGUGUCACUAGUAUGCCUCUACUUGACUAGCUCGUUGAAUCAAAGAUGGUUAAGUUUCCUAGCCAUGGACAUGAGUUGCCAUUUGAUUAACGGGAUCACAUCAUUAGAGAAUGAUGUGAUUGACUUGACCCAUUCCGUUAGCUUAGCAUUUUAUCGUUUAGUAUAUUGCUAUUGCUUUCUUCAUGACUUAUACAUGUUCCUAUGACUAUGAGAUUAUACAACUCCCGAAUACCGGAGGAACACUUUGUGUGCUACCAAACGUCACAACGUAACUGGGUGAUUAUAAAGGUGCUCUACGGGUGUCUCCGAUGGUACUUGUUGAGUUGGCAUAGAUCGAGAUUAGGAUUUGUCACUCCGAUUGUCAGAGAGGUAUCUCUGGGCCCUCUCGGUAAUGCACAUGGCUGAGUUGUCAAUUCAACCACACCUGGAUAACUUAAUAUCUGCAGCAAAGUAUUUAGUAGCAAAGUAAUAUGGAAGUAACGGUAACGGUAGCAAAAGUAAUAUUUUUGGGUUUUGUAGUGCUUGUAACAGUAGCAACGGAAAAGUAAAUAAGCGAAGAACAAUAUGUGAAAAGCUCGUAGGCAUUGGAUCGGUGAUGGAGAAUUAUGCCGGAUGUGGUUCAUCAUGUAACAAUCAUAACAUAGGGUGACACAGAACUAGCUCCAAUUCAUCAAUGUAAUGUAGGCAUGUAUUCCGAAUAUAGUCAGACGUGCUUAUGGAAAAGAACUUGCAUGCCAUCUUUUGUCCUACCCUCCCGCGGCAGCGGGGUCCUAAUGAAAACUAAGGGAUAUUAAGGCCUCCUUUUAAUAGAGUGCCGGACCAAAGCAUUAACACAUAGUGAUAGAUGAACUCCUCAAACUAUGGUCAUCACCGGGAGUGGUCUCGAUUAUUGUCACUUCGGGGUUGCCGGAUCAUAACACAUAGUAGGUAACUAUAGACUUGCAAGAUAGGAUCAAGAACUCACAUAUAUUCAUGAAAACAUAAUAGGUUCAGAUCUGAAAUCAUGGCACUCGGGCCCUAGUGACAAGCAUUAAGCAUAGCAAAGUCAUGGCAACAUCAAUCUUAGAACAUAGUGGAUACUAGGGAUCAAACCCUCACAAAACUAACUCGAUUACAUGAUACAUCUCAUCCAACCCAUCACCAUCCAGCAAGCCUACGAUGGAAUUACUGACGCACGGCGGUGAGCAUCAUGAAAUUGGUGAUGGAGGAUGGUUGAUGAUGAUGACGGCGACAGAUCCCCCUCUCCGGAGCCCCGAACGGACUCUAGAUCAGCCCUCCUGAUAGAGUUUAGGGCUUGGCUGCGGCUCCGUAUCGUAAAACGCGAUGAAUCUUUCUCUCUGAUUUUUUCUCCCCGAACACGAAUAUAUGGAGUUGGAGUUGAGGUCGGUGGAGCUCCAGGGGACCAACGAGGCAGGGGGGCGCGCCCAGGGGGGCAGGCGCGCCCCCCACCCUCGUGGACAGGUGGUGGGCCCCCUGGCCUUGAUUCUUUCGCCAAUAUUUUUAAUAUUUUCCAAAAAUAAGUUCUGUGGAGUUUCAGGUCAUUCCGAGAACUUUUGUUUCUGUACAUAUAACACCAUGGCAAUUCUGCUGAAAACAACGUCAGUCCGGGUUAGUUCCAUUCAAAUCAUGCAAGUUAGAGUCCAAAACAAGGGCAAAAGUGUUUGGAAAAGUAGAUACGACGGAGACGUAUCAACUCCCCCAAGCUUAAACCUUUGCUUGUCCUCAAGCAAUUCAGUUGAUAAACUGAAAGUGGUAAAGAAAAAAAUUUACAAACUCUGUUUGGUCUUGUUGUUGUAAAUAUGUAAAGCCAGCAUUCAAGUUUUCAGCAAAGAUUAUAACUAACCAUAUUCACAAUAACACUUAGGUCUCAUGUUUACUCAUAUCAAUGGCAUAAUCAACUAGCGAGCAAUAAUAAUAAAUCUCGGAUGGCAACACUUUCUGAAAACAAUCAUGAUAUGAUAUAACAAGAUGGUAUCUCGCUAGCCCUUUCCGAGACCGCAAAACAUAAAUGCAGAGCACCUUUAAAGAUCAAGGACUGACUAAACAUUGUAAUUCAUGGUAAAAGAGAUCCAGUCAUAGUCAUACCCAAUAUAAAUUAAUAGUAAUGAAUGCAAAUGACAGCGGUGCUUUUUAAUAAGAGGGUGAUGACUCAACAUAAAAGUAAAUAGAUAGGCCCUUCGCAGAGGGAAGCAGGGAUUUGUAGAGGUGCCAGAGCUCGAUUUUGAAGCAGAGAUAAAUAAUAUUUUGAGCGGCAUACUUUCAUUGUCAACAUAAAAACCAAGAGAUGGCGAUAUCUUCCAUGCUACACACAUUAUAGGCGGUUCCCAAACAGAAUGGUAAAAUUUAUACUCCCCCUCCACCAACAAGCAUCAAUACAUGGCUUGCUCGAAACAACGAGUGCCUCCAACUAAUAACAAUCCCGGGGGAGUUUUGUUUGCAAUUAUUUUGAUUUGAUUUGCAUAAAGCAUGGGACUGGGCAUCCCGGUGACCAGCCAUUUUCUCGUGAGUGAGGAGCGGAGUCCACUCCUCUUGAGAAUAACCCGCCGAGCAUGGAAAAUACGGACAACCCUAGUUGAUACAUGAGCUACUCAAGCAUACAAAACAGAAUUUCAUUUGAAGAUUUAGAGUUUGGCACAUACAAAUUUACUUGGAACGGCAGGUAGAUACCGCAUGUAGGAAGGUAUAGUGGACUCAUAUGGAAUAACUUUGGGAUUUAAGGGAUUGGAUGCACAAGCAGUAUUCCCACUUAGUACAAGUGAAGGCUAGCAAAAGACUGGGAAGCAACCAACUAGAGAGCGACAACAGUCGUGAACAUGCAUUAAAAUUAAUAAACAUUGAGUGCAAGCAUGAGUAGGAUAUAAUCCACCAUGAACAUAAAUAUCGUGAAGGCUAUGUUGAUUUUGUUUCAACUACAUGCGUGAACAUGUGCCAAGUUAAGUCACUUGAAUCAUUCAAAGGAGGAUACCACCCUAUCAUACCACAUCACAACCAUUUUAAUAGCAUGUUGGCACGCAAGGUAAACCAUUAUAACUCAUAGCUAAUCAAGCAUGGCAUAAGCAACUAUAAUCUCUAAUUGUCAUUGCAAACAUGUUUAUUCAUAAUAAGCUGAAUCAGGAACGAUGAACUAAUCAUAUUUACAAAAACAAGAGAGGUCGAGUUCAUACUAGCUUCUCCCAUCUCAAUCAGUCCAUCAUAUAUCAUCAUAAUUGCCUUUCACUUGCACGACUGAACGAUGUGAAUAAUAAUAAUUGUGCACGUGCAUUGGACUAAGCUGGAAUCUGUGAGCAUUCAAUAAACAGGAGAAGACAAGGCAAUAUGGGCUCUUGGUUAAAUCAACAAUAAUGCAUAAUAAAGCCACUUCAACAAUUUUAUCAUGGUCUUCUCCUAUCGACCCCCAAAGAAAAGAAAGAAAUAAAACUAUUUACAUGGGAAAGCUCCCAACAAGCAAAAGAAGAACAUGAAAUAUUUUUGGGUUUUCUUUUAAUUAUUACUACAGCAAGAAAAGUAAACUAACUAAAAGCUACAACUAAUUUUUUUUUGGUUUUUUCUUAAGGUUUAUUAAACACACAAGAAGAAAGCGUAAAAAGAAAAUAAACUAGCAUGGAUAUUACAGUGAAAAAGUAUGAGCACCGACAUCUAGCAAUGAGUGUGUGUGAACAUGAAUGUAAUGUCGGUGAGAAUACGUACUCCCCCAAGCUUAGGCUUUCUGCCUAAGUUGGUUUAUUGCCACGGAUGGCCUGGUGGAUAUCCAAAGUUAUAGCUGGGGUCUUACUGCGAUGAAGAAGCCCCUGAUUGCCACUGGUUGGCAAUCAUCUCCGGAUCCCACUGGUAAUUAGACUGUCGUGGAGGAUCAAAUUGUGGUUCCGGCUCUGGCUCUGUAGCUGACCUAGGGUUCCGGUAGGCGUGAAUGGCCGCCAGCGGAACGAGAUACUGGCCUGCAGAUAAAUCAAACAAGGAAGGAGCAGGCAAGGUAAUAGUCUCAGGGUGAUGUUUAUCAAAGAACAAUUUGUAUUUAAGCGCCCUUUCCCUGUUCUUAACAAUAAAAUCAUGCGCUACCAUACUCUUAUAAUCUAAAUAAACAGUGGGCAGCAAUUUUUCUUAUUUUUCAUAGUGCCUAAUGGGUAUGUUAUAAUAUGUAGCAAGGCGUGAAGCAUAGACACCUCCAAAGAUGGGGCCCUUUGUACGGUUCAGACUUAAACGUUUGGCAAUAAUACCGCCCAUACUAAUAGAGUCAUCACGGAAUAACCCAUGGAACAAAAUAAUAAUAUCAGGAACGCUAAGGUUUCCACAGUUCCGUGACCAAUUAAGCAACGGCUAGCAAAUAUUGCAAAGUAGCAUAAAACAGGAAAAUGUAUGCUAGUGAUUCUUGCAUCGGAAACCUUCCUAGUUUCCCCUACAGUAAUAGUAUCAAUAAACCCGUCCACAUCUUUACGAUGUGGUUCCUCUAAGCUACCCUCGAAAGGUAUUUUGCAAACCCUGCAAAAUUCAUCUAGUGACAUCUUCUUAACCACAUCAUAUAAAUGAAACUCUACCGAAGGAGGUGAUUCCUUAGGAUAAUAGUAGAAGUUUUGCACAAAAGUGCUGGUGAGUAUGAGAUACUGUUCGCGUUGGUCGCGGAGGAAGUCGGUGAGGCCUGCAUUCUCGGCCAAUUCAUAAAAAUCAUCAUAAAUCCCGGCUGCUCUCAAGAAAUCAUCGGAACGCCAUUCACACGGCCGAACCUCCGCGGUGCGAGGCAGAUUAUAUCUGGGCCUCUCUGCUUCUUCACUUUGCUUUUCCUUCGAGCUUCGGCUCGCUGAGCCCCUCAAAAAUCUCUUCAUUAUUUUCUGAAAAAUUCUGAAAUUUUUAGUAACUUCAAAUAAAAGUGAACCAAGCUCAACAAAAUUGAUAGCAACUACUCCCACAAGUGCCUAGAGACUAUAUCAUGCAUUAGAACUACUUGGAACCAUAUAAAUUUGACACGCAAGCUCAAGAACAUGGUCACCUAGGCAGCACAAAUUUGCUAUGAAUAAAGCACUAGAACAAAAACUAAUUGGACCAAUGGAGGAGUCACAUACCAAAGAACAAUCCCCCAAAGCAGUUUUGUGAGAGGUGCUUUGAGCAAGGAGAUCGAAAAUCGCAGCAAAAUGAGCUAGAACUCGUGCUUGAGCUGGAUGGUGAUUUUUUGGGGAGGAAGAAGAAGUGUGUGGGUGCAUGAAUAAGUGGAGGGGAGCCACCAUGGGCCCACGAGGCAGGGGGCACGCCCUGGACCCUCGUGGCCAGGUGCUUGCUCCCCUGCUGUGUUCUCAGUGCCAGAUAUUCUCAAAUAUUCCAGAAAAAAUCAUAUUAAAUUGGCAAGGCAUUUGGAGAACUUUUAUUUUUGGGGUAUUUUUAUAUUGCACGGAUAAUUCAGAAAACUGACAGGAAAAUACUAAUUUUACUUUAUUUCGACUAAAUAACAGAAAGUAGAGAGAGGGUACAGAAGGUUGUGCUUUGUAACUUCAUCCAUCUCAUGCUCAUCAAAAGGAAUCCACUAACAAGGUUGAUCAAGUCUUGUUAACAAAUUCAUUCCGAAUAACUUGGAACCGGAGAAAUUCCGAAUGACACUAUGUUACCUCAACGGGGAUAUGCACAUCCCCAAUAAUAAGAAUAUCAUAUUUCUUCUUGACAGUAGGAAGAGGAAAUUCAAAACCUCCAAAAAUAAUCGAUGGAAUUUUUUCAAUAGAAUUGAUACUAUGGACCUGAGGUUGUUUCCUCGGAAAGUGUACCGUAAGCUCAUUACCAUUAACAUGAAAAGUGACCUUGCCUUUGUUGCAAUCAAUAGCAGCCCCUGCAGUAUUCAAAAAGGGUCUUCCAAGAAUAAUAGACAUACUAUCGUCCUCGGGAAUAUCAAGAAUAACAAAGUCCGUUAAAAUAGUAACGUUUGCAACCACAACAGGCACAUCCUCGCGAACGGGCCUGUAGCCUAGUGGUUGCAGCGACCUUAGUAGCACCCCAGGUCCUGGGUUCGACUCCCAGUGGGAGCGGAUUUAAACAGGCCUGGGCAAAAAUUUCUCGAAUAGAAGGACUGUGGGGCUGUUGCUCUGGAGUAGAUAGUCAAAAAAAUAGGCACAUCCUUACAAAUACCGACAGGUAUAGCAGUUGAUUUAUCAGCCAUUUGCAAAUAUAUUUCAGUAGGUGUCAACUUAUUCAAAUCAAGUCUACGAUAUAAAGAGAGAGGCAUAACACUAACACCGGCUCCAAGAUCACACAAAGCAGUUUUAACAUAGUUUCUUUUAAUGGAGCAUGGUAUAGUUGGUACUCCUGGAUCUCCUAGUUUCUCUGGUAUUCCACCCUUAAAAGUAUAAUUAGCAAGCACGGUGGAAAUUUCAGCUUCCGGUAUCUUUCGCUUAUUAGUAACAAUUUCUAUCAUAUACUUAGCAUAAGGAUUCAUUUUGAGCAUAUCAAUUAAUCGCAUACGCAAGAAGAUAGGUCUAAUCAUUUCAGCAAAGCGCUGAAAAUCCUCAUCAUCCUUUUUCUUGGAUGGUUUGGGAGGGAAAGGCAUGGGUUUCUGAACCCAUGGUUCUCUUUCUUUACCGUGUUUCCUAGCAACAAAGUCUCUCUUAUCAUAACGUUGAUUCUUUGAUUGUGGGUUAUCAAGAUCAACCGCGGGUUCAAUUUCUACAUCAUUGUCAUUGCUAGGUUGAGCAUCAACAUGAACAUCAUCAUUAACAUUAUCACUAGUUUCAUGUUCAUUACCAGAUUGUGUUUCAGCAUCAGAAAUAGAAACAUCAUUGGAAUUCUCAGGUGUGUCAGCAACAGGUUCACUAGAAGCAUGCAAAGUCCUAUCAUUUUUCUUUUUCUUCUUUUUAGAAGGAGUAGGUGCAUCAAUAUUAUUUCUCUGAGAAUCUUGCUCAAUUCUCUUAGGAUGGCCUUCAGGAUACAAAGGUUCCUGAGUCAUUUUACCAGUUCUAGUAGCCACUCUAACAGCAUAGUCAUUAUUUUUACUAUUCAAUUCAUUGAGCAAAUCAUUCUGAGCUUUAAGUACUUGUUCUACUUGAGUGGUAACCAUAGAAGCAUGUUUACUAAUGAGUUUAAGUUCACCUUUAACUCUAGACAUAUAAUCACCCAAGUGUUCAAUCAUAUAAGCAUUUUGUUUUAAUUGUCUACCAAAAUAAGCAUUAAAAUUUUCUUGUUUAACAAUAAAAUUGUCGAACUCAUCCAAACAUUAGCUAGCAAACUUAGUAGGAGGGAUUUCAGCUUUAUCAUAUCUAUAGAGAGAAUUUACCUUUACUACCUGUGUCAGGUUAUCAAGAUCAUGAGUUUCUUCAAUAGGUGAUGGAUUAAGACCAUAUAUUUCUUCAACAGGCGGUAAAUUAAGACCAUGUAUUUCUUUAAUAGGAGGUAAAUUCUUAACAUCUUCAGCUUUAAUACCUUUUUCUUUCAUAGAUUUCUUUGCCUCUUGCAUAUCUUCAGGACUGAGAAAUAGAACACCCCUCUUGUUUGGAGUUGGCUCUAGAGUUGGUUCAGGAACUGUCCAAUUAUUUUCAUUGGUCAACAUAUUAUUCAAUAGAAUUUCAACUUCAUCUGGUGUUCUUUCCCUGAAAACAGAACCGGCACAACUGUCCAGGUAAUCUUUGGAAGCAUCGGUUAGUCCAUUAUAAAAGAUAUCAAGUAUUUCAUUUUUCUUAAGAGGAUGAUCAGGCAAAGCAUUAAGUAAUUGGAGAAGCCUCCCGCAAGCUUGUGGGAGACUCUCUUCUUCAAUUUGCACAAAAUUAUAUAUAUCCCUUAAAGCAGCUUGUUUCUUAUGAGCAGGGAAAUAUUUAGCAGAGAAGUAAUAAAUCAUAUCCUGGGGACUACGCACACAACCAGGAUCAAGAGAGUUGAACCAUAUCUUAGCAUCACCCUUUAAUGAGAACGGAAAUAUUUUAAGGAUAUAAAAGUAGCGGGUUCUCUCAUCAUUAGUGACACAGGGUGGCUAUAUCAUUUAAUUUAGUAAGAUGUGCCACAACAUUUUCAGAUUCAUAGCCAUAGAAAGGAUCAGAUUCAACCAAAGUAAUUAUAUCAGGAUCAAUAGAGAAUUCGUAAUCCUUAUCAGUAACAAAGAUAGGUGAAGUAGCAUAAGCAGGAUCAUAUUUCAUUCUAGCAUUUAGAGUUUUUUGUUUAAGCUUAGCUAAUAAUUUCUUAAGAUCACUUCUAUCAUUGCAAGCAAGAAAGUCUCCUUUAGUUUCUUCAUCCAUAACAUAGCCCUCAGGCACAAUAGGCAAUUCAUAUUUAUUAGGGAGAGAGUCUUCAUCAUCACUAUCAUCAAUAUUAUCAGUUUCAAUAAUUUCAUUCUCUCUAGCCCUAGCAAGUUGUUCAUUAAGAAAUUCACCAAGUGGCACAUUAGUAUCAAGCAUAGAAGUAGUUUCAUCAUAAGUAUCAUGCAUAGCAGAAGUGGCAUCAUCAAUAACAUGCGACAUAUCAGAAUUAAUAGCAGAAGCAGGUUUAGGUGUCGCAAGCUUACUCAAAAGAGAAGGUGAAUCAAGUGCAGAGCUAGAUGGCAGUUCCUUACCUCCCCUCGUAGUUGAGGGAUAAAUUUUUGUUUUCUCGUCUUUCAAGUUCCUCAUAGUGACCAGCAGAUAUAAAUCCCAAGUGACUCAAAGAAUAGAGCUAUGCUCCCCGGCAACGGCGCUAGAAAAUAGUCUUGAUAACCCACAAGUAUAGGGGAUCGCAACCGUUUUCGAGGGUAGAGUAUUUAACCCAAAUUUAUUGAUUCGACACAAGGGGAGCCAAAGAAUAUUCUCAAGUAUUAGCAGCUGAGUUGUCAAUUCAACCACACCUGGAUAACUUAAUAUAUGUAGCAAAGUAUUUAGUAGCAAAGUAAUAUGGAAGUAACGGUAAUGGUAGCAAAAGUAAUAUUUUUGGGUUUUGUAGUGAUUGUAACAGUAGCAACGGAAAAGUAAAUAAGCGAAGAACAAUAUGUGAAAAGCUCAUAGGCAUUGGAUCGGUGAUGGAGAAUUAUGCCGGAUGUGGUUCAUCAUGUAACAACCAUAACAUAGGGUGACAUAGAACUAGCUCCAAUUCAUCAAUGUAAUGUAGGCAUGUAUUCCGAAUGUAGUCAUACGUGCUUAUGGAAAAGAACUUGCAUGACAUCUUUUGUCCUACCCUCCCGUGGCAGCGGGGUCCUAAUGGAAACUAAGGGAUAUUAAGGCCUCCUUUUAAUAGAGUACUGGACCAAAGCAUUAACACAUAGUGGAUACAUGAACUCCUCAAACUAUGGUCAUCACCGGGAGUGGUCCCGAUUAUUGUCACUUCGGGGUUGCCGGAUCAUAACACAUAGUAGGUGACUAUAGACUUGCAAGAUAGGAUCAAGAACUCACAUAUAUUCAUGAAAACAUAAUAGGUUUAGAUCUGAAAUCAUGGCACUCGGGCCCAGACAAGCAUUAAGCAUAGCAAAGUCAUAGCAACAUCAAUCUCAGAACAUAGUGGAUACUAGGGAUCAAACCCUAACAAAACUAACUCGAUUACAUGAUAAAUCUCAUCCAACCCAUCACCGUCCAGCAAGCCUACAAUGGAAUUACUCACGCACGGCGGUAAGCAUCAUGAAAUUGGUGAUGGCGGAUGGUUGAUGAUGACGACGGCGACGGAUCCCCCUCUCCGGAGCCCCGAGCGGACUCCAGAUCAGCCCUCCCGAGAGAGUUUAGGGCUUGGUGGCGGCUCUGUAUCGUAAAACGCGAUGAAUCUUUCUCUUUGAUUUUUUUCUCCCCGAACACGAAUAUAUGGAGUUGGAGUUGGAGUUGAGGUCGGUGGAGCUCCAGGGGGCCCACGAGGCAGGGGGCGCGCCCCCCACCCUCGUGGACAGGUGGUGGGCCCCCUGGCCUUGAUUCUUUCGCCAAUAUUUUUAAUAUUUUCCAAAAAUAAGUUCCGUGGAGUUUCAGGUCAUUCCGAGAACUUUUGUUUCUGCACAUAAAUAACACCAUGGCAAUUCUGCUGAAAACAGCGUCAGUCCGGGUUAGUUCCAUUCAAAUCAUGCAAGUUAGAGUCCAAAACAAGGGCAAAAGUGUUUGGAAAAGUAGAUACGACGGAGACGUAUCACACAUCACUAUAAGCCUUGCAAGCAAUGCAACUAAUGAGUUAGUUGCGGGAUGAUGCAUUACGGAACGAGUAAACAGACUUGCCGGUAACGAGAUUGAACUAGGUAUUGGAUACCGACGAUCGAAUCUUGGGCAAGUAACAUACCGAUGACAAAGGGAACAACGUAUGUCUUCGUAGAAUAUGUAGGAGCCAAUAUGAGCAUCCAGGUUCCGCUAUUGGUUAUUGACUAGAGACAUGUCUCGGUCAUGUCUACAUAGUUCUCAAACCCGUAGGGUCCGCACGCUUAACGUUCGGUGACGAUCGGUAUUAUGAGUUUAUGUGUUUUGAUGUACCGAAGAUAGUUCGGAGUCCCCGAUAUGAUCACAGACAUGACGAGGAGUCUCAAAAUGGUCGAGACAUAAAGAUUGAUAUAUUGGACGGAUAUAUUCGGACACCGGAAGUGUUCCGGAGAAGUUUCGGAGAAAACUGGAGUGCCGGAGGGGUUACCGGAACCCCCCGGGGAAGUAUUGGGCCUUAGUGGGCCUGAGGAGAGAGAGAGGGCAGCAGCCGAGGAGGUGGCGCGCCCCCUCACAUGAGGAGUCGGAAUUGGACUAGGGGAGGGGGGUGCGGCCCCUCUUUCCCUCUCCCUCUCCCUCUCCUUCCUUCCCCCUUCCCCCUUCCUGGUAGGACUAGGAAAGGAUGAGUCCUACUCCUACUAGGGGCGCACCAAGGCCGGCCGGCCGCCCCCCUUUCUCCUUUAUAUACGUGGGCGGGGGGGCACCCUAAGACACACAAGUUGAUUGUUCCAAGCCGUGUGCGGUGCCCCCCUCCACCAUAUUCCACCUCGGUCAUAUUGUAGCGGUGCUUAGGCGAAGCCCUGUGUCGGUAACUUCAUCAUCACCGUCAUCACGCCGUCGUGCUGACGAAACUCUCCCUCGGCCUCAACUGGAUCAAGAGUACGAGGGACGUCAUCGAGCUGAGGGUGUGCUGAACACGGAGGUGCCAUAGGUUCGGUGCUAGGAUCGGUCGGAUCGUGAAGACGUACGACUACAUCAACCGCGUUGAUAUAACGCUUCUGCUUUCGGUCUACGAGGGUACGUGGACACACUCUCCCCGCUCGUUGCUAUGCAUCACCAUGAUCUUGCGUGUGCAUAGGAUUUUUUUUGGAAUUACUACGUUCCCCAACAGUGCCAUCCGAGCCAGGUUUAUGCGUAGAUGUUAUAUGCACGAGUAGAACACAAGUGAGUUGUGGGCUAUACAAGUCAUACUGCUUACCAGCAUGUCAUACUUUGAUUCGGUGGUAUUGUUGGAUGAAGCGGCCCGGACCGAUAUUACGUGUACGCUUACGUGAGACUGGUUCUACCGACGUGCUUUGCGCACAGGUGGCUGGCGGGUGUCAGUUUCUCCAACUUUAGUUGAAUCGAGUGUGGCUACGUCCGGUCCUUGUGAAGGUUAAAACAGCACAUACUUGACGAAAUAUCGUUGUGGUUUUGAUGCCUAGGUAAGAACGGUUCUUGCUCAGCUCAUAGCAGCCACGUAAAACUUGCAACAACAAAGUAGAGGACGUCUAACUUGUUUUUGCAGGGCAUGCUGUGAUGUGAUAUGGUCAAGACAUGAUGCUAAAUUUUAUUAUAUGAGAUGAUCAUGUUUUGUAGCAAAGUUAUCGGCAACUGGCAGGAGCCAUAUGGUUGUCGCUUUAUUGUAUGAAAUGCAAUCGCCAUGUAAUUGCUUUACUUUAUCUCUAAGCGGUAGCGAUAGUCGUAGAAGCAAUAGUUGGUGAGACGACAACGAUGCUACGAUGGAGAUCAAGGUGUCGUGCCGGUGACGAUGGUGAUCAUGACGGUGCUUUGGAGAUGGAGAUCAAAGGCACAAGAUGAUGAUGGCCAUAUCAUAUCACUUAUAUUGAUUGCAUGUGAUGUUUAUCUUUUAUGCAUCUUAUUUUGCUUAGAUCAACGGUAGCAUUAUAAGAUGAUCUCUCACUAAAUUUCAAGGUAUAAGUGUUCUCCCUGAGUAUGCACCGUUGCGAAAGUUCGUCGUGCCGAGACACCACGUGAUGAUCGGGUGUGAUAAGCUCUACGUUCACAUACAACGGGUGCAAGCCAGUUUUGCACACGUAGAAUACUCGGGUUAAACUUGAUGAGCCUAGCAUAUGCAGAUAUGGCCUCGGAACACUGAGACCGAAAGGUCGAGCGUGAAUCAUAUAGUAGAUAUGAUCAACAUAGUGAUGUUCACCAUUGAAAACUACUCCAUCUCACAUGAUGAUCGGACAUGGUUUAGUUGAUAUGGAUCACGUGAUCACUUAAAUGAUUAGAGGGAUGUCUAUCUAAGUGGGAGUUCUUAACUAAUUUGAUUAAUUGAACUUAAAAUUAUCAUGAACAUAGUACCUUAUAGUAUUUUGCAUGUCUAUGUUGUUGUAGAUAGAUGGCCCGUGCUGUUGUUCCAUUGAAUUUUAAUGCAUUCCUUGAGAAAGCAAAGUUGAAAGAUGAUGGUAGCAAUUACACGGACUGGGUCCGUAACUUAAGGAUUAUCCUCAUUGCUGCACAGAAGAAUUACGUCCUGGAAGCACCGCUAGGUGCCAAACCCGUUGCAGGAGCAACGCCAGAUGUUAUGAACGUCUGGCAGAGCAAAGCUGAUGACUACUCGAUAGUUCAGUGUGCCAUGCUUUACGGCUUAGAACCGGGACUUCAACGACGUUUUGAACGUCAUGGAGCAUAUGAGAUGUUCCAGGAGUUGAAGUUAAUAUUUCAAGCAAAUGCCCGGAUUGAGAGAUAUGAAGUCUCCAAUAAGUUCUAUAGCUGCAAGAUGGAAGAGAAUAGUUCUGUCAGUGAGCAUAUACUCAGAAUGUCUGGGUAUAACAAUCACUUGAUUCAACUGGGAGUUAAUCUUCCGGAUGAUAGUGUCAUUGACAGAAUUCUUCAAUCACUGCCACCAAGCUACAAGAGCUUUGUGAUGAACUAUAAUAUGCAAGGGAUGGAUAAGACGAUUCCCGAGCUCUUCACAAUGCUAAAGGCUGCGGAGGUAGAAAUCAAGAAGGAGCAUGAAGUGUUGAUGGUUAACAAGACCACCAGUUUCAAGAAGAAGGGUAAAGGGAAGAAAGGGAAAUUCAAGAAGAACAGCAAGCAAGUUGCUGCUCAAGUGAAUAAGCCCAAGGCUGGACCUAAGCCUGAGACUGAGUGCUUCUACUGCAAAGGGACUGGUCACUAGAAGCGGAACUGCCCCAAGUAUUUGGCGGAUAAGAAGGAUGGCAAGGUGAACAAAGGUAUAUGUGAUCUACAUGUUAUUGAUGUGUACCUUACUAAUGCUCGCAGUAGCACCUGGGUAUUUGAUAUUGGUUCUGUUGCUAAUAUUUGCAACUCGAAACAGGGACUACGGAUUAAGCGAAGAUUGGCUAAGGACGAGGUGACAAUGCGCGUGGGAAAUGGUUCCAAAGUCGAUGUGAUCGCAGUCGGCACGCUACCUCUACAUCAACCUUGGGGAUUAGUUUUAGACCUGAAUAAUUGUUAUUUGGUGCCAGCGUUGAGCAUGCACAUUAUAUCUAGAUCUUGUUUGAUGCGAGACGGUUAUUCAUUUAAAUCAGAAAAUAAUGGUUGUUUUAUUUAUAUGAGUAAUAUCUUUUAUGGUCAUGCACCCUUGAAGAGUGGUCUAUUUAUAUUGAAUCUCGAUAGUAGUGAUGCACAUAUUCAUAAUAUUGAAGCCAAAAGAUGCAGAGUUCAUAAUGAUAGUGCAACUUAUUUGUGGCACUGCCGUUUAGGUCAUAUUGGUGUAAAGCGCAUGAAGAAACUCCAUUCUGAUGGACUUUUGGAAUCACUUGAUUAUGAAUCACUUGGUACUUGCGGACCAUUCCUCAUGGGCAAGAUGGCUAAAACGCCGUUCUCCGGAACAAUGGAGCGAGCAACAGAUUUGUUGGAAAUCAUACAUACAGAUGUAUGUGGUCCGAUGAAUGUUGAGGCUCGCGGCAGAUAUCGUUAUUUUCUCACCUUCACAGAUGAUUUGAGCAGAUAUGGGUAUAUCUACUUAAUGAAACAUAAGUCUGAAACAUUUGAAAAGUUCAAAGAAUUUCAUAGUGAAGUGGAAAAUCGUCGGAACAAGAAAAUAAAGUUUCUACGAUCUGAUCGUGGAGGAGAAUAUUUGAGUUACGAGUUUGGUCUUCAUUUGAAACAAUGCGGAAUAGUUUCGCAACUCACGCCACCCGGAACACCACAACGUAAUGGUGUGUCCGAACGUCGUAAUCGUACUUUACUAGAUAUGGUGCGAUCUAUGAUGUCUCUUACUGAUUUACCGCUAUCGUUUUGGGGUUAUGCUUUAGAGACGGUUGCAUUCACGUUAAAUAGGGCACCAUCUAAAUCCGUUGAGAUGACGCCUUAUGAACUAUGGUUUGGCAAGAAACCAAAGUUGUCGUUUCUUAAAGUUUGGGGCUGCGAUGCUUAUGUGAAAAAGCUUCAACCUGAUAAGCUCGAACCCAAAUCAGAGAAAUAUGUCUUCAUAGGAUACCCAAAGGAGACUGUUGGGUACAACUUCUAUCACAGAUCCGAAGGCAAGAUAUUCGUUGCUAAGAAUGGAUCCUUUCUAGAGAAGGAGUUUCUCUCGAAAGAAGCGAGUGGGAGGAAAGUAGAACUUGAUGAGGUAACCGUACCUACUCCCUUAUUGGAAAGUAGUUCAUCACAGAAAUCUGUUCCUGUGACUCCUACACCAAUUAGUGAGGAAGCUGAUGAUGAUGAUCAUGUAACUUCAGAUCAAGUUUCUACCGAAUCUCGUAGGUCAACCAGAGUAAGAUUCGCACCAGAGUGGUACGGUAAUCCUGUUCUGGAGUUCAUGUUACUUGACCAUGACAAACCUAUGAACUAUGAGGAAGCGAUGAUGAGCCCAGAUUCCGCGAAAUGGCUUGAGGCCAUGAAAUCUGAGAUGGGAUCCAUGUAUGAGAACAAAGUGUGGACUUUGGUUGACUUGCCCGAUGAUCGGCAAGCCAUCGAGAAUAAAUGGAUCUUCAAGAAGAAGACUGACGCUGACGGUAAUGUUACUGUCUACAAAGCUCGACUUGUCGCGAAAGGUUUUCGACAAGUUCAAGGGGUUGACUACGAUGAGACUUUCUCACCCGUAGCGAUGCUUAAGUCCGUCCGAAUCAUGUUAGCAAUUGCCGCAUUUUACGAUUAUGAAAUUUGGCAAAUGGAUGUAAAGACUGCAUUCCUGAAUGGAUUUCUGGAAGAAGAGUUGUAUAUGAGGCAACCCGAAGGUUUUAUCGAUCCAAAGGAUGCUAACAAAGUGUGCAAGCUCUAGCGAUCCAUCUAUGGACUGGUGCAAGCAUCUCGGAGUUGGAAUAAACGUUUUCACAGUGUAAUCAAAGCAUAUGGUUUUAUACAGACUUUUGGAGAAGCCUGUAUUUACAAGAAAGUGAGUGGGAGCUCUGUAGCAUUUCUAAUAUUAUAUGUGGAUGACAUAUUGAUGAUUGGAAAUGAUAUAGAAUUUCUGGAUAGCAUAAAAGGAUACUUGAACAAGAGUUUUUCAAUGAAAGACCUCGGUGAAGCUGCUUAUAUAUUGGGCAUCAAGAUCUAUAGAGAUAGAUCAAGACGCUUAAUUGGACUUUCACAAAGCACAUACCUUGAUAAAGUUUUUUGAAGAAGUUCAAAAUGGAUCAAGCAAAGAAAGGGUUCUUGCCUGUGUUACAAGGUGUGAAGUUGAGUCAGACUCAAUGCCCGGCCACUGCAGGAGAUAGAGAGAAAAUGAAAAUUGUUCCCUAUGCUUCAGCCAUAGGCUCUAUCAUGUAUGCAAUGUCGUGUACCAGACCUAAUGUGUGCCUUGCUAUAAGUUUAGCAGGGAGGUACCAAAGUAAUCAAGGAGUGGAUCACUGGAUAGCAGUCAAGAACAUCCUGAAAUACCUGAAAAGGACUAAGGGUAUGUUUCUCGUUUAUGGAGGUGACAAAGAGCUCAUCGUAAAUGGUUACAUCGAUGCAAGCUUUGACACUGAUCCGGAUGACUCUAAGUCACAAACAGGAUACAUGUUUAUAUUGAACGGUGGAGCUGUCAGUUGGUGCAGUUCUAAGCAAAGCGUUGUGGCAGGAUCUACGUGUGAAGCGAAGUACAUAGCUGCUUCGGAAGCAGCAAAUGAAGGAGUCUGGAUGAAGGAGUUCAUAUCCGAUCUAGGUGUCAUACCUAGUGCAUCGGGUCCAAUGAAAAUCUUUUGUGACAAUGCCGGUGCAAUUGCCUUGGCAAAGGAAUCCAGAUUUCACAAGAGAACCAAGCACAUCAAGAGACGCUUCAAUUCCAUCCACGAUCUAGUCAAGGAGGGAGACAUAGAGAUUUGAAAGAUACAUACAGAUCUGAAUGUUGCAGACCCGUUGACUAAGCCCCUCUCACGAGCAAAACAUGAUCAGCACCAAGACUCCAUGGGUGUUAGAAUCAUUACUGUGUAAUCUAGAUUAUUGACUCUAGUGCAAGUGGGAGACAUAAGGAAAUAUGCACUAGAGGCAAUAAUAAAGUUGUUAUUUAUAUUUCCUUAUAUCAUGAUAAAUGUUUAUUAUUCAUGCUAGAAUUGUACUAACCGGAAACUUAGUACAUGUGUGAAUACAUAGACAAACAGAGUGUCACUAGUAUGCCUCUACUUGACUAGCUCGUUGAAUCAAAGAUGGUUAAGUUUCCUAGCCAUGGACAUGAGUUGUCAUUUGAUUAACGGGAUCACGUCAUUAGAGAAUGAUGUGAUUGACUUGACCCAUUCCUUUAGCUUAGCAUUUGAACGUUUAGUAUAUUGCUAUUGUUUUCUUCAUGACUUAUACAUGUUCCUAUGACUAUGAGAUUAUGCAACUCCCGAAUACUGGAGGAACACUUUGUGUGCUACCAAACGUCACAACGUAACUGGGUGAUUAUAAAGGUGCUCUACAGGUGUCUCCGAUGGUACUUGUUGAGUUGGCAUAGAUCGAGAUUAGGAUUUGUCACUCCGAUUGUCGGAGAGGUAUCUCUGGGCCCUCUCGGUAAUGCACAUCACUAUAAGCCUUGCAAGCAAUGCAACUAAUGUGUUAGUUGCGGGAUGAUGCAUUACGGAACGAGUAAAGAGACUUGCCGGUAACGAGAUUGAACUAGGUAUUGGAUACCGACGAUCCAAUCUCGGGCAAGUAACAUACCGAUGACAAAGGGAACAACGUAUGUUGUUGUGUGGUUUGACCGAUAAAGAUCUUCGUAGAAUAUGUAGAAGCCAAUAUGAGCAUCCAGGUUCCGCUAUUGGUUAUUGACCGGAGACGUGUCUCGGUCAUGUCUACACAGUUCUCGAACCUGUACGGUCCACACACUUAACGUUCGGUGACGAUUGGUAUUAUGAGUUUAUGUGUUUUGAUGUACCGAAGAUAGUUCGGAGUCGUGGAUAUGAUCACAUACAUGACGAGGAGUCUCAAAAUGGUCGAGACAUAAAGAUUGAUAUAUUGGACGGAUAUAUUCGGACAUCGGAAGUGUUCCGGAGAAGUUUCGGAGAAAACCGGAUUGCCGGAGGGGUUACCGGAACCGCCCGGGGAAGUAUUGGGCGUUAGUGGGCCUGAGGGGAGAGAGAGGGCAGCAGCCCAGGAGGUGGCGCACCCCCUUCCAUGAGGAUUCCUAAUUGGACUAGGGGAGGGGGGCGCGGCCCCUCUUUCCCUCUCCCUCUUCCUCUCCUUCCUUCCCCCUUCCCCCUUCCUAGUAGGACUAGGAAAGGAUGAAUCCUACUCCUACUAGGAGGAGGAUUCCUCCUCUCCUUGAGGCGCACCAAGGCCGGCCAGCCUCCCCCCUUGCUCCUUUAUAUACGGGGGCGGGGGGGCACCCUAAGACACACAAGUUGAUUGUUCCAAACCAUGUGCAGUGCCCCCCUCCACCAUAUUCCACCUCGGUCAUAUCGUAGUGGUGAUUAGGCGAAGCCCUGCGUCGGUAACUUCAUCAUCACCGUCAUCACGCCGUCGUGCUGACGAAACUCUCCCUCGGCCUCAACUGGAUCAAGAGUACGAGGGACGUCAUCGAGCUGAACGUGUGCUGAACACGGAGGUGCCAUACGUUCAGUGCUAGGAUCGGUCGGAUCGUGAAGAUGUAGGACUACAUCAACCGCGUUGAUAUAAUGCUUCCGCUUUCGGUCUACGAAGGUACGUGGACACACUCUCCCCGCUCGUUGCUAUGCAUCACCAUGAUCUUGCGUGUGCGUAGGAUUUUUUUUUUGAAAUUACUACGUUCCCCUAGAGUACCUUAGGACGUCCUAUAGGUAUAAUCAUGUCACUUCUAGGGAUAAGCCUACUAGGACAUACCCGCGCUACUACUAAUUACGUUAGCAACAGUGUGUGUGGGGUCUGACUUGCGCUACUACUAACUAGGUGUAGCGAGGGCUUGAACCCCGCACCACUACUAACUCUAUGUAUUUCAUUUCCGCAUAUUUAUAUUGUACUUAUGCAACAAUUACACAAAUUUUUAUACAGUUCAAUAUACACAUACAUCAUUGAUACAGCAAUGUCUCAUGAUCAACAUAGUGAUAAAAGAAUGUCUCAUCAACAUCGUAAUGAUAUAAAAUUGUCUCAUCAUCAUCCUAGUGAUAUAACAAUUGAUCAUCUCAUAAUGAUAUGACAAUGUCUCAUCAUCAUCAUCAUCAUCAGAAGUUAACCACUAGCUAAUUGUUAUCAUCCUAGGUAAAUAACUUCCGAGCACAUGAAAAGUACUAGGACCUACUCCUGUCUCUUAGGAAUAACAGAAUAAAACAGAAAACCCCCUCCAUCUCCAUGAUGCACCAUAGAUAUCCACCGGUCUCCAAUUUUGGCAUGCGCUCAUUCACAAUUUGCCUCCAUCCAUCGAUUUGGAGGCAUCCAUUUGGUCGACGUUCAGUCGAGUAUGUAUAUUUGAAACUGGUAUUCAAAGGGAAAACAAUAGUCAUCUCCCCUUCGACGUCCAUCAGCGGAGGCACGCCAACAUUUGGGAGCCUCUGUUGAAGAACAUAAUAGUAUCAUAGUUAGCGAUGUACUUUACUUAAGAAGAAUGUAUGAAAAAGAUAGAAAAGAGAGGGCGUUUUGGCACAUACGAGCAUAUGCUCCAAGUUUUUAAAAUGUGCUCUAAACGUAUUUUGAAUGCCACAAAAUUCCAAAAAAAAUGUUUUGUGCCUACAUCUUGACAUUCUACGUACUCACAAACUCGUUUCGCGAAAAAUCGAUAAUUUUUUUGUCACGUGUGAAAAAGACAAAAUUCAGUGUUAGAAAGGGCUUUUCAUGAGAAAUUUCUUUGCCACACAAAAUGCCGGUUUCCCACAAAACUUGGCGUGCACACAUAGAAUAUCGAGAUGUACGCAUAAAAUAUUUGUUCGGAAUUUUUUGACAUUUUGAAAUGUUUUUCCGAUGGUAGGAGCAUAUGCUCCCAUGUGCCAAAGUGAAUUUCCGGAAAAAGAUGGACUAGUGACACAAUAGUAAAAAAAUCUUACCGUGAUAUUUCUACAAAUAUUAGAGUCGCUCAACUUGUGGACUAGUGCACUUAUAUUGUAGAAUGUCGGCCAGCUCCAUAGAUGCUCUUAAAAGACAGAACAUCAUUAACAAAGGAGACAAAAGAAUUCUUCUCCUCUCAAGUUAGCUGCCAGCAGUGUAAGUUGUCAAUUAUAACUAAAUAAGUUAAGUAGGUGAUACACCUAUUAUNNNNNNNNNNNNNNNNNNNNNNNNNNNNNNNNNNNNNNNNNNNNNNNNNNNNNNNNNNNNNNNNNNNNNNNNNNNNNNNNNNNNNNNNNNNNNNNNNNNNNNNNNNNNNNNNNNNNNNNNNNNNNNNNNNNNNNNNNNNNNNNNNNNNNNNNNNNNNNNNNNNNNNNNNNNNNNNNNNNNNNNNNNNNNNNNNNNNNNNNNNNNNNNNNNNNNNNNNNNNNNNNNNNNNNNNNNNNNNNNNNNNNNNNNNNNNNNNNNNNNNNNNNNNNNNNNNNNNNNNNNNNNNNNNNNNNNNNNNNNNNNNNNNNNNNNNNNNNNNAUAAUUUCACGUGUAUAUCCGGACAUUCUAUGUACACACACAAAAUUUCGCGAAGAAAGAACAUUUUUUGUGGCAUGUAUAAAAAAUUGUCUUUUUACCCAAGGCACAAAAAUUCCUUUCUCGCCGAAAUUUGUGCACAAACAUAUAAUGUCCGGAUGUACAAGCGGGAUUUUUUCUCGAUUUUUUUUUUACUUUUAAAAAUGUGUAUUUAGACAAUUGGAACGUCUAAACCUAUGAGCCAAAAUGAAUUUAUCGAAUAACAACUAUUUUUAAAUAAGUAAUACAGAUAAUUUAACAAAUUUGUUUAACAAACUCAUAUGGUGGUAGAAUUGGAAUCAUAUCCAGAUCCACCCAAAUGUCUUUAUCAUGUUGAGGACUAGUGACUGGGAAUAGAUAAGGUACACAAUCACGCAUAUUAAUAUUUAUGAUGGAGAAUCACAGCCGAUAUGAAGGAUUGUAUCAGGCACGUUUCUGUUCUUGUUAAGCUGAAAUUGAAGCAACGCUUCGGCAACCAAUCAUCAAAUUAUUUUCAGAUGCACAACAGAGUAGAGUAGAGCAAGACAUCAGAAAAACAAACAGAUGACAUGCCUUGCAGGAGGUUCCAUGCCCUGCGGACCUGCUCAGCAGAGCAGGAAGAGACGAGAGCAAAAAAAAAGGGAGGUUCCAUGCCCUGCGGACCUGCUUUAGUGUACGGCGUUUAUUCCUGGAGCUAUUAUCAAGUUCUUUUUUAUUGAUUUGUCGUUUCAUGUACAUAACCUUUCAAAACAGAGGAAAAAAAAAGGUUCUCCAGUUCUCAAGGAUAACAUGCAAAUUAGGUAUGCAUCGUUUUAAGUAGAUUGUCUUUAUCCUCACGUAGAUUUUUGAGGUAUGGAUAUGAUGAUGUUCUACAUUUAUAUCUGAUUUUCAUUGAUUAGUAAAUAGGGACGGGGGUAACAUGCUUUUGCUUUGUUGAAGCAUUUUUGUAUGAAGAUUUCAAUUUUAUUCCGUGGCAACGCACGGGCAUUUAGCUAGUCUUAGAGUAUCACUAGUAGUACCCUUAAACCCUCAAACCCUUAUAAAUAACCGCUUUUUUACAGUUUGCGAGCGAAAAAACGCGUAGACUAGAACCCCUUAACCCUCAAACCCUCAAAAAAAUUAAGGGUCCAACCCUCAAACCCCCUCCCAACCUGUAGAAGUGAGGGUUGGGGAGCGAAAACUACACCAACCCGCACCCGUGUUCCGGCUGAGCGCGGGAGGGAGUUUUCCCCGUACCCAACCUCCCGCCCGCGCCCACCCGAGCCGCCGGCCGCCCCCCGCCUCACCUCAACGCGCGCGAGGCCGCUGCAGCUGUGCCGCAGUCUUCGCCGCCAGAUCCUCCGUUCCCCGCCGCCUCCUGCCCCGGGCAGCAGCCNNNNNNNNNNNNNNNNNNNNNNNNNNNNNNNNNNNNNNNNNNNNNNNNNNNNNNNNNNNNNNNNNNNNNNNNNNNNNNNNNNNNNNNNNNNNNNNNNNNNNNNNNNNNNNNNNNNNNNNNNNNNNNNNNNNNNNNNNNNNNNNNNNNNNNNNNNNNNNNNNNNNNNNNNNNNNNNNNNNNNNNNNNNNNNNNNNNNNNNNNNNNNNNNNNNNNNNNNNNNNNNNNNNNNNNNNNNNNNNNNNNNNNNNNNNNNNNNNNNNNNNNNNNNNNNNNNNNNNNNNNNNNNNNNNNNNNNNNNNNNNNNNNNNNNNUUUCUUUUUGAUUCAUUGUUGGCACUCACAAUUUAUUGUUUGUUGUAUUGUGUAGAUGGAGGUGAACACCGACAACAUGGAGUCGUUGUCCGAUGAUUCCGGUUGGUCGUCAUUGGACGAUUCGGACAUUGAGGAGUUGCUUGAAGACGACGACGUCGAGAUGAUGGGCCUCCUCCUCGACGUGCAAGAGUUUGAAGACCGCGCAAAGCUGAUGGAUCAGAGGAGAGGGUCGAAGAUGGGGCGAGUCACCAUCUACCGGAACCGCGGUCUCGGACACAAGCAAUUGAUGCAAGACUACUUCACGGAGGUACCGACAUACCCACCUCGCCUCUUCCAGAGAAGGUACCGAAUGCGCCGUAGUUUGUUUGUGAAGAUUGUCACCGAUUGUUAGGCCGCCUCAGAUUACUUCAAACAUCGUAGAUCCGCCGCCGGUAUCAUGGGGUUUAGUGGGUACCAAAAGAUAUCGGCUGCAAUGCGGGUGAUCGCCUAUGGCAUACCCGCGGACUAUACCGACGAGUAUCUUCGCAUUGGACAAGAUACAACCACGGCGUCCGUUCGUAGGUUUGCAAAAUUGGUCAUCCGGUUGUAUGGUGAUUAGUAUCUUCGGGCACCCAACGAGGAAGAUACAGAGAGAUUGAUGGAGAUGAAUGAAAAAAGGGGAUGGACGGGGAUGCUUGGUAGUCUUGAUUGCAUGCACUGGACAUGGAAAAAUUGCCCAAAAGCAUGGCAAGGAAUGUAUUGCGGUAAAAGCCGUGAUGCUACCAUUGUGCUUGAGGCCGUGGCAUCGGAGGACACAUGGAUCUGGCAUGCAUUUUUUGGUUUGCCGGGAACACUCAAUGAUAUCAAUGUGCUCAAUAGAUCUCCUUUGUUUGCAAGAUUAGUUUCUGGGGAUGCUCCAACUUGUAACUACAAAAUCAUGGACAAUGAGUUCAAUGGGAUACUAUCUCACCAAUGGAAUUUAUCCCAAGUGGGCAACUCUUGUGAAGUCCAUCAAGGAGAAAAAUAGGGUGCCCUUAACCAGAAAACAGGCACAUUUCACCAAGGCACAAGAGGCAGCCCACAAGGAUAUUGAGAGAGCUUUUGGUGUUUUGCAAGCAAGAUUUGCCAUAGUUUGGGGUCCAGCUCAUUUUUGGGACAAAAAACCUUGGAGAACAUCAUGAAAUGUUGUGUGAUUCUACACAACAUGAUCCUCGAGGAUGAGAGAGGGUUAAACCUGCCUUGUUUCUAUGACAAUGUUGGUACCCGUGUGCAACCGGAAAGAAACCGGUGUCGCGUACAAGCUUUUCUUGAAGCACAUCGUGAGAUUGAGGAUGCAAACACUCAUGGUCAACUCCGGAAUGAUCUAGUAGAGCACCAGUGGCAGUUGGAUGGGCGGCGCCAAGGCCCAUGAUCUACCUUUGUUUUACUUUUAUAUGUCCUAUUUGAUUCGAAUAACUUGAAUGAUUAUCAUGUGCUUGAAGGUACUAUUCAGUGUUGUAAUAAUAACUAGAAUGAUUAUUGUUUUCUUCAAACCGUUAUUAAGAUGAUGAAAAUUAUGAUAUGUCAAAUGACAGUUUUAAGGGUUGGGGUUGCGACAAAGACUAGAAUCCUCAAACUCAACCCUUAUAACGGAAUAUUCUGUUAUAAGGGUUGGGUUUGAGGGUUCUAGUCUUUGCCCCUGUUUUUCAACCCUUAAAAGUGCCAAAAAAAUGCCAAUUCUCAACCCUUAAACUGGUUUGAGGGUUUGAGGGUACUACUAGUGAUGCUCUUACUACAUUGUACACAGAGCAAUGCUAGACAGGGUUGUUACGGGGUUUGUUAGGAUUGAUUGGCUAAGAUUUUAUUAAGUGAGAUGGUCCCACUAGUGAAAAUCAGGGGGGCCAAUUAAAGGAGAGCAUGCAUCCAGGUCCGUGAAAGUCCGUGAUUGUUAAGAAUUAAGGGCGCGGUCGUCCGUCCCGUAGGGUGACUGUUAGCGGUCCGUAGUUUGCGGAGGCGAUUAGGGUUUCGGCCCCGCUCAUGCUGUCCUCCUCCGAUCGCCGCCGUAGGGCACGUCGUGGGGAACCCGAGUCCGCCGUUGUGAUCUCACCACCACCACCAUCCAAUCCAUAACCUUCCGUGCGAUCCCAGGGCACGCGGUCGUAAGACACUCUAAACCCUAGGAGGAGUGUUGGGGCGGUGUGGAGGGAGGAGAUGGAGGGAGUAGGCAACAUGAUGCGGCGGCUGAAGUUAACAGAGGAUGAGAGGAAGGGAGUCAAGAUCCGGGUGCGGGCGAAGGAGAAGGGGAAGAGCACAGAGGUGCAGGCAGUGGGUAAGGUGAUCUCGGAGAAGCCAGCACACCAGGAUGCGAUCAGCCUAUCCUUUGGGCGGGUCUGGUGUCCUAUCAAAGGAAUCGAUUGCCGAGAGGUGGGGGACAACAUGUUUAUGUUUACCUUCAAGCAGGAAUCGGGGAAGAGGAAGGUGCUCGAUGAUGGACCGUGGAUGUUUGACAAGGAUCUGGUAGUUGUUGAGGACUAUGACCCGGGGAAACGACUAGAGGACUACGAGUUCAAUGAAAUCCCAGUUUGGGUGAGAGUCUUCAGUCUCCCUUUAGGGAUGAUGAAUGAGGAGGCGGCGGAAGAGAUAGGCAAUCUAAUUGGGCGAUUUGUGGAGGUAGAUGCUGGGGCGGAUGGGAAGGCUAUCGGAAAGUAUAUGAGAGUUAAAGUUAGGAUGAACAUUGGGAAGCCGAUCAUGAGAGGUUUUACACUGGAAGAGGAGGACGAUCAGCAGGACCAGAAACAAAAGAAGAAGAUGAACAUUGAUGGAACUGGGGAAGAAGAAGAGGAGGAGGGGCGAUGGUGUCGGUUUGAGUAUGAAUUCAUGCCUGAUUUCUGCUACACAUGUGGUAUUAUAGGACAUGGCGAUAAAGAUUGCUCGAUCAGAUUGGAGAAAGGGGAGAAGGCGCAAUUUGGUAACUGGCUGAAAGCAGAUAUGGGGAGGCGUAGAGCCGGGAGUGAGGAUAGUUGGGGAUGGAAGGGGAAGAAUAGAGGUGGGGAGAAUAGCCGAAACUAUGGUUUCAACAGAUCGAGUGGCGGGUCUGGGAGUGGCAGCGACAACCUCUCAUGGCGUCAGGAGGAGAGUAAACGGUUUGAGGGAAGGGACGGGAAUACUGAGAAGGGAGAGGAGGUUACCAGCCCGCAUAAACGAGCUAGUGAGCUUACCAAGACGGGGACCCCGAAGAUGCUUGACAUGGGGGGAGUGGCCAACGCGGUUGUAGAGCAAAAGAAGACAGGCGGUGCUGAGCCAAGUGAACAUACAAUGUAGGGUGGUCGGAACCGGUCCAAACAGGCCAACAACACCCAACAGGCGGUCCCGUUAUUGGAGUAGAAGGAAAGCCUAGUUAAGUCCAGAGAGAGGGAGAAGGAUUUGAGUGAGAAAGGAGAUGGAGGUAAGAAGGGACAGGGGCUGAAACGCUAUAAGAAAGUUUACAGGGAGGACACAGAGCACAAGAACGACAGCAAGGGCCGUGAACAAGUCUUGGGUCAGGAGAGAGGUAUCGCAGAUGAUCCGGACGAGCCGGCAUAAGUGAAGAGAGGGAAAAUGGAGGUGGAGAGGCGAGGGGAUGGUGGAGUGGUUUAGAAGGAGGGGAAGGCGACAAACACCAACUCAUCGGCUGGGCUGCAGGAGCAGCCCCGCCGAGAUCAAUGAAAAUUAUAGGCUGGAACUACCGGGGACUCGGGAACGGCCCGGUGAUACGUCUCCAACGUAUCUAUAAUUUUUUAUUGCUCCAUGCUAUAUUAUAUUCUGUUUUGGACAUAAAUGGGCUUUAUUAUGCACUUUUAUAUUAUUUUUGGGACUAACCUAUUAACCCAGAGCCCAGUGUCAGUUUCUGUUUUUCCCUUGUUUCAGUGUUUCGCAGAAACGGAAUAUCAAACGGAGUCCAAAUGGAAUGAAACCUUCGGGAAAGUUAUUUUUGGAACGGAAGCAAUCCAGGGGACUUGGAGUGCACGUCAGGGAAUCAACAAGGAAGGCACGAGGUAGGGGGGCGCGCCCACCCCCCUGGGCGUGCCCUCCACCCUCGUGGGCCCCUCGUGGCUCCCCUGACGUAUUUCUUCCUCCUAUAUAUACCAAUAUACCCUAAAACCAUCGGGGAGCAGAAUAGAUCGGGAGUUCCGCUGCCGCAAGCCUCUGUAGCCACCAAAAACCAAUCGGGACCCUGUUCCGGCACCCUGCCGGAGGGGGGAACCCUCACCGGUGGCCAUCUUCAUCAUCCCGGCGUUCUCCAUGACGAGGAGGGAGUAGUUCACCCUCGGGGCUGAGGGUAUGUACCAGUAGCUAUGUGUUUGAUCUCUCUCUCUCUCUCUCUCUCUCUCUCUCUCUCUCUCUCGUGUUCUUGAGGUGGUACGAUCUUGAUGUAUCACGAUUUUGAUCUAGAAGAAAUUUAUAUGUAUUGUGCGGUGAAUUGCAUUGAAAAUACUUAUAUUGCCAACUACAUAAAGAAAAGAAAACAAAUAGAAGAUGAAGAAAAUACUAAUGAAAGGGAAGAGACUUCCCAAUAUCCUCCUAUUAUUUCUUAUGAUGAAUCAGGUAACAAGGAGGAGCCUUCUAUUCAACCAAUCUCAUUAAUAAGGAGCUCCAAAAAGAGGAUUGAACCCGCACAUGAUGUGGUGAAGAAGAAGAAAAGAAAAAGGAAGAGAGGUAAAAAGAUAUCUCUCCCAAAUAAUGUUGCUCCUAUUAUUGUUGUGCCUCAUGAAAAUGAAUCAAAAAUAAUUGUGGAAGAUGAUGCACUUGAUGAUGAUCUCGUUAUGCCUAUUGCUUGUUGUGAUGAUUAUGAUUGGGAAGAUAAUAAUACUUCUUAUGAUCUUGAAAAUCUUUUUGGCACUGGCUUGGAAGAAUAUAUAUGAUACUUGCUAUACUAUUGGUGCUAUCCAUACUAUUAAUGAUGAGAGUGAUUAUGCAUAUGAUAUGAAAAGGCCCAAGCUUGGGGAAGCUAUGUUUGAUGAGAAUGACAUAUUUGAGAAUAUAUUUGCUGAAAUUAAUGUUUGUCCCAAGCUUGGGGAUGCUACGUUUAAUGAAGAUGAUAUUUUUAGCCUCCCAAGUUUUGAUAUUCAAAGUUGUUAUGAUGAUAGCAUGCCUUCUACCUAUGAUGGUUAUAGUGAUGAAAGUGGGUUUGGAAGAGUGUCAACUUUAGGAAGUAAUGAUCCCACUAUUUUGAAGGAUGUUGAAUCUUAUAAUAUUUAUGAAAGUGUAUUUGGAGAGGUCAUGACUUUAUUUAGUGAUGAGUCCACUAUCUUGGAAGAGGUUUCAAUCGAUUAUGAUGAGAACAAAGUUGCUACUUAUGAUGAUUAUUGUGAUGAAACUUAUGCUAUAAAAAGUAGUGAUGAUUAUAUUUAUAAAACUUGUCAUGAUUAUGGUUACCCUUUUUCUGAACAUUACUCUUUUAAUGUGGAAACAAUUUAUAGUAUUCAAGUCUCUUAUGAAAUUCCCACUAUUCCGAAUGAGAAGAAUUUUGCUUAUGUGGAGAGUAGUGAAAAUUCUAUGCUUGUAAAUCAUGAAAAGAAUGCUUUAGGUGCUGGUUAUAUUGUUGAAUUCAUUCAUGAUGCUACUGAAAAUUAUUAUGAGGUAGGAAUUUAUGCUUGUAGAAAUUGCAAUAAUAUCAAGUUUCCUCUCUAUGUGCUUAAAGUUUUAAAGUUAUGCUUGUUUUGCCUUCCUAUGCUAGUUGAUUAUUGUUCUCAUAAGUUGUUUGCUCACAAAAUCCCUAUGCAUAGGAAGUGGGUUAGACUUAAAUGUGCUAGUCAUAUUCUUCAUGAUGCUCUCUUUAUGUUUCAACUCUUAUCUUUUUUGCGAGCAUCAUUGAAAUCAUCAUGCCUAGCUAGGGGCGUUACACGAGAGCGCUUGUUGGGAGGCAACCCAAUUUUAUUUUAGUUUCUUGCUUUUUGGUUCUGUUUAGGAAUAAAUAAUCCAUCUAGCUUCUGUUUAGAUGUGGUUUUGUGUUUUAAUUAGUGUUUGUGCCAAGUAAGACCUAUAGGAUCUUCUUGGAUGAUAGUUAUUUGAUCUUGCUGAAAAUUCCAGAAACUUUCUGUUCACGAAAACAAUUGUUUAAAAUCACCAGAAUGUGAGAAAAUACUGAUUCAAUUGAAGCAGAUCAAUAAACAAAUUGUCUAGGUCGUCCUAUUUUGGUAGAAUUUUUGGAGUUCCAGAAGUUUGCGUUAGUUACAGAUUACUACAGACUGUUCUGUUUUUGACAGAUUCUAUUUUUCGUGUGUUGUUUGCUUAUUUUGAUGAAUCUAUGGCUAGUAAAAUAGUUUACAAACCAUAGAGAAGUUGGAAUACAGUAGGUUUAACACCAAUAUAAAUAAAGAAUGAGUUCAUUACAGUACCUUGAAGUGGUGUUUUGUUUUCUUUCGCUAACGGAGCUUACGAGUUUUCUGUUAAGUUUUGUGUUGUGAAGUUUUCAAGUUUUGGGUAAAGAUUCGAUGGACUAUGGAAUAAGGAGUGUCAAGAGCCUAAGCCUGGGGAUUCCCAAGGCAACCCAAGGUAAUAUUCAAGGAUAACCAAGAGCCUAAUCUUGGGGAUGCCCCGGAAGGCAUCCCCUCUUUCGUCUUCAUUCAUCGAUAACUUUACUUGGAGCUAUAUUUUUAUUCACCACAUGAUAUGUGUUUUGCUUGGAGCGUCAUUUUAUUUUCUUUAGCUUUGCUUGCUGUUUGAAUAAAGUACCAAGAUCUGAAAUCCUUAAAUGUUAGAGAGUCUUCAAAUAAUUGCAUAAUUAUUCAACUACUCAUUGAUCUUCACUUAUAUCUUUCGGGGUAGUCUGUCGUUUUCUCUAGUGCUUCACUUAUAUCUUUUAGAGCACAAUGGUGAUUUUAUUUUGAAGAAAUAGAUGAACUCUCAUGCUUCACUUAUAUUAUUUUGAGAGUCUUAAACAGCAUGGUAAUUUGCUUAAUCCUAAUAUGCUAGGUAUUCAAGACUAGUAAAAACUUUCUUAUGAGUGUGUUGAAUACUAAGAGAAGUUUGAUGCUUGAUGAUUGUUUUGAGAUAUGGAGGUAGUGAUAUUAAAGUUGUGCUAGUUGAGUAGUUGUGAAUUUGAGAAAUACUUGUGUUGAAGUUUGCAAGUCCCGUAGCAUGCACGUAUGGUAAACGUUAUGUAGCAAAUUUGAAACAUGAGGUGUUCUUUGAUUGUCCUCCUUAUGAGUGGCGGUCGGGGAUGAGCGAUGGUCUUUUCCUACCAAUCUAUCCCCCUAGGAGCAUGCGCGUAGUGCUUGGUUUUUGAUGACUUGUAGUUUUUUGCAAUAAGUAUGUGAGUUCUUUAUGACUAAUGUUGAGUCCAUGGAUUAUACACACUCUCACCUUUCCAUCAUUGCUAGCCUCUUCGGUACCGUGCAUUGCCCUUUCUCACAUUGAGAGUUGGUGCGAACUUCGCCGGUGCAUCCAAACCCCGUGAUAUGAUACGCUCUUUCACACAUAAACCUCCUUAUAUCUUCCUCAAAACAGCCACCAUACCUACCUAUUAUGGCAUUUCCAUAGCCAUUCCGAGAUAUAUUGCCAUGCAACUUUCCACCGUUCCAUUUAUCAUGACACGUUCAUCAUUGUCAUAUUGCUUUCAUGAUCAUGUAGUUGACAUAGUAUUUGUGGCAAAGCCACCAUUCAUAAUUCUUUCAUACAUGUCACUCUUGAUUCAUUGCAUAUCCCGGUACACCGCCGGAGGCAUUCAUAUAGAGUCAUACUUUGUUCUAGUAUCGAGUUGUAAUCAUUGAGUUGUAAAUAAAUAGAAGUGUGAUGAUCAUCAUUUUCUAGAGCAUUGUCCCAAGUGAGGAAAAAUAAAAAAAUAAAAAAGAGAGAAAGGCCAUAAAAAAAGAAGGCCCAAAAAAAUGAGAGAAAAAGAGAGAAGGGACAAUGUUACUAUCCUUUUUACCACACUUGUGCUUCAAAGUAGCACCAUAAUCUUCAUGAUAGAGAGUCUCUUGUUUUGUCACUUUCAUAUACUAGUGGGAAUUUUUCAUUAUAGAACUUGGCUUGUAUAUUCCAACAAUGGGCUUCCUCAAAUGCCCUAGGUCUUCGUGACCAAGCAAGUUGGAUGCACACCCACUUAGUUUCUUUUGUUGAGCUUUCAUACAUGUAUAGCUCUAGUGCAUCCGUUGCAUGGCAAUCCCUACUCCUUGCAUUAACAUCAAUCGAUGGGCAUCUCCAUAGCUCAUUGAUUAGCCGCGUUGAUGUGAGACUUUCUCCUUUUUUGUCUUCUCCACAUAACCCCCAUCAUUAUAUUCUAUUCCACCCAUAGUGCUAUAUUCAUGGCUCACGCUCAUGUAUUGCGUGAAGGUUGAAAAAGUUUGAGAUUACUAAAGUAUGAAACAAUUGCUUGGCUUGUCAUCGGGGUUGUGCAUGAUGAGAGCAUUCUUGUGUGACGAAAAUGGAGCAUGACUGAACUAUAUGAUUUUGUAGGGAUGAACUUUCCUUGGCCAUGUUAUUUUGAGAGGACAUAAUUGCUUAGUUAGUAUGCUUGAAGUAUAAUUACUUUUAUGUCAAUAUGAAUUUUUAUCUUGAAUCUUUCGGAUCUGAAUAUUCAUACCACAAUUAAGAAGAAUUACAUUGAAAUUAUGCCAAGUAGCAUUCCACAUCAAAAAAUUUGUUUUUAUCAUUUACCUACUCGAGGACGAGUAGGAAUUAAGCUUGGGGAUGCUGAUACGUCUCCAACGUAUCUAUAAUUUUUAUUGUUCCAUGCUAUAUUAUAUUCUGUUUUGGACAUUAAUGGGCUUUAUUAUGCACUUUUAUAUUAUUUUUGGGACUAACCUAUUAAUCCAGAGCCCAGUGCCAGUUUCUGUUUUUCCGUUGUUUCAGUGUUUCGCAGAAAAGGAAUAUCAAACGGAGUCCAAAUGGAAUGAAACCUUCGGGAAAUUUAUUUUUGGAACGGAAGCAAUCCAGGGGACUUGGAGUGCACGUCAGGGAAUCAACGAGGAAGGCACGAGGCAGGGGGCGCGCCCACCCCCCUUGGGCGCGCCCUCCACCCUCGUGGGCCCCUUGUGGCUCCCCUGACGUAUUUCUUCCUCCUAUAUAUAUACCAAUAUACCCUAAAACCAUCGGGGAGUAGAAUAGAUCGGGAGUUCCGCCGCCGCAAGCCUCUGUAGCCACCAAAAACCAAUCGGGACCCUGUUCCGGCACCCUGCCGGAGGGGGGAACCCUCACCGGUGGCCAUCUUCAUCAUCCCGGUGUUCUCCAUGACGAGGAGGGAGUAGUUCACCCUCGGGGCUGAGGGUAUGUACCAGUAGCUAUGUGUUUGAUCUCUCUCUCUCUCUCGUGUUGUUGAGGUGGUACGAUCUUGAUGUAUCGCGAGCUUUGCUAUUAUAGUUGGAUCUUAUGAUGUUUCUCCCCCUCUACUCUCUUGUAAUGGAUUGAGUUUUCCCUUUGAAGUUAUCUUAUCAGAUUGAGUCUUUAAGGAUUUGAGAACACUUGAUGUAUGUCUUGCAUGUGCUUAUCUGUGGUGACAAUGGUAUAUCACGUGAUCUACUUGAUGUAUGUUUUGGUGAUCAACUUGCGGGUUCAGUGACCUUGUGGUUUUUUGCAUAGGGGUUGGCACACGUUUUCGUCUUGACUCUCCGGUAGUAACUUUGGGGCACUCUUUGAAGUACUUUGUGUUGGUCGAAUAGAUGAAUAUGAGAUUGUGUGAUGCAUAUCGUAUAAUCAUGCCCACGGAUACUUGAGGUGACAUUGGAGUAUCUAGGUGAGAUUAGGGUUUUGGUUGAUAUGUGUCUUAAGGUGUUAUUCUAGUACGAACUCCUGAAUAGAUCGAUCUGAAAGAAUAACUUUGAGGUGGUUUCAUACCCUACCAUAAUCUCUUCGUUUGUUCUCCGCUAUUAGUGGCUUUGGAGUGUCUCUUUGUUGCAUGUUGAGGGAUAGCUAUGUGAUCCAAUUAUGUUAUUAUUGUUGAGAGAACUUGCACUAGUGAAAGUAUGAACCCUAGGCCUUGUUUCCUAGCAUUGCAAUACCGUUUACGCUCACUUUUACCACUUGCUACCUUGCUGUUUUUAUAAUUUCAGAUUACAAAAACCUAUAUCUACCAUCCAUAUUGCACUUGUAUUACCAUCUCUUCGCCGAACUAGUGCACCUAUAUAAUUUACCAUUGUAUUGGGUGUGUUGGGGACACAAGAGACUCUUUGUUAUUUGGUUGCAGGGUUGUUUGAGAGAGACCAUCUUCAACCUACGCCUCCCACGGACUGAUAAACCUUAGGUCAUCCACUUGAGGGAAAUUUGCUACUGUCCUACAAACCUCUGCACUUGGAGGCCCAACAACGUCUACAAGAAGAAGGUUGCGUAGUAGACAUCACCCGGCAGUUCGAUCUCUUCUCGAACUGGGAAGAGUGGAGGAGCCCGACAUUUUGUUUUUAUCGGAGACAAGGAUGACAGAGAAGGAGUUGGAGAGUUUCAGGUGGAAGCUAGGGCUAGCCAAUAUGUCGGCAUGGAGUUCAGAAGGAAGGAGCAGAGGUAUAGCCAUGUUUUGGAAGCGAAGGGUAGACGUCACUCUUAGAUCAUAUCGCAGGCGGCAUGUGGAUGUGGAUGUGAAGGAAGAGGAUGGUUCGAUGUGGAGGUUGACAGGUAUGUAUGGUGAAUCAGCAACUGACAGAAAGAAGGAAACAUGGAGAACCCUCAAAUUGCUCAAGCAACAACAUCAGCAAGGUAGGCCCUGGUUGUGUUUGGGAGAUUUUAACGAGAUUCUAUCUGAAGUGGAGAAAGUGGGGGCGCUCCAAGGGCGCAACACAUGAUGGAUGGGUUCAGAGAAGCCUUGGAAGUGUGUGAGCUUGCUGACCUAGGCUUCGAGGGGGAUGUCUUACUUGGAGAAACCAUAGCAAGGAGUUGAAACCAUACAUAUGCGAGAGACUGGAUAGAGCUGUGGGGAAUGAGGAAUGGAGUACGAAGUUUCCAGGAUAUACUGUAAUAAAUGGGCUGCCAUGACACUCUGAUCAUAGGCCCGUUAUUGUACAAACGGAAGGAGGGGAUAAGAAAUGGACUAGGGGGGUCGAGGGUUCAGGUUUGAGGCUCGGUGGUUGCAGGAGGAGGGGUGCGAAGAUAUUAUUCGUGAAGCAUGGGAGAGGAGUUGGGCCAACAGAACAGGUGAUGUGGCGGAGGCUCUUCGAACAGUGGCAGUAACAAUGAAGGAGUGGGAUAGAAAUGUUGUUGGUGAGUUGGAAGGGCGAUUGAAGAAGGCAAAAAUGGAGCUAGAGAGGUGUAUGAAGGAAAGGGUCUCACAGGAGAAAAUUCAGGAGGAAGCGAGACUCAGGUGUCUGGUUGAAGAGCUCGAAGAGAAGAAGAACACUAUGUGGAAGCAGCGCGCGCAUGUGUGGUGGUUGGUGUACGGGGACAGAAAUACCCGAUACUUUCAUCUAGUGGCGUCGGGGAGGAAGAAGAACAACCGUAUUAAGGAGCUCAGGAGGGAGGAUGGUACGAUGGUGGAGGAGGGAGAUUUAACUAAUUAUGUUUGCUCAUUUUUUUAGGAUCUCUUCACUUCGAGGCGGGUGACCGAGUGGCGGAGCUCAUACAAACGGUCACGCCGCAAGUAACAGCACCCAUGAGAGAUUUCCUGGAUGCUGCCUUUACCAGAGAAGAGGUGAAGGCGGCAUUGGACCACAUCGGUGAUCUCAAGACCCCGGGACCUGACGGGAUGCCAUCUAUUGUUUUCAAGCGGCAUUGGCAUUUCAUGGGAGACUAUGUUGUUGCGGAGGUGCUCAACGUUCUCAAUGGUGCAGCUAUACCUGAAGGUUGGAAUGACACCCUGGUGGUCCUCAUACCUAAGGUUAAAAAUCUAAACCGGAUCAAGGACCUACGACCUAUCAGUCUGUGCAACGUGUUGUACAAGUUAGUCUCGAAGGUGCUCGCCAACCGUCUGAAAGGGGUUCUGCCAGAGUUAAUAUCAGAGAAUCAGAGUGCUUUUGUUCCGGGCCGACUCAUCACCGAUAAUGUACUGGUAGCUUAUGAAAUAACACACUUCUUGAGAAACAAGCGAAGUGGUCAGGAGGGCGUCACAGCGAUUAAGGCCGAUAUGAGCAAAGCGUAUGAUAGGGUCGAGUGGGAUUUCCUCGAAGCAAUGAUGGGAAAGAUGGUUUUAGCUCCAGAUGGAUCGGCCUUGUCAUGAAAUGUGUUCGAACUGUUCGAUAUCAGAUUAAAGUGAAUGGUGCCCUGUCUCACCAAUUCUGCCCUACACGCGGUCUAUGUCAAGGAGACCCCUUGUCACCCUACCUGUUUGUUAUCUGCGGUGAAGGGCUUUCUGCCUUGCUACAGGAAGCUGAGAGGAGGGGAAGGAUCACGGGAGUUAAGAUAUGCCAAGCAGCGCCGAGUGUCUCUCACUUGUUCUUUGCUGAUGACUCCAUGAUUCUGCUGAAGGCAAAACAAGAAGAAGCAAUGGCGCUCCGAGAAGUCCUUGAUUUGUACGAAAAUUCAUCCGGACAGUGCAUCAACUUGGAGAAAUCUGCACUCAGAAGCCAAGGACGAGGUCAAGGGGGCAUUAGGUAUAAUGAGCGAGAAUUGGAAUGAUAAGUAUCUGGGGCUACCGGUCCAUGUAGGAAGAUCUAGGCGGAAGGCCUUUGGUUAUAUCAAGAAAAACAUGUGUGGCCGAGUCCAUGGGUGGCAGGAACGGCUACUGGCGAAAACAAGCAAAGAAACACUAGUUAAAGCUGUUGGCCAAGCGAUUCCGACAUUUGCGAUGUCGUGUUUUGAUCUGACCAAAGGUUUUUAUAAGGAAUUGAACACGCUCAUGGGAAAAUUUUGGUGGAGCCAGCAGGACAAGGAAAGGACGAUGCACUGAAUAGACUGGGAGACGCUAACCCAAACCAAAGCCCGGGGAGGGCUGGGUUUCCAAGAUAUGCACGAGUUCAACAUCGCUAUGUUAUCCCGCCAAGGUUGGAGAUUUCUGCAGAACCCAGACAGUCUUUGCGCCCGUCUAUUGAAGGCCCGCUAUUUCCCUGGGUGUUCCAUUCUUGAAGCCCAGCCUAGAGAUGGUAUAUCCUACUCGUGGAGAAGCAUUCUGCACGGGCUGGAGCUUGUAAAGGAAGGCUAUAUAUGGCGCAUCGGGGACGGAACACAAGUAAAGAUCUGGUUUGACCCAUGGAUCCCGCGAGCAUGGUCCAGGCUAGUCAUUACACCAAGGGGCCAGAAUCUAAUGACUCAUGUCAGCGAAUUGAUAUGCCCCAUCACCGGCAAAUGGGACGAGCAGCUUGUGACGGACACGUUCUGGCUAGAUGACGCAAGACAUAUUCUGCAGAUACCCCUUCGGGAGGGAACAAUGUGACGACCAAUCCUGGAAACGUAUUUGGAAGCUACCCUGCCCGCGGAAGAUACAGAUGUUCACGUGGCGCUUGAAGCACGAGUCAUUGGCCUUUCGGACAAACCUGGAGAGAAGGGGGAUCAAACUAGAGAGCACAAAGUGCCUGUUUUGCAGCUGUGCGGAUGAGGAUGGUGCACACUUGUUCAUUAAGUGCAAAUCUGUGAAGGAGGUGUGGCGUGCACUGGGUUUAGAGAAGGUGAGAAUCGAGCUUGAGAGCAUUGGGGGCGUGCAUGCAAUGCUAGAUUUCCUUUGGGGCCUUGAUGAAAAGGUGCGAGUGAAGAUCCUUACGAUGUGGUGGCAUUGGUGGAACAACAGAAACAAACUGCGGGAGGGAGAGCUGCCGGUGACCACUCAUGAGGUGACAAGACGGGUGAGAUGCAACUCUAUAGAGUACCUGCAGAUAUUCAAGGCCAAGGAGAGAGGACAGGACGAGGCCAAGUGGCAACCACCGCGUGAGGACAUGCUCAAAGCAAACGUUGAUGGGGCGUAUAGACCUGGAGAUGAUUUUGUAACCUGGGGAGUGGUCAUACGAGAUGAGGCGGGGGAUGUUGUCCAGGCACGGGCAGGCAGGACCGACCAUGUGGCCGAUCCGUUUGGCGCCGAGGUCACGGCUAUGUCAGAGGCAAUCAACAUGGCGGCUGAUUUGGGGGCAAUCCGAUUGGUCCUUGAGACGGAUUCCAAGCUGCUACAAGAAGCUCUGGAUUUCAAGAAAGUGGACUCCACACCCUACACGGCGAUCAUCGAGGACUCCAAACUUCUGCUUAAACUGUGGUUUUCGUACUUAGAUGUAGGGUUAUGCCGUCGUCAAGCUAAUACUGUAGCACAUGAGUUAACCCAGAUUGGACGUGUCUGUUCUCCUAGUGAGUCUACAACUUGGAACUGUCAUGUACCGCCCCAUGUGGCGCUUUGUGUUGCGGGUGAUAUGUCCGCACACCGUUAAAUUAUAAAGCUAUGCUUUCCCUCAAAAAAAAAGUCCGUGAUUGUUAUCCGUGUGUGUAGUAUUAUCGUUGUACACAUGCAUGCACUGUGCGAUCGAUCAGCGCGGAACGACCACUGCGUACACAUGCAUGCAAGCAGGGAUUCGGCGAGGUUGAACCGUUCUAGCAGAUUAAUUCCGCCAUGAAAUUCAUUCUUCAUACACCUGGCAAGUCCACAUGGUUUGACUGAUGGCCAAGUACGCACGUGUUCACGACGAGUCACAUGUGGUCCACCGGCCAGCCGUGGCCGAGCUAUUUGAUGAUCUCAAACGCUCUCUAAUCGCGCGGUGCUAGCGAAACAAAGCAAUUAAGGCUCCGUUCGGAAUCCCUCCGCUCCGUAACUCCGUCGUGGAGCGGAGCGGUAUACAGUACAAAUACAGAGAGCGGCAAACAGGCUGCUCGGUGCGCUCCGCUCCCUGGUGACGGAGCGGUGGAUUGCCGAACACAGCCUAAGUGAUUAUGGCAUUGGCCUUGGAACGGGAGUUAGCUCGUCGCCAGCGAAGAAGCGCUUGAAGAUCUUCCAGGCUUGCACCCACGUGAUCGAUGAAGACACUAUUCAAGUUAUUUUAACAUGAAACGGUUUUGCCAAUUCAUCUUAUUUCGAUAUGAGAACGGUUUUACUAAUUCAUGUUAUCUCAUAUUAAAAACGGUUUUGCAAAUUCAGAGUCGUCGGUGUAGCUGUGCUUGGCUAAGGGGUCUUGGAUCUUGAGAGGGAGAAAACCGAUUUUGGUAAGAGGGAUUGUAAACACAAAAGGAGAGAGUGACAUAGUAAUUAGUCGUCCCCAAUUUCCUUGGCAACUUUGAAAACAAUAUAUAUCAAAAUACCUUGAAUAGCAUCCAUAUUGAUGAAAUCAUGAAGUUGCACGGUCGUGCCAAAACUAACUUUUAUUGUUUAUUGGAAUUCAUCAUAUCUUACAAGCAUGGUGUUUUGGCACCUCGUCCAAUUCCUUAGGAUGCGCAACCGCAUUUACCCUUCUCACAAUAGCUGUUGUAGAAACUGUAGCCAGACCAUUCGCAUGAAACCUUACACAAGGUAACAUUGUAUCCUAUCGGAUUCUCACAUAACCGAUCACGUUUGCACACAUCAAUCAAUGCAGUUGUACCUACGAUCAAAGAAGUAUUGCAUCCCAUUACUAAUGUAGUAUAAAUUACACAAGUUACUCGAAAAUGUCUCAAAAACUAUGGUGUACAUUUAUACAAAAUUUGACUGGUCUAAACGGAUGAAUGUACCUUUGUUUCUCCCGGUUGCCUCGCAUGAAAACAAAGUGGUAGACAUCAGAAGAAUUACCAAGCACAGGGCAUUUGUGUUCUUCUUGAUAAGCGCCAUGAGAAGUGCGGGUACCUAUUUCAUUUUCCUCCUCUUGCUAUAUAUAUUCCCUAAGGUUGAUGCUCCUCGUCCAAUUUGAGUCCUUAUUGUGGUAUUAUAUAGAGGCACUAUCAAAUCUCAUAGAGUCUCAAUUUGAAAAAGAAAAUGUUGGAGAAUCCAAUGUAGUUUUUCCAUCCUUUGUAUCUAUAUGCAUAGUCAGCUCAUGUCAAUUAAUACUAUCAUAACAGUAAUUGGAAUAUAUAUACCAAAAUAUACGUUGAAAUGCCUCCUUGUUCUUGAUAUACCAAGACAUUAAUACUAUCAUAAGAGUUCUUGAAAUAUAUACCAAAAUAUACAUUAUGGACAACUGGUUAUUAAAUGCCUUCUUGUUUUUGGUAUACCAAAACGAUAAUACUACGACCCCAUUAGCUGAGGGACGCAUAGGAGUUAUUGGAAUAUAUACCAAAAUAUACAUUGUGGACAACUGGUUAUUAAAUGCCUCCUUGUUUUUGAUAUACCAAGACACCAGUAUUAUCAUAAGAGUUAUUGGAAUAUAUACCAAAAUAUAAGUUGUCGACAAUUGGUUGUUAAAUGCCUCCUUGUUUUGAUAUACCAAGACAUUAGUACUAUCAUAAGAGUUAUUGGAAUAUAUACCAAAAUAUACGUUGUGGACAACUCGUUAUUAAAUGCCUCUAUACUAUCAUAAGAGUUAUUUGAAUAUAUACCAAAAUAUACGUUGUGGGCAACUGGUUAUUAAAUGCCUCCUUGUUUUUUGUAUAUACCAAGACAUUAAUACUAGGACCCUAUUAGUUUUUUGAGAAAUCAUGUCCCACUUUAUUAGAAUUCAGAGAUGUUCAUGGGUACAAGAUUUUGGUCGUGGGGAGUCCCCAACCACAAAUGACGACCUACUUCUAGGUUACAAGAAUGAUUUGCUAGGUUGUGUGCUUCUGCAUUAAAACGUCUAUGCUCAUGACCAAAGGUACAAGAAAUAAAGGAUCUAGAACGGCUGAUGAUCUCCCUAAUCACCGCUCCAUGCCGUCCACCAGUGCGUUGAUGAAUGUCGUUGAUCACUGCCAGGCAGUCCAAAACAACAUGUAGGCGUUGAACUCCAAGGUCCUCUGCUAGUGCGAGAGCCUCCCUUACCGCGUAUGCCUCCGGUGUCACCGGGUCGGCUAUCUUCGUGACCAGCGACGAUGACCACAGGUAUAAGCCAUUAUGAUCCCUGCACACCACUGCCGAAGCACCAAAGUCACCCUGAUUCGCCACAGCUCCAUCCACAUUAAGUUUUACAGUGCCCUCCGGUGGCGCCUCCAUUGUUCUGUUCUGACAGUUGGAUGUCCCGUCAAAACCCUUGGCCGUUUCUCCGUUGCCUGAGACUCACUCAACUCCCGCAGGUAUGAUGUUAUGAAUUCACCAGCGACUGUGCCAGCCUGGCUCCAUGCCCAAAAGAAGUGGCCAAGCACAGCCCAUUCACCAAACCAGUGUAAAAUAGUGUUAGCCCAGGAAAAAACUAAAAAAAACAAAUUUACAUAUAAAUUAAGAAAGUGUUAAAACAGUGUUGGACCGUUCACAAAUUACCAUGAUUGAUAUUUUCAUUUUCUAAAACACAUAGGAAUCACACAUUGGAAAUUGCAAUGAUCAAAAACGAGAAGUUGCCAUGCUCUUAAUAAUAAAAUUGCCAUGCUAUUAAUAAUAAAAUUAACAUGUGUUUAAUAAUUAAAUGAAUUUUGUACAAAAAUAAAUUUGAAAAUUGGUAAAAAAUAAGGAUUUGAAAAAAGUUCAUAGAUUUGCCAAAAAGUUCACGAAUAUGAAGGUUUUUUAAGUUUUUAACAAAUUCAUGAAUUGUAAAAAAUUUCAUUGAUUUUGAAAAAACAUCACGAAUUAAAAACUGCAUCAACUUCAAAAAUAAGUUCAUGUAUUUAAAAAAUCAGAACUUUAAAAGAGAUUAAUGGAUUUGAAAACAUUCAUGCAUUUGAAAAGAAAAGUUCACAGAUUUGAAAAAAAAAGUUCACAGGUUUUGUAAAACGAUUCUAGAAUUUGAAAAAAGUUCACAAAUGACAAAACAUGAAUUUGAAAAAAGUUAGUGAAUUUGAAAAAAAAUGAAAGUAGGUUGUACAUUUGAAAAUAAAUAAAAGAAAAGCUGAAUAAAAACCCGUCCAAAAGACCAAAAAAUAAUUAAAAAAACUGACCGAAAGCAACUAAAAGCUUCCAAAAACCGGUCCAGGAAGCUUCUCGGAGCUUCCCAGAACCGGGAAAAGGAGCUUCUCGCUCAUGCCUUACACGGUCCGGCCCAUAUAGAAUUUAACGAGGGGAGGGGGUGUGCGCGUUGUACCAAUGACAAUAUAAACGUCGCUAUAAGCGCGAGAUAGGAAUUGGGCAACCACGCAGCCGACCGACGACAUUUAUUUGCCAUUGGAGGCCUCCCUAGUAAUUAGCAUAGAACACAGGGCCUGGUCCAUCGCAUGGGGCUACAUGACCAGCGUUGCCGGGAGCUGUUGUGUCUUUCCUAUUGUCGCUACUAAUGGGCCGUACAACCAUGAUCGAGCGAGCUAAGAGCAUCACUAGUAGUACCCUCAAACUCUCAAACCCUCAAAAAUAACCAUUUUUUACGGGUUGAAACAAAAAAAAAGCAAAGACUAGAACCCCUAAACCCCUAAACCCGUAAACAAUUUUAAGGGUUGGAGCCCGGGUUGCUCUCCCAGCCUCUAAAAGUGAGGGUUGGAGAGGAGAAACAACCCCAACCUCUAUUCCUCCGCUGUGAAAGCGCGGGAGGGAAAAAUCAGCCCCGUCCCUUCCUCCCGCCGGCCGCCGCGCGCCAUGGAGCCGCCGCCCGCCUCCGUCCUCACGCCCGCCUCCUCCCUCGCCCCGCCCGUCGCCCCGCCCCCAAUCGCCGCCUCCGCGACGCCCACGUCGGCCCAGCAGCCACCCGUCCCAAGCCAGGCGCAGGUCGCGUCGGUGGUUGCCACCACCCACGUCCUCGGCACCAAGCGGCGGCGUGCUGGCCAGCACGUUGUCCCUCUGCAGCCCGCAGUCGCCCCGGCCCCCGCCUCCUCCCUUGCCCCGCCCGAACUCGCCCCGCCGCAGCCGCCCACCACCAAGCGCCGUCGGAAGACGUCGUCGGUUGGGCCGAAGGGUGCUGCGGUCGCCAAGCUCGCCGCGGGAGGGACCCCGAUCGUGAAGAGGACCACCUCCCGGAAGAAGACCACGCCCGCGCCCCCAAUCGCCGACCCUCUGCCCGUCGUGCACGAGGUGCUCGACGGUAUGCCCGCAACGAUGACGUCGUUCAUGGGACUUCUCCAAGGCACAGAGGUGGACCUCGGGGCUCCUCCUCUCAAACCCUUUGGGUUUGGUGAUGACUUGGAGGAAGAGGGUGAUGAGGAGGAGGAAGGGGAAGAUGAGGAGGAGGUGACCGAGAUAGAGGAGGAGGCGUUCGCCGUUGUUGCCCGCCCCGCCGUGCGCUCGACAAACUAUAGCGAGGCCAAAGAUAUUCUCUUGGUUCGUGCUUGGGCACAUGUGGGGAUGGAUGCAAGCACCGGUACCGAUCAAAGCAGUAAACGCUAUUGGCAACGCAUAGGGGACACCUAUUGCAAGAUCAAGCCGAAGACCGGUGGGUACAUCUCUCGUACAUACCGGUCGCUUCAAGGCCGGUGGGAGUUGAUGAAGCCGCAAUGUGCUCGUUGGAGUCCGGCAAUGGACCAAGUGAAGGAUGCACCGCCCAGUGGAACCGUGGAGAAUGACUCUGUGAGUACAUGUGUGUGUUUUCACAUCUAUUUUGAUUUUCUAUGCUAUUGUUAGGUUCUUAUGUGUGUUUACUAUGCUAUUGGUGGGUUUGUAGGAGGCAAUUGCCGGCUUGAGGUACAAGGAGAUGGCCGCUUCCAAGGGCAAAUCUUUCUCAUUUAAGCAUGUUUGGGCAAUUCUUCAAACUUUUGACAAGUGGAAGUUGAGGGAUCAAGAGACGGCACCCAAGAGGCAGCAAUGUUUAGGAUGGAUGAUAGUGAUGAGGAGGAAAGGAACUUGUGCAAGCUUGAGGGAACCAAGAAGGACAAGCUAAGGAAGAAGAUGGAAGGAGAAACAUCAAGCAUAAGGGAGAAGAUGGAGCAUAUGAUGAAGUCAAGGGAGACAUUGACAAUGAAGACAUUGGAGACAAAGCUUCUUAUCACCGAGAAGAAGAAAGAGGUGAAGCUUGCACAAGUUGAAGCAAGGCGUGAAGAAGCCAAGCGCAAGGCCGACUUGGAGGAGAGGAUGAUCAAGGUUAAAGAAGCAAAGGAAUGGAAAGAACUCAUGGUGGAAGAGAAGGAGCACAUGAUGAUGUCCAAGAAGGACAUGGAUGAAGACCAAUUGAUGUGGUGGAGGGACUACAAGGAGGACAUCGCGGAGAGGAAGAGGAUAUUCCGUGGUACGUCCUCUACUCUUCAAGGUGACACUCCGAUGAGUGAUGGUGGCGAUGGCGGUGUGGAGGACUCCACCACCUGCGCCUAUGGAGGUGCUUGAUGGACGUGGAAGUGGUCUAGGAGAUGGCGCCGAGGUGCAACUUUUUGGUGAUGGUGCCGAUGAGGGGGGAAGAUGAUGAUUUUGUGAUGUAAACUAUUAAACCAUGCAUCAAUGAUUUUCAUUUUCUAGUUUGUUUCAAGGUUGAUUGUGUUUUUCUAGUGAUAAUUGUGAUAUGUCAAAUGACAGUUUUAAGGGUUGGGGUUGCGGCAAAGACUAGAACCCUCAAACUCAACCGUUAUAACAGAAUAUUCUGUUAUAACGGUUGAGUUUGAGGGUUCUAGUCUUUGCCCCGGUUUUUCAACCCUUAAAAGUGCCAAAAAAAUUCCAAUUUUCAACCCUUAAAGGGUGCCCGAAUGGAAGCACACCCGACAACGUACGAGCUGGAUCAAGCUCGUGACAUGGCGGAGCCAUGUGCGGUAUGCACAUUUAGCAACACCAAAUUUGUGGAAUCACAACUGGUUUGAGGGUACUACUAGUGAUGCUCUAAUUAUUGAACUCAAACAAUCUCUCAACGUGUGGUAUUGGCGAAUGAAGUAAUUAAGCUAUAAUGGCCUUGGCCUUGGAAAAGAGUGGCAAGGAGUGCAUGAAGGUCUUACGGCCUACACCCACGUGAUCAAUCAAGGCGCUAUCCUCUUUAUUUUCAUAUAUGAAAGUGAUUUUCAUAAUUUAAAGUCGUCGAUGUCACCGCGUUUGCAAGAGGGUCUUGGAUCUUGAGACAAAAAAUAAAGAGAAAUAAGAGUUAGUUGAGAUAAAAUAAGAACAUCUACAUCCACUAGUAGAAAAAGAGGCUUCCAUACGCCCCCAUUAGUCCCCAAAAUAAUCGAACCGCGACAAAAGGGUUCUUUAGUCGCGGUUCGGGAGGAGACCCGCGACCAACUAUCUGGGCCCAGCGCGCUCGGUCGACAGCUGGCGGACGGGAGGGGCUUUAGUCCCGGUUGGCCUGGCCAACCGGGACUAAAGGUCCUCAGGCUGGCCCGAAGGCCUUUAGUCGCGGUUGGCCAGACCAACCGGGACUAAAGGUUAGUCCUUUAGUCGCGGUUGGCCAGACCAACCGGNNNNNNNNNNNNNNNNNNNNNNNNNNNNNNNNNNNNNNNNNNNNNNNNNNNNNNNNNNNNNNNNNNNNNNNNNNNNNNNNNNNNNNNNNNNNNNNNNNNNNNNNNNNNNNNNNNNNNNNNNNNNNNNNNNNNNNNNNNNNNNNNNNNNNNNNNNNNNNNNNNNNNNNNNNNNNNNNNNNNNNNNNNNNNNNNNNNNNNNNNNNNNNNNNNNNNNNNNNNNNNNNNNNNNNNNNNNNNNNNNNNNNNNNNNNNNNNNNNNNNNNNNNNNNNNNNNNNNNNNNNNNNNNNNNNNNNNNNNNNNNNNNNNNNNNNNNNNNNNNNNNNNNNNNNNNNNNNNNNNNNNNNNNNNNUUUUAGAAAAACCAAAAGAAAAUGAUGGAAAUGUCAAAAAAAUAAAAUAAAAUAAGUUUCUCAUGUGAUAUGUGGUCUAGUUGUUGGGAAAAUUAACAAAUAUGAAUUUCGACUUUAUUUGCAAAAUCUCUCUGGAAUUUCUUAAAAUGGGCAUAACUUUUGCAUACGAACUCGGAUGAAAACGUUUUUUAUAUGAAAAAUCAUCUACUCGAAAAGUUACAUCCGAAUUUAACCGGGGGGAACCCCGUUAAUCAUUUUCAAAAUCCUCAAAAACCUAACAGAAAAAAAGAUACGGGGCUUUUAAGAUCUGGAGAGGCAAAAAAAUUCAAAAAAUUUCAAAUUGUGGUCAAACUGUGGUCAAACAAUGGUCAAACUAAUUAUUCUAGAAUAUUAGUGUUACUAAAUAAUUAUUUCAGUUUUUUUUUUAAUUUUGGUCAAACUGUGGUCAAACAGUGGUCAAACAAUGGUCAAACUAAUUAUUCCAGAAAUAUUAGUGUUACUAAAUAAUUAUUGUUUUUUAAAACAAUAGUUUCAAACUCAAACAGUGAAAUGUGUCACUUCAUGCUCAAGCUAAAUUCCUGAGGGUUAAUAGAAUUGACAUCCUACUAUUGUCAGGAAAACAACAAGUGCAGACUUGGAAACGAGGGAGAAUAGAACCCGGAAGUUAAGCGUGCUCAGGCUGGAGUAGUGAGAGGAUGGGUGACCGUCCGGGAAGUUAGAUGAUUUGGAAUGAUGAGGGGUGAUUAGAGAUUAGAGGAUAAAUUGAGCAGUGAUGAGGGGUGGUGAUUAGAGAUUAGAGGUUAAAAUAAUUCAGAAAUUUGAAAAUAAAAAAAUUAAAAAAAUUCGCAAAAAAACCAGGUUUAGGGGGGCUAAAACCCUAAACCUGCGGAGGAGGCCUUUAGUCCCGGUGAGCCACGAGAACCGGGACUAAAGGUCCUCCGCCCCGACGGACUCCUGGCGCCCACGUGGACGGGCCUUUAGUCGCGGUUCGUAAGAGGCGCGACUAAAGGGGGGGGGCUUUAGUCGCGCAUAUUUAGUCCCGGUUGCACAGCCGGGAUUAAUGGCCUUUGCGAACCGGGACUAAAGGCCUAUUCUCUACCAGUGCUCCGGAGAUAGAGACGUACGUCUCCAGCAUUUCGCCUCGUGCCCUCGCGCGAGGGUGAACAGACGCCUCCCGCUGGCGCCGCCGUAGAUCGCUUUGUCUUCCGUGGUGUCUGGCCAUGAAGACGUAGUGGAUCUCGGCUCUUGCCGGCGGGAGGGCUCCUACAUCGUUUUAGGUGUUUUUUUUUGUGUAUGUUCAUCUAGGGUUUGUGUUCUGUUCAGGAAGACAAGACGGCGGCGGCUUUCUGAUGUUGGAAUAAGAUUCUCCCCGCCUAUGCCUCGUUCUGGUGAUGCGCCUAGCAUUAUCAGAGGGCGUGUGGAGAUUUGUCUCCAACGGAUCUUGCGGGAUUCAGUCGGUGUUUGUCUUUGGUGGAUCCACUUGGAUCCGGUCUUCGUUCGUAUGUGUUCGUGUGUCUUCAGGUUAGAUCUUUCCGGUCUACGCUUCUCUUCAUCGGCGGCAGCUGCUAUUCUGGUGCCCUGGUCCUCUUGGACCUUAGCACGACGACUUCUCGAUUGUCUGCUACAACAAGGUUUGCACGGCUUCGACGAUGGAGGGGCGAUGACGGCGGCGCGCCUUCGGCUCGCUCUAGUGAUUGUAGUCGUCGAUAGGUGGUCUACGGACCUGGAUGUAAUUUUUACCUCUAGUGUUCACUGGUAGAAAAAAGCCCUUUAGUCCCGGUUCGCAACAGCCUUUAGUCCCGGCUGUGCAACCGGGACUAAAUAUGCGCGACUAAAGACCCCCCCUUUAGUCGCGCCUCUUACGGACCGCGACUAAAGGCUUUAGUCCUGGUUCUUGUGGCUGACCGGGACUAAAGGCCCGUCCACGUGGGCGCCAGUGGUCCGUCGGGGCGGAGGACCUUUAGUCCCGGUUCUCGUGGCCAACCGGGACUAAAGGCCUCCUCCGCAGGUUUAGGGUUUUAGCCCCCCUAAACCUGGUUUCUUUUUAGUUUGGAGUGUUUUAUUUCUUUUAUAUUUUAUUUUGUGUUUUAUUUUAAUUUUGAUGAAGUUUCAGUACACAUAUUCUACGCUACUAUAUACAUGCAUAUGAAAUUUCAAACAAGAAGAAUUCAAGAGGAAUAUAUAAUAUAUAUUCAAUCUCGGGUGACCAUAUACAACUUCGAACAAGUUUCCAUACACAAUUAGGAUGGAUGACCAUAUACAACUUCGAACAAGUUUCAAUCUCGGGUAUGCAUAUAAAUUUCUUCGUCCUCGGUAUAGUGUUCUCCUUUAGGAUUGAUGACUUCCCUCAUGAAAAAUCCUGCUAAUUCUUCUUGAAUUGGUCAGAAGCGAGCUUCUGGACUAAGCCUCCUCCGCAAGUUAUCCGUCGCGUUCCGCACGCUAUCCGAUGCCUUUCGCUCAGAGGUGUGUCUCCGGAUGUUCUCACAAACAUAGUAUCCACAUAGAUUGGUCCCCGGUGGCUGCUUAUCCACAUUAACUAACCUUCUGAAAUCUAGCUCAUGUUUGAAUUCACCGACAAUUUCUUCUGAGAACCGUCUCCAAACCCUACAGGGCAAAGAAAAUUAAAUGAACAAGGGAGUUAUUAGUUACUUGAUAUUAGGAAAUGAACGAAAGAGACCGAUCGAUAUAGAGCUCAAAUGAUUGAAAAUAAUUACUUUUGCAGCAUUUUUCUCAUGUCGGCCCAACGCUUUGGAUCCGAAUCCAUAGAGUCCAUGAUUAGAACUCUGGAGGUGUGAAGUUCAAUAUUUAGCAGAAUCCAGUGGAACCUGCGGACACGUUACAUGCACAGUCAUGCAUAACUCAUCGAUUAGACAUACCAUGCAUGGAGUAAACAAAAGAGAAUGGGCACAAAAGAGAAACACUCACCCAAAAUGGUAAGGAAAUAGAAUAUGACUUUUGAGUUGAUGCUUUCUAAGAAACUUGUACAAGUCUUUCUCCACGUCUUCGGGGUGAUGUUGUAACACAUGUCCAUUAACGAUAUGUGGGUCAAUGAACCCAACAUCAUGGAUGUUUCUUAUUUUGCAUUCCCAAAUCUUCAAUCUGCAUAAUAGCGUACGCAACAAUAUAGUUAGGACAAUAUAUAUAUAUAUAGUGCAGGCAAUGAAGAACGAGAUGAGGUAGAAAUAAAUCACUUACAGAACGUAGCAACUCAGCAUAGAUUUGUCGAGGUCGCGCAGAUUGAACAGCUGGAACAAUUCACUCAUAUGAACUUGUACAGAGUACCGUUUGGUGUGAUGCUCAUCUGUAACAUCCGCAUAAACAUAUUCUUUGUCGGCCCAUGUUAUGAAUUGCUUGUACCAACGUAGCAGAUUUCGCAUUUGUGGUGGUAGACUCUUUUCCCGCGCAGGCUCGACGAGAGGCCCAUUCCGCACAUAUUGUAAUGCUAUCUCACAUACUGGCGCAUCCUCAAGGCCUAAGAAGGCACGAAGAGUCAAACCCAUCUCGGACGCUUAUUUCAUGGCACUCGCUACAGUCAAUCCAAGUGCUGCCGCAGCUGCUAUGAUCUCGGGGUCCUCUUCCGGACCGGCUUUCACUAUGAGCGGGGGGAUCGAUUGUUUCUUCUGCAUCCCGAGCUGGUCAACUUGUUUCCCGCUUUUUUUACUUUCUUCUUUCUCCUCCUUCAAUAUUUUUGCUUGCCUACGAAGUUCAUGUCCAUAGUCGUCAGGCAUAUUCAGCUCGGCUUGGGACGGUGUCGUCAAAAAAUCCUUAGCCCACUUCUUUUGCUUCUCAGUGAAUACUUGCUUGGGCUCAGGCUCUUUUAUCGCCUUCAUAUCCGCCUUCCAUUUCUCAUAAUCAGCAGACGCGGCCAAUUUGGUUUCAGCUUCACUAAGUUCCCAAGGCCUUGGGAGGAGAGGCUUCAGUGAUGGCUCCGGUACCCUUGUGGUCUUAGGUACAUAAGGGUCCGUGUUAAUAGUCCAGGAGCGGGUUUCCUUGCUGUCCGCCUGCUUCUGCUUCUUCGCCGGAGGAGGAUUGGGGGGCGUCGUACCCGCCGGAGGUUGUGGAUCGGGGGACGACGUCGAAUGGCGUGAAGGAGGUGUAGGUGAACCACCACGACCACCACCACCGCCACCACCGCCACCACCACCACCACCACCACCAUCGGAGGGGGGUGGACUUGCUAGCCUUGGCGCCUCGCCUGGAAACACUAUGUACUUCUUUUUCCAUAGAAUGAACUGGCGCUUGACAUCUCCAAGUCUUCUCUCCCCUUCGGGUGUAGGUUUGUCAAUCUCCAGGUCCUCAAACCCUUGGACUAUGUCUUCCACCGUGACACGAGCAUAGCCAUAUGCAAUGGGGUUGUUGUGGUGGAGUGCUCCAGGUGUACAGGGUAAAGCACUGCCGCUAGCUACCUUCGUGGAAACGUUCCCCACGGGAUAAUGCAGAUCACAUUCUUUCAUCUCCUUUACAUCAUCCACGGGGUAGUGAGGCUCCGGUGCACGAAUCUCGAUCAUCGGUGCACUAGCACCAGGCGGGGCAUCCGUGGAAGCCACGCUGCUUCUCCGCUGCUGGCUUCCGCGAUCCGCUUCAUGAUCUUCAUGCGGCCCUGCAGCCGAUUUUUCUUUCACUAGUUCAUGCACGGUCUGCUUCAACUCAUGGAGUUCCGAUGCAAACUUCGUCAUAAGAUCUGCAUCCUGGUCCGUCUUUCUCUUACGGCUUCUGUAACAGUACGGGUCAUUGUCCUGGGAAAACCCUACUUUCCACGGAACUUUGCCUUUGCCUCGUACACGUCCUCCGUGUUCAUCAUUCCCGAGGGCUGUUGUCAGUGCGUCUUUCUCUCUGUUGAACUUGAUCAAGCCCUCUUGAGCUUGGGUCAUUGCGUCAAUAAGGGCUUGGGUGGGAGCAAACUGUCUCUGCCGGUGAACACACACCCCUGUCUCCGGGUCUAGCGAUCCCCCAUGCCCGUACCACCAGCUUUUGGCCCUUGGGUCCCAUCCCUCUGUACCUAGAGGGAUUCCUCGCACCCUCAGGUCCUCCUCCAUCUUCUGCCACCUAGGCUCCGAAAGGCGGUAUCCUCCUGGCCCCAUAAUAUGAUGGAACUUUUUCUUACUCGCAUUAUCCUUAUUUUUUUUGAUAUUUUCUUGAAAUGCUCCGAUUGCUUUUGCCUCACAAAUUCUGGCCAAUCAUCUUUCAGUUUCUCAUGUUGUCCAUUGAAAUCCGUAGUCUUUCCCUUGUUGACAUAGUCACGGGUUAAAUUUUUCUUGAAGUUCCGGAAUGCUUCGCCCAUCUUCUGAAGAGCGAACUCUUUAACUAGCCUCCUCCUCUGACGUCCACCCGGAACCUCAUUACCGAAUUCAUUGACUUUGUUGUAUUCCGGAGGUAGAAUGAAAUGUUCCAUAAGCUUUCUCCAGCAAUCCUUUUUCGUUCUCUUGUUGACAAAACUGAAACCAAGACGUGCCUUCUUUGGCUCCCUCCAUUCCUGGACGGUGAUCGGGACGUUGUCUCUAACAACGACUCCGCAUUGGUUGAUAAACUUUGAGGUGUGCUGUAGGGGCUUGCCGGUUUCACUGACAAACUCAAUGGCAUAUGUUUCUCCUAUUUUCAUCGCCUUGGAUUUGCCACGCUUUGUCGUACUCGAUCCGGAGGGCUAAAAAAAGAAAGAGAGUCGCGUGCGUUAAUACAUAUGUAUUCACAUUUCAGUAAGUUUGUAUCACGAGAGGCUCAAUGUAUAUAUAUACCUCGCGGGAGGUGGUUGCUACUUGCAAUUCGAGAUCAUCGUUUGUUGACGGUUGACCUCCGUCGACAAUGUCUGUUCCUUCACCUUCUUGAUCAUCGACAAUCUCUGUUCCACCGUCAAGGUUCAGAAAAGAAGAGACUACAUCCUCUUGUUGCUCAUAUUCUGAGCCCGGCACAUAAGGAAUCUCGUUGUUGAUGAUGCCCAUUAAAUAACGUUCAGCCUCCGGAUCCCUAAGCGGCUCGGCUCUAUCGUCCGCCAUAUGUCACUCCUGCAUGUAGUAAAAAUUCUUUAAGUAUAAAGGAAUUAAAAAAUAAGAUUAAGGGGACAUAGAGGAGGAGGAAUUAAAAAAAUAAGAUUAUUGAGCACUGCCAAGUAUUUUGUUUUGUUUUCUUUGUUUUUCUUUUUGGUUUUCAUUUGGUUUCUUUCUUCUUCCUUUUUUCUUCUUUUUUUCUUCUUCUUCCUUUCUUCUUCCUCUUUCUUGUUUCUUUCUUCUUCUUCCUUUUUCUUUCUUCUUUCUUUCUUCUUCUUCCUUUCUUCUUCCUUUCUUCUUCUUUUUGUCUUCUUCCUUUUUCUUUCUUCUUUCUUUUGGUUUUCAUUUGGUUUUCAUUUUUUUCUUCUUCCUUUUUCUUUCUUCUUCUUCCUUUUUCUUUCUUCUUUCUUUUGGUUUUCUUUUGGUUUUNNNNNNNNNNCCUUGACGAUGCUUCCUUCUGGCCUAGCACGGUUACGAACAUAUUUCUUUAAUACUCCCAUGAACCUCUCAAAGGGGAACAUAUUGUGUAGAAAUACAGGACCGAGAAUGGAAAUCUCUUCGACUAGGUGGAGCAGGAGGUGCGUCAUAAUAUCGAAGAAGGAUGGUGGGAACACCAACUCGAAACUAACAAGGCAUUGGACCACAUCGUUCUGUAACCGUGGUAGAUCUUCUGGAUUGAUUACCUUCUGAGAGAUUGCAUUGAGGAAUGCACAUAGCUUCACAAUGGCUACUCGAACAUUUUCCGGUAGGAGCCCCCUCAAAGCAAUCGGAAGCAAUUGCGUCAUAAUCACGUGGCAGUCGUGAGACUUCAGGUUUUGGAACUUUUUCUCCGCCAUGUUUAUUAUUCCCUUUAUAUUCGACGAGAAGCCAGACGAGACCUUCAUACUGCUCAGGCAUUCAAAAAAAAUGACCUUCUCUUCUUUGGUAGGAGCGUAGCUGGCACGACCUUGAAACCAUUCCGGAUGCCGGUCAUCUGGGUCUUUCAAAAGUUGCUGGUCCUGCCGUGCUUCCUUUGUAUCAUUUGUCUUCCCAUACACGCCCAAGAAGCUUAGCAGGUUCACGCAAAUAUUCUUCGUAACAUGCAUCACGUCAAUUGCAGAGCGGACAUCUAGGACUUUCCAAUAUUCUAGCUCCCAAAAUAUAGAUUUCUUCUCCACAUGGGUGCGUGCCCGUCAACUCCCCGCGGAACUGAUUGUCCGCCAGGACCCUUUCCAAAGAUGACUUUCAAAUCCUUGACCAUAUCAAAUAUGUCAGCACCAGUACGUUCCGCAGGCUUCGGCCGGUGAUCUGCCUUGCCGUUGAAAUGCUUGCCUUUCUUUCUUACGUUAUGAUUUCGGGGAAGAAAUCGACGAUGACCCAGGUACACGUUCUUCUUACAAUUAAACAAACGUACACUUUUAGUCUCAUGUAAGCAGUGCGUGCAUGCAUUGUAUCCCUUAUUUGUCUGUCCCGAAAGGUUACUGAGAGCAGGCCAAUCGUUGAUGGUUACAAAAAGCAACGCUCGUAGGUCAAAUUCCUCUCCUUUGUGCUCAUCCCAGACACGUACACCAGGUCUGGCCCACAACUGUAAAAGUUCAUCAACUAAUGGCCUUAGGUACACAUCGAUGUCGUUCCCGGGUUGCUUUGGACCUUGGAUGAGCACUGGCAUCAUAAUGAACUUCCGCUUCAUGCACAACCAAGGAGGAAGGUUGUAGAUGCAUAGAGUCACGGGCCAGGUGCUAUGGCUGGAGCUCUGCUCGCCAAAAGGAUUCAUGCCAUCAGUACUUAGACCAAAUCUUAUGUUCCUUGCGUCAGCUGCAAAAUCUUUGAACACUCUGUCGAUCUUUCUCCAUUGCGAUCUUUCUCCAUUGCGUUCCAUCAGCGGGGUGUCUCAACUCCCCGUCGGACUUACGGUCCUCUUUGUGCCAUCGCAACGACUUGGCAUGCUUUUUGUUCAUGAACAGACGUUUCAACCGUGGUAUUAUAGGAGCAUACCACAUCACCUUGGCGGGAACCCUCUUCCUGGGUUUCUCGCCCUCAACAUCGUCACCAGGGUCAUCGCCUCUGAUCUUAUAACGCAAUGUUUUAUGUACCGCACUUUUACUUCAAAAGUUCCUCCAUUUUUUGCUUUAUUUUACGUUGCUCCCAAAAAGGUGCUUUUGUACAUCGCCUCUGAAACAGCCUAUGUCGCUUCAAUGUUUUAUGUACCGCACUUUUACUUCAAAAGUUCCUCCAUUUNNNNNNNNNNNNNNNNNNNNNNNNNNNNNNNNNNNNNNNNNNNNNNNNNNNNNNNNNNNNNNNNNNNNNNNNNNNNNNNNNNNNNNNNNNNNNNNNNNNNNNNNNNNNNNNNNNNNNNNNNNNNNNNNNNNNNNNNNNNNNNNNNNNNNNNNNNNNNNNNNNNNNNNNNNNNNNNNNNNNNNNNNNNNNNNNNNNNNNNNNNNNNNNNNNNNNNNNNNNNNNNNNNNNNNNNNNNNNNNNNNNNNNNNNNNNNNNNNNNNNNNNNNNNNNNNNNNNNNNNNNNNNNNNNNNNNNNNNNNNNNNNNNNNNNNNNNNNNNNNNNNNNNNNNAAGAUGAACUCAAGGUGAAACGGUGCCCUGGUGAUUAAAUAUACGUAUGAAAAUUAAACUCUAUGCUAUAAAACUGUGAUGCAAAGGUGCAUGUAUCAAAGAGCCACGCAUUGGCCUUGCCGCUUUAAUGGAAGAUCGGGUGCAUCAAAAACAUCUUGUGGCACCGCGAUGAACUUUGACAGGGUGCCAACGGGAGCAGCAGGAGACGAGAAGGUGGUAUGUGCAAGUAUGUUGGGGCAACAAAGCCCGUAGGCAGUAGCAGGCGCCCUAGUUGAAGUUGUCUAGGCAACUGGGAAUGAAGGUGUGGGAGGUGAACGAUUGGGUGUAUUAGAGUUUUGUGCCGAGGAGCAGGGUGUUGAAUGCAGGAUGGUUGGAGGGCUAGGGUUGUUUGGAUUACCCCAACUUUUGCUUUUACUAGAUGAUACUCCAUGUGUUGCUGCUCAAAAUUAUUGCAAUGUAUUUUGUUGGAUUUGUUUGUAUAGAACAUGAAUUUUAUCAUAUGAGAAAUAAAAUUGAGGAUUCAUCACUGAAGUUUUUUUGUGAGGCCAUGCUUUAGAAUUUUUCCUCAAAAAGAGAUCCUAGCUAUGGACUUGCUUGUUCCUCAAUAGCUUCCGCUCACCAUGACAUGGGCACCUGACAUGCUGGGGCCUUUCGGUGCUUAGUUUCUUGGUAUGCUAUCUGACUCGACCAAACUCCUUGGGUGUCUUCCAUGUUCGUAAAGAACAUUUUGCAUUAUUAUAUCUUGUACUUCUUCUUGUAAUCUUGGUUAGCGUCCUAGCACAAACUUGAUGAUGAUGUGACGUAUAGAUCUUGCUUAACCCUUGCAGGGAAAGCCUGAAAUGGAACAAAGUUGAAACUCCAGGAUACACAUAUUGAAAAAAUUGAAAAAAAAAUAUAUACGGUGCAAGAGGGUUAAGUACACAAAAUGGUAGGUGGAUAGGGGUUCUGCGGGAUCCACACACCCCCUACAGGCGCCCCGGGGGUAGGGGGCAUGGCAUGUGGAGCCCACGAGACUCUACUUUGUGUCCUAUUUCAUAUUAGAGUUUGUAUUAUAGUACCUUAUCCGUUACCUAAUACUUGAUGAUACCCCGUGCGUUACAUCGAGAAUUUCUUCCUUUCAUGAUCAUAUCAGAUGAAAAACAUACAUUGGAUGAAUGGAAAGGAAAUAUGGCUUGGAAUGUUGAACAAAUACAUUGACAUUUGAAAUGUUGAUGUUAGGGAUCGAUGUAAUAUUGAUAUUUACAUUUGAAAUGUGGGAACAAAUAUAUUAUUGAGCAAACAUAGUCGAUUUAUCUCUAACGUGCAUUUAUUCCUCUACUUGGUACUUAGGUUUGCUUGUAAGAGCCCUGAAAUAAUCUUAGUACACUUGGCUUGAAAUGAGCAUAUGUUUACCUCCACACAAAUGUUCAAAUUCUUGUAGCCAGGUAUUAAACAUUGGAAACAAGAAAUACAUGCAUAAGAAUUAACCGUGGUCAUAAGAUAGUAAUGGUAAAGCACAUUGAAACCUAGUCGUUGUGUCAUCAAGCAUGACAUGAGCAGCCAACUGCAAUACAUAUUCACACAUCCAAAGGCAUCAUCAAUAGCAUCCGACCAUAUAGCUCUUGAAAAUUGGUUAGGAACCUGUAUUGUACACAAACUGAACUAAAAGAGAUAAAAUAUAAUAAUAGCAUGAUUACCAUUUAUGAAAGGCUUGUAACUUUAGGUUUUACUUUGUCUAGAAAACCUCCUACUGAAAUGCUCUUAUUUUUUUAUUCCUAGCAAAUAUAUUUUGUUUGAUUGGAACAUGAAUAUUUGGCUUUAUCAUAUGGAACAUAUAAGUUGAACAUCGUACAUAGCUCAUACACAUAUUCUUCAACGCUCUACGGCUGGGCAAUCCAUCAAGAGGUCCGGCUUCUCCUUGAAAGGAAGGGACCAAGCAACAACAACCUCCAGCUCGCACUUGCCUAGUGAACAUCAACAAUGGAUUGUUUGGCAUUUUUGUGCAAGGAUAUCGAACUGGCCCUCUUGAGUUUACCACCGAAUUUUGAGUAGGCUCGUAUGACAACUUUCAAUCUUCCAUGUGAUUCCAGCGAAACAACAUUCCUUGACAGAUGAAGGUAAUCAUUAGGUCUUUUAUGCAUUUCUUUGCCACAACAAUCAAGCAACACAAAUUCCCUAGAAGUGGGACCUAUAACAUCUUUAGUAGCAAAGCAAGUAACUCGGCAUCCAUGUUUAAAAGGACACAUCCCUUUAACAAUGUGAACACCAACGAUGGUGGCUUGGACAGUUGUGAGAAGUUGCUCAAGUCUUAACACCGUUGUGCACUGGUAGCCGUCGAACCUAAGAGAGGUAUCAUAUGUACCAUCAUAACGCUUGCUAAGACUGAUCCAUUCACAAUCUUGGGACUCCGCUCCCUCUUCUAUUGUGAGCUCAACUUCAAAGUCAACAGGGUCCAGAGCUACAAUCGCACGGGGCGGACCAGUCAAGCAUAAGAAAGGCUCAUGCAACAAGCAUCAUCAUAUCGUUAGACUUGAUUGCAUGGUUUUCCUCCUAAUUAGAAGUACCUUAUCAUAAGGGACUACUAAAGCCAGGAAAAGAAGAAGAAAAAUGAUGAGAAAUCUGAAAACACACACACACUACAUUUUUUUACAAAACACACACAGAAUACAUUUUUUCCCCUACCAAACAGACACAGACACACUACAUUUUUUUACAAAACACACACAAAAUACAUUUUUUUCCUACAAAACACACACACACACACACACACAGAGAGUACAUACCUUUUCGUUGUGUUCUUGGUAGUAAAGCCUUGACGGGUAGAAGAGAAUGUUGUGGUUGCGGUCCACAGUAUCUCGAGCGGUGACCAUGCCAUAAACUCUGAGUGGCCAGCUCAAAUUUCCAUUUAGUGCAAGGAUUUCGACGGAGUAGAUAUGCAAGGCGCUCCCAGCGAGAACGGAAGCGGAUGGGAUGGAAUCGGGUGUGUAGCAUGUGAAGUGCAUAGGGCUCAAUGUGGCUACAUCAAGCAAAUAAAGCCAACCAAAUUAAGACAAGUCCAAGGAAAGAGGAAGUUAUUGGUCUACUAGAAUUUCUAGACAAGCAAAUCAAGAGAUGAGAUUGUAAUUAAUUCAAGUUGUGUAGGAGUACAUACUUUUGUCUUGGAAGUAGCCGCAGCGUCCAAUCUUGCUGCCCCAUAAGGAUGAGAAUGUGUUCUUAAUCUUCUCCUUCUCCUCUAUAUCGUUCUACGCGGAGGAGACGGCGGUGGCAGCUGCACCGGAGGCGGAGGGUCUGUCGUCCGCAACGUACGCCGUGGACAGCAUCCGAUCGAUGGCCCAGGUCCUCCAUGUCCUGCACACAGAAGCCAAGUACCUCUCGAGUUACUCCUGUGUCGUGGCCGGCUCCAUAUCAUCCUAUCUUCUUCUCCUGGACCUGGUGGACGGAUGUCGCGUCCUCGGCGACCAUGUGAUCCUUUCCGGCUAUCCUCCUGAGGUCGCCUCCUGUUGGCUGCUUCCAGACGUACGGAGACGCCUGCGGUGAGGGAGGCGAGCAGGUCUCUGCGGUCCUUCUCCAGGGACAUGAUCUCCUCCAUCACCGUCGUCAGGACCGUGCACUCCGGCCACAGUUUCUUCAUGACCUGUACGUGUCUGUGUGUUUCGGACUGCCGCCGGUGGCCGUGGCUCAAAUAUUCUGGUCGAGGGCUUGCCUUCGCCUUGCCGCCUCCGUCGGGUAUACGAACCCACCUCAGACGGCCCAGUAGAUUCCACCUUGGGCCGGUCCAGAGUUUUGAGUCCACAACUCCAUAUUGAUGCACUGGGCCCUCUAUUUUAGGAUUUUUUUUUCUAUGUUGAAACCUCAUCAUUUUAUAUUUAGGAAUUUUAUUAAUAUUUAGCUGGAAAGUUUCAAACAAGACAAAUGGUGUGUAGAUGUUAGAGUGAUCUAUUCGCCGACAACUUUUUUCAUCAAAAACUUCGUGUAUUUCUGGUGUGUGUGAAAAAGAACAAGGAAAUGGGAAGCUAGGGUAGCAAAUUAAUCUUUUGGAGAAGGUGUNNNNNNNNNNNNNNNNNNNNNNNNNNNNNNNNNNNNNNNNNNNNNNNNNNNNNNNNNNNNNNNNNNNNNNNNNNNNNNNNNNNNNNNNNNNNNNNNNNNNNNNNNNNNNNNNNNNNNNNNNNNNNNNNNNNNNNNNNNNNNNNNNNNNNNNNNNNNNNNNNNNNNNNNNNNNNNNNNNNNNNNNNNNNNNNNNNNNNNNNNNNNNNNNNNNNNNNNNNNNNNNNNNNNNNNNNNNNNNNNNNNNNNNNNNNNNNNNNNNNNNNNNNNNNNNNNNNNNNGGGAAUCUGGCAUUUAAUUUCAUUUUUCAACAUGUGAUAUGUUUAUGGUUUUUCAACAUGAUCACCACCUUUUUAUACUUUUUUUUUGAAAAUGGAGAAUGUGCCCUGAACACCCUUGAUGGUUUCAGGACGAGUGUCUAGCUAUUUUUCUCUAUCACCCAUAAAACCGAGUUAUUUUCUCUCCCAGCUAAAAAGAACUAGUUUCUCUCACAUUUUUUAAAAACGGAGGCAAAAGAUUUGACUCGUCCAUUAUUUAAGAAGAAGAGAGUUGUCAAAUCAAUCAAUGGAAAACCGGAAGACAACCCUCUAAGCGGCACAGACAAGAUACCCUACACACACCACUACGAAGAAAGACUCGUCGAGGUAGCACAUAGGCAUCACUUCUCUCGUGCAAGUGACUCCGACUUUGCUGCAGACGACCAUCGACGCAGCCCAAUUCGCAAAGGCCAUGCGAAGCCACAUGAAGAAGCAUGUCAAUCACUCAGCCACCCACGACAGGGGCAACACAACUCCGAUUCUAACAGCGAGCUACGAAGAAAAAUCAUGCAAGCUGAUAUCGCAAAAGAUCAUCGAACGGACCACCUCUCAACCAUCAUCGUUGCCACCCAGACCCCGCAUAUCCUACACCACAUAAUAGAAAUAGCUCCCGAGUUGUUCCUUUGGUUGGUCGCUCCUGGAAUGCUGAAAGAUAAGUUCCGUCUUAUUAUGCUAAACUUGAGCCUGGACCUAGAUGGACGCCGCGGCCUCGACGGCCAUGUAAUCUUUUCCAGCGACCCCCUCCAAAGUUGGCUCUCUUGUCCUUGUCGUCGCUUCCAAACGGAAACCCCGGGGGCGACGGAGGCGAGUAGGUCCAUGUGCUCCCUCUCCAUGGACAUGAUCUCUUCCAUCAAGACGGAGUACUCAGGCCGCCGCUUCUCCAUGACUCGUGUUUCUGAAUGGUCUUGCCCUGUGUGGACAUGUGGCAUAGUCAUUGCACCGGUGGCCGUGGCUCUCGAUCGUAGCUGUGUCUCACUUCAUGCCAGACAGUAGACCACGUAGCCUGUAGGGAGCUAGUAGUAGUCCUACCCAGUAACCACAUGGUCUCGUCAUACUGACAUCGAGCGCAGUUUUUUCUUUUGUUUAUAUUUUGUAAAAUACUCCCUACGUAAAGAAAUAGUGAUCUAAACGCUCUUAUUUUUUUUUACAGAGGGAGUACUAAAUACAUAUAUUAUGAAAAACAAUUUAGUUAAUUUCUAAAAAAUGUCUAUUGCACAUCUAAAAAAUGUAAAUGCAGUGUAAAAGAAGUUCGCCCAACUUUAGAAAAUGCUUGUACCAUUCAAAAACAAUGUACAUGACAUUUCAAACAUGUUCAUGCAUUUCAAAAAAAGUGUAUGCGGUUUUUCUUUAAAACACUGUACAAUGUAAAACAAAUGUUCGUGUACGUUACAAUUAGAAAAAUGUCCACUUGUCUCAAACAAAAAAUUUGUGCCAUUUUUUAAAAAAUGUUUGUCUAGUGUAAAAAAUAUUUCCAUAGUUUUAAAAAUUGAAUCCUGAAAAUUUUGUUUCUACAUUUAUUUUAAAGAUAUUUAACAACUAUUCUAAAAAUGUUCAAAACAAGUAUUUGAAAAAAUGUUAAUUAUGAAAAAUUAAACAUAUAUAAAAAUGUUUUAUCUGUAUAUGAAAAAUGUAAAACGUGUAUGAAAAAAAUUGGAUAUCAAAACAUAUAUUUAAAAAAUUAAUGAUGUAUUUUAAAAAGCUUUGGACGUGUAUAAAAGAUUCCUUGUGUAUAAAAAAAUGUACGAUGUGUAUAAAAAAUACAUGUGUUGGAAAAAGGGGGGAAAUGACAAAUAAGUAAAUGGGUGAAAACCAAAGAAAUAACAAUGAAAAUGAUAAAAAAGCAAAAAGCAAAAAACAAAGAAAACCAGAGAAAAACCAAAAAAAGAUAUAUUCCACUCUGUCGAACUAGUCGAGUUUUGAUUUUUUUUUUCUCCUGUAAGUCAGUCGAUAUUGAUUUGUGCUCCUGUCUUUUUCGUUAGAAAUCAGAACUCUAUGGUUUGAUUCUUUAUUCUUUUAAAAUUUUAUUUGGACAAAUAAAAACUGAGGCUAAAAUACGCACAGGAGAAAAGCUCGCGGCCCGCUACUGUAUUGAGCCCUAAUAGGAAUCAGCACGAUCUGUGCAGCUUUAUUCUGGUCGCAAGCAUGCACACCGGCCCCUAUUCCUAUGAGCAUCACCGAGAGACUGGGCUGACGUAUAUAUCUUAGGAGAUGGAGAGAUGGAGUAGUGCAUAUGGUAUUAGGAUCAUACAUUAUAGAGAUAGCCACAGUAUUAACAAAAAAAGAAGGUGUCACUCUUGUCUAUUAUUGACCGCCUAGAAAUUUGAAGGGAAAACCCACAUGGCAUGUAUAUCACCACCGUCGACUACAUACGAACCUGCUGAUUUGAUUCUCUGUAUGGCGCGGGGCUUUUGUCCUGCACGGGAUAUACACGCUCACCGGCCAUGACCAUCCAAACUCGUCAAGUAUGCCAUAUUGUUGGCGUAGAUGCAGUUUCUCUGCACCCCGCCAUAUUGUUGGUCAAUGAUGUACCUCCUGAACGGUGGAGGACCGCCGUGCUUUCGGACCUGGAGUUGGCGGGGUUCGCUGAUGAACACCGGCCCACCAUCUUUGUUCACCCCUAUUUCGACCUUGACAAGUUGCUCCAGGAAGGUGAUGCCAUAGAGGUGAUGGCUCCACGACUAAGUCCUUUCUCUAGGACAUCUGCCGUGACAAAACCACGACAGUUGGCGCCCACCGUGGGGCUAUCGCACGAUGGUUUCAAGUUCUUGGAGGGCAACUUCGAAGGACUCAAGGGUUACGCUGUGGGCCGGAUGACUAAGAGUCGCCGCAGCAAGCUCUACAUCGACGAUGCAGGCUGGGGCCCCGAGGCCAGUUCAAUCGAGUACGGGUACCGGGUCCCCUUUGGUGGCAUACACGUUUUCAUUGGCAAGAUCGGCGAACCGGGCCCUGAGCCGGACAUCUGCACCGACCUCGUCGAAACGGCUCAGCGUGCGAGAUCUGCCCGGGUCAAGCCUGUCAUGAAGCGUGCCUUCGUGGGAGUUAUCCAUGGAGGGGAAUAUGAGGAUAGAUCGGAAUCUGGUGGGGAGACCAUCGUUUAUUCCGGCAACGAGUCAUCGACCGGAGAGACCGAGUCGCUAUAUCAGUUACAAGAUGGUCGGAUUGGGGGCUGUUCCGAUGGCGACAGUAUUCCGGACCCCUUUGAUCUGCUAAACCGGGUUGCGAUCUUCAUGGCCGGCACGCAACCGGCGCUCCACUCUUCGACCGCAGUGGCGAUGAUUUCCGGAUCGGCAGCGGCCGGGGCAGGAGGCCCUGUGCGACCGCCAGCUCAGGUUAUAUCUGAUUUGUUUGACGCGUUGGCGACGCUGAUGGCGGAGGUUAACCCGGCGAAUCAGGAUGCACACAAUGCGGAAAUCGCGAAAGUGAAAGAUCAGAUCACCCAGGCCAAAGCCGACUUAGCAGCUGAGAAUACCAGGAUAGCCGCGGAGCGGGCCGCUUUGGAUGCACAAGCUUACCGGAUUAUGCUGGAUCAGAGUGCGUCGAACGAAGUCCUGAAGAGGAUGCACCGAUCUCGCCUGCCGCCGGUUUACGACGCUAGAAAUCUCUUUAACACCCCAGGAGCAGGGACCAGUAAUCCGCCGGUGGUAAACCGGGCGGAGGCACCUGGAGCAGGGGCGCCGGUUCAGCCACGUUUGGUGGAUCCGCCUCGUCAGAACAACAUUGUAGUAACGCAUGUCCCCACGCCACCGGGUCAUUAUUCUAACCCAAUGGACAACAUUGUCGCUGCCGCUUCGCGGCUGGCGGCCAUCCCGAUCGAGGGCGAUUCUCCGGCGGCGGUCGAGACGCGUCUGGUUAAGGAGCUUCUUCAGACAAACUUGGUUCAACGGGAGGCUUAUUCAUAUAGUCGCGAUCGGAUUCAUUCCACUCCCCGUCCAAGCCGGAGUUACAGCAGGCGUAUGGAUGAACCGGCAGUGUCAAGCAAUGUGUGGAACCGUGAUCCGCCCCAUGGCAAUAACCCGGCGGGUGGUGCUGGUGAUGCUCAGGAGGUGGUGGACCGGGUUCGGGCACGCAGAGAGGCCGAGUUAGCAGCGCAGCAUGAAGCCCGUCAGCUUACUCCGGUUCGUCCAACCACAUCGGUGGAACCAGGAGUUACCUCUAAUUCUUUGGGAGUGCCAUGUCUUGUCCCAGCGUUGCGCAAUGUGCGCCUGCCCAAGGAUUUCAAGGGCCCGCGCAAGGUGCCGAAUUACACCGCCGAUUUAUCCCCUGAAACGUGGGUCGAAAGCUAUGAGAUGGCCAUGGAGAUGCUGGAUGUGGAUGAUGCGGCAUGUGUGAAAUACUUCACCAUGAUGCUAGAAGGGACGGCCCGCACUUGGCUAAAGAGCUUACCGGCUAAUUCUAUCAGGUCAUGGGCCGAGUUGAGAGCCCGGUUUAUUCAGAAUUUCAAGGAUACAUGCAAGCAGCCCAUGUCGAUUGUGGACUUAGCUGCCUGUGUCCAGGAGGAAGGAGAAUCAACAACCCAUUUGGUGCGCCGGGUUUCGGAGAUUUUGCAUUCAUCGGACCGCAUCAACGCUGACACCGCAGUUUUAACAUUGGAAGGCAAUUGCCGGUUUGAACCCCUGAAGUUGAAGUUGGGACAGCUCAAACGUCAUUGUAAUGACAUGGGAACCCUCAUGACUGCACUGGUGAAGUAUGCCGACUCUGAUAGUACCAAGGAUCCCGAGUCUGACGAUGAUAAGACAGGGAAGGGAAAGAAGAGCGGCAACGCCAAGGGGCAGCACCACAACCCGGCGGGUCAUGGAAACGGCGGCAAGCGUAAAGCGGACCACGGUUUAGACUUUGUGGCUAACACUAAUACACAUGACAAGGGCCAGCGGUGUAAGGGUAAACCGCCCCAGUGCGGUGGAAAGCCAAGUCCUAAUCCGGACCGUUUGUCUUAUCUGUUGAACCAGCCCUGUCCAAAGCAUGGGACGAAGGAGGACCCGUCCACGCACCUCUGGAAAGAUUGUUACAUCAUGCAAGAGUUCAAAAAUUCUGAUUCUUUCCGGUAUGAUCAUGGACCAAGAGGCGGUUCGGGCCCCGGGUCUCAUGGGCCGGGUUAUGGCGGAGGAAAUUCUGGUUCAGGCUUCCACGGCAAUCAGGGUGGACAUAGCAAUCAAAGUAAUCAGGGUAACCAAGGUGGCUAUAAUAAUCAGGGCAAUCAGCAGCAGCAGCAGUCGGGUUACCAGAGCAACCCGAAGCAGUUGAAUGGAGGACAGUAUCAUGUCUUCACCACUAGCUUGGACAAGCGCGAUCAGAAGCUUCAUAAAAGGGUGAUGAAUGCCGUUGAACCAACCGGCGGUGCCCCGUUAUUUGCGCUGGUCCGAGCAGCCGAUUGUGUGGAGUAGAGAAGAUCAUCCACCCCGGGUUGACAAUCCGGGUCAUCUGGCUCUGGUGGUGGCACCUCAGGUGGGAGGUUAUAAGUUCAUUAAGGUACUCAUGGAUGGAGGAAGUAGCAUUAAUAUCCUUUAUUAUGAAACUUUCCGUCGCAUGGGGUUAACAGAUAAAAAUCUUAAACCGUCCAAUACGGUGUUCCAUGGUGUGGUGCCUGGUAAGUCGGCAUAUCCUGUUGGUAAGAUAGCUCUGGAGGUGACUUUUGGAGAUGAGCAUGACUCGAGAUUAGAAACCUUGACCUUUGAAGUGGUGAAAAUCAGAAGCCCGUAUCAUGCCCUAUUUGGACGGCCAGCUUAUGCUAAGUUUAUGGCACGGCCUUGUUAUGUCUAUCUGCAGCUCAAGAUGCCAGGUCACAAGGGAACUAUAACCGCGCAUGGGAGCCACAGGAUUGCUCUGGAGUGUGAACAAGGUGAUGCGGCUUAUGUUGAGUUGGUUUGUGCAACAGAAGAGUUGAAGUUUUACAAAGACAAUGUUGAUCCGGCAGAUAUGACUUCGUUGAAGAAACCAACUACAGAGCAUGAUCCGGCCUUGAAAUUUAAAUCGGCUGAUGAGACUAAGCUUGUUGACUUCGUGCCUGGCGAUUCGUCCAAGCAGUUUAGCAUCAGUGCUAACUUGGAUCCGAAAUAGGAAAGCGCGCUCAUCGAGUUCAUCCGUGAGAAUCGGGACAUCUUUGCAUGGAAGCCUUCUGACAUGCCUGGUGUACCGAGAGAACUCGCUGAGCACACUCUCAAUGUUGAUCCUAAGUAUAAACCGGUCAAGCAGUUUCUCCGCCGGUUCAAUGAAGAAAGACGCAAAGCUAUUGGAGAAGAAGUAGCCAGGCUCUUGGCGGCUGGAUUUAUCGUUGAAGUAUUCCAUCCUGAGUGGUUGGCUAAUCCGGUGCUGGUCCUCCAGAAGAAUGGCACUUGGCGUAUGUGUGUGGACUACACAGAUCUCAACAAAGCUUGUCCAGCAGAUCAUUUUGCCCUUCCCCGUAUUGAUCAAAUUAUUGAUGCUACGGCGGGUUGCGAGCAUUUAAGCUUUUUGGAUGCAUAUUCUGGUUAUCAUCAGAUCAAGAUGGCAGUUAAGGACCAGGAGAAGACAGCCUUCAUAACUCCCUUUCGAGCCUUCUGCUAUGUGUCCAUGCCCUUUGGGCUCAAGAGUGCCCAGGCGACUUAUCAACGGUGUGUGCAGAAUUGUCUUCAUAAACAGAUCGGCCGCAAUGUUCACGCCUAUGUGGAUGAUAUUGUGGUAAAAUCAAGGAAUAAGGAGAUAUUGAUUGAUGACUUGAAGGAAACCUUUGAUAACCUGCGGGUUUAUAAAAUGAUGCUUAAUCCGGCCAAGUGUGUCUUUGGUGUACCUGCAGGCAAGCUCUUAGGCUUUUUGGUGUCUAACAGGGGCAUUGAAGCUAAUCCGGAAAAGAUCAAAGCCAUCACCUCCUUGGCUAAACCGAAGUGUAUCAAUGAUGUUCAACGCCUGGCAGGCCGGAUUGCCGCGUUGAGCCGGUUUGUCAGUCGCCUUGGCGAGAAGGCCAUCCCUUUGUAUCAGAUGCUGAAGAAAACGGAUAACUUCGUCUGGAGUGACGCCGCUAAUGAGGCAUUUGAGGACUUAAAGCGGCAGCUGGCUAAUCCACCGAUUCUCGCUGCUCUAGUGGAUAAAGAACCAUUGUUGCUAUAUGUGGCAGCUAAUGCUCGAGCUGUUAGUGUGGCUAUUGUGGUGGAGCGCAAGGAGGCAGGAAAAGAAUAUCCGGUUCAGCGGCCGAUUUACUAUAUCAGUGAGGUACUUAUUGAGUCCAAGCAGAGGUACCCACAUUGGCAAAAAUUGGUGUAUGGGGUUUUUAUGGCAAGCCAGAAGCUUAAGCAGCAUUUCCAGGGUCAUCCCAUCACGGUGGUCAGCUCUGCUCCUUUGGGGGAUAUAAUUCAGAACAGGGAAGCAACUGGCCGGAUUGCUAAGUGGGCUAUCGAGCUCGGGCCUCACGGGUUGAAAUACAUACCCCGAACGGCGAUCAAAUCUCAGGCACUUGUGGAUUUCAUCAAUGAUUGGACAGAAUUACAAGCGCCAGAGUAGAAGCCGGAUCAUACUUAUUGGACUAUUCAUUUUGAUGGGUCCAGGCAAUUGGAGGGCUCGGGGGCUGGAGUCGUAUUAACUUCCCCACGAGGUGAUAAGUUUUGUUAUGUUCUCCGUUUAAUAUUUCCUUGCAUUAACAAUGCAGCUGAAUAGGAGGCUUUACUCCAUGGUCUUCGGAUGGCUAAGGAGAUGAACCUAAGCCGAGUUAAGUGCUUCGGUGACUCGGAUCUGGUGGCUCAAUAAGUGUCCAGCACUUGGGAUUCCAAGGACCCACUAAUGGCAGCAUAUCGUCGUGAGGUGGAUAUUGUUGCAGGUCACUUUAAAGGUUAUCAGGUGGAUCAUGUGGACCGGCGGAAGAAUGAAGCGGCGGAUGCUUUAAGCCGCCUGGGUUCCCAACGUAAACCGGUUCCACCUAAUGUCUUCCUGGAUGUUUUGCAUAAUCCGUCCGUCAAGCUUCCUGGUGAAGAGGAUUUGGCUGUUCCUGAUCCGGAGGCUCAGUUGGUGACGGCCCUUCAUGUUAUCCCGGAUUGGACGGUUCCAUAUCUGGCGUAUAUGAACCGAGGCGAGUUACCAGAGGAUAAAACUCUGGCCAGGUAGAUAAUCCGGCGGUCCAAGUCCAUGACUAUUAUCAAUGAAGAGCCCAGCACUGACGGCGCGGCCAACCUACUGCGGCAGCCCAGCGCCUCGACUUCCGGCUCCGUGAAGCUUAGCUCCAAGCCCGGGCGAUAUGAGAUCCAUGCAAGCGCCAAGACGAGCGCGCCAUCUACGUCGACCUCGCUCACGCAGGACUACAACGAUCAAUCGAUCUUCACCGACCUUUGGCUCCGGCCAGACGCCGCGGACAUGUACGGGCGACAGGCGGCCCAUGCACACGAUCAGUUUUCGAUCGGCUUCGACACACAGCGAUCGCAUCGGCAACUCGGACUGGGAGCAGAUCGGUUCCCUUGGAGCCGGCACUUGCACCCAUCCAUCGAGAAGUCAGGAACUCGGAGGCCGGGAGCGUGGACAACUACAUCGGCAAGCACCUCCAUCGACCCAUGCAGCCAUGCACAAAAACAGCACGUACGUGCUAUAUCAGGACUCAGGCUUGAAUCUUGAUAUCGAUUCGGCUAGCUUCAACGAUGCAACUCCGAGGGCCCCCAGCUGCAUGUGUCUACAUCAUCCCGACGCACGGCGACUCCGUGGGCACAAUCGAUCGCGGGAGGGCAUGCAGCAUUGCAUCAGCUGUCUUCAUCGACUUCGGACACACGCGCAGGCGAGGUCUACAUCAAGCCAACUCCAUCGACCAGACAGACCACUCGCGCCCCGCCAUGCCGUCUACACCGAGCUAUCUGCAUCAAUAUUCAUUGACCCGAGCCGAACGACAUCGAGCUGUACGACUACGCCGAGCCAACAUACUUCUUCUCACCCUGGCACGAUAUGGACAUUUCGUUGCCGCGGAGGGACGCCUUCCAGCGAUGCAUCGUUGUCGACGUGCCGCUGUAACGUCAUCGACGACACUUUAUUGCCAAGGUCUUGAUCAACGUGGUUUUCACCAACAUCUUCAUCAUCACACCGUCGCCGCCUCGUUCACAAGAUGGACACCUUGCGUCCUCUGACAGAAUUUUCUGCAAGACGCGACCUCGACGACUGUAAUGACCGCGUCACGACGAGACGGCAUCGACCGCGUCAUUCAUGACGGCAACACUGCAUCGACACAGCGUUACUAUAGUGACGACCCCUACACGGCCACAUGGUUCUGGCAAAACCGAUGUGUGCUCGAUGGGUUUCCUCCGGUCCUGGAAAAACCGGUGGACUCAUCGCCAACGGCACCCUUUGACAUCCGCAAGGUGCAUCGUCCACGUCUGCAGCUCCGUCACAUCGCGUUUUCUUUGCGCCUCUGGCUUUGUGCGGCUUCAUCAUCCACAACGACUACACCAUCGACCACGACUACAUCGACCACGGCUACAUUACCAUGAUCGGCAACAUUGACAUUAACAUUAAUGGCUUGGUCUACAGCAACACACCGGCAACAACUCCAGUCAAUAGCGUCCGCGUCGUCACGAGCGUUCACGACACUCCCGCUGUGACUGCCGGAGGGAAGAGAGGAGAGACAAGGAAGGCACCAGAAGGGGACGUAGUCAUCGCCCUAGGUGCCGACCCAUCAGAGAUGUAGUUGAUGAUGGCGCAGCGGAGAAGAUGAUGGAAGCUCAAGACAACUUGAAAUUCAGUCGUAAUCGUCCGCUUCACUCCCGCUACGACUGAGGGGGGAUGUUAGAAGUAUAUUUACAUUUGAGAUAGAGAUAGCAUAGGUUUGAACCAUGUGUAACUUGUCCUCUACUCCAAGUCUUUCUCCCUCCAUUGUACCUCUAUAUAUACCCCGUACACGGGUGAGAUCAAUACAACAAAAACAACACAAAUAUUCAUCCAUCCAACAUUUUUCCACAACUAGGAAUGCUAAGAAUUAAUGACAGCAGUAAGAAACAAUCAUGGUGGAUAGUCACCAAAUGAAUUGAUAAUAAGGGAUACAAACAAAAUGGAUACAAAUAGCAUGGAUGGGUGUUGAGACAAGAAUCUCCUAAAGCUGAUCAGGGGCAGUGCCUUCACAUUGGAACAUCCAUGCAUUGAUAAGUAGAAGUGCCUUGACAGUAUUGAGAAGCCCAUGGACCAGCAAAAUUACCUCCUUGUGUUGAAGGAUUCAUGCCUGGACAACUUGACUCAAUAUUGGGAAGCCCAAUGUCCAACAAAAUUUCCUCCUUGUAAGGAACAUUCAUGCCUUCAAAAGUACUUCAGAAAUGCCAUCUUCUCCGUCGUCCUCGAACAUUUUGUGUCCUCUCAAGUCUGUGUUGGAAUGUCUCCAUCCCAGUGUGGUGCAACAGAAGCCAGAUAUAGGAGAGGUACUCCCCGCCGCCGCCCAUACUUUUGGCAUGCAAGUACCCUCGGCAUCUACCAGCAGAAAAACAGAGCAUCUCGACCCACACACCUUGUAUCACCUCCCACAUCGUCUUCUCGUCAAUAUCUUUCAACCAGGUGUAAAGCGCCACUGCGUCGCAGACAAAGGAUGCAUCGUCUCUACAAAUCAAAGUAUCAACAAUCUUUUGGGCGAGUUUUCCUUUAUCCAUGGGUGUCUCCUGACGCUUGAAGAUGUCAUUGAGUUGGUCAUAUGCGAGUUUGCAAAGAUGCUUUCUACUGCCUGGCAAUAGCAUCUCAGGAUUAGCAAAUAACAAAUGCAUCAUAUAGUUGGAUAUUUCUCUGCAUCGCUGGGCACACUCUUCAUCGUCUGGAGAUGUGCUUCUACAGUAAAAGCAGAAAUCUGUCACCAAGUGCCAGACAAGGACACUCUGAUCGAAUGGCUGCUGUAAGCUGUUGUGUAUCUCUUGGUCACAUUUCUUGUGCUGAAGUGUCAACUGGCCCCUGAUAUCAUUGAACUCCUUGUAACUCUUAGCAUCAGUUAUGUACUUCUCCCACCCAUCUCUGAUAUGUUGAUGAACUAACUUUGUAAUGUUCUUGGAUGAGUCACAAGACUCCAUGCCCAAACAUUGGCUAACGAAGACCUCGCACGAUAAGCUCCUAGCGAAGCUCAUCAGCUUGCUUGGCUUUUUGGUCUGGGCAAAGAAUCCUAUGAUGUUAUGUUGAGCGACCGUGGCAGACCACUCGUUACUGAGUAAUAUCAGCCCAAAUAGGGAAGAGAACUCUAGCACAAGAGUCCCGUACAGCAAUACAUAUGUAAUAAUGACAUCGCUAAGGUUAUAUGUUUGUUUGUGGCUUUUGUAGAACAGAACAAUGGCCGCAAUUUGCGACGUCACGGAGAAUGACCACAUCAAAACAAAACUCCUUCCGCUCAUAUCUUUGGUCCAAGGACUUUUUGUAUAGAGAACAUCAAAUAAAUCGGAGAGGCCGUUUGUUAGUGUCUCAUGAGCUUUUUCGUCAUCUAGGUGACAAAAACUUUGUAGUAUAGUCUGGCGAAUCUCCAAGUUAAGUGCAUUGUCUAUCAGUAGUGUAUGCAGUAUGUAGGAGCGAUCAUUGGGGGGUUCUAGAUCUUUUUGGAGCAUGGCGGCCUUUGCAUCUCGCACAUAGGCUUCUAGCUCGUUUUGUCCAUCUGUAACUCUAUCAGUAUUUCCAUCCAAAAACCUACCAAGGCUGCUGAAGCUAGCACUCAUGAGAUCCAACGGUUUCGUGAAGCAUUUGCCAGCCCCGAGGGUGAAAAGGAAAAUUGCUGCAUCCACUAACUUUUCAUCAGCAGAUGAUGGCCAUGACUUGCAGAACACGUAGAUAGCUACCGUUACCUGAGACGAUACAGGAGGAGAAUCAAGAAAGUUGAAGAUUUCUCAAGCAACAAAGAGUAAAAACUAUAUAUCUUCCCUAAAGCAAUUGAUCGUCAUAAUACCAAAUAUGAUAUGUCCAGCCGAGUAAAUAUGAGUACAUAAAUUGCCUUUGAAAUCACAUUUCAAGACUUAUGUGAGACGUGCACAAUUUAAAAUAAAAACAAUAAGGAAAUGGAUUUAUAUUUGAAACAAAAAGGAAAAGAUGGCAAGUGGACUCUCAGAUUUUUGUUAUGCCAGUGAGAAAUUAAAUGUAGUCUGCUAAAGGCUUUUUAAUAAAAUGGCCGCAUGCAUCAUUCUGAUGCAGGGAUAACCUCCUUUUCAAAAAAAAAAAGGUGUUGUCUAAAGAAGCAAAGCUGCAACAUAUUGAAAGAGAAAAGAUACCUGAGACAAGGAGGUGAUGAUGUGCCGCUUCCACAACUCGUUGUCUUCAAUGUUAUAUGCGGUUAUGACGAGCUGGCCGCCGAGAUGUAUGAGCAGGAUAGGCGCCCACAGGACCUGUAGAUCGCGGCUACGGUACUGCAUCUUCUUUUGGCGGUUGAAGAGCGUGGCGAGGGCAUAAAUGGCCAGGGCGUCGCUGGCUAGAUAUGAGAGCCAGAUGAAGAAUCUGUACCAAGGUGGAAUACGGGACUUGCGCCUGCGCGCGGAGAAGAAGAGGAAGUACUGAACGGCAAGGCUUCCCAAUACGAGGGCAGGCAGCUGCUCCUGCUGCCACCAUGAAACAACACUCGAGGAACCCAUCCUCUAUCUUCUCCGUCUAUGCCUAGCUUGUUUGUGUAUGCAGCAGGUUUCUACUGAUUCCUUCAUUUUUCCGAUAAGUGGAAGCCUACCUCUUAACUAAUUUAUGCUGCCUUUCUCGUCUGACUUGGGACAAAGCAAAUACAGCUAGCUGCUAAACACUGGCGGAGCUUGCCAAGAAAUUAUGUUUUCUCUUCUAAACCUUGUAAAAAGAAUUCCUUCUGUAAUAAUUCUUUAAAAGUUGGAACCUACACAUUACCUGGCUGGACUUGGUCAUGCAUGAAACAAGAGGUACUCUUGUUUACUCAGGAAGGCGUGAACCACAAACGCGGAGCUUUUGAUGUCGGAUGUUGAUUAAACCGUCAUCUCUGCACGCUAUGCCUCCUUAUGACUGCAUGCACCAUUCUCAUACCACUACUGGAAUUUUCAUGUACGCCGGGUGUACUGCUCUUCGCCGAGUGCUAAAACACGGACACUCGCCUGGUCCCACAUGUCAGGAACCGCCGGCACCGUCUGCUAUCCGUUAGCUACUUUACUUUGCCGAGUGGUACUGUUUGGCUCUCGGCAAAGUCUUUGCCGAGUGCCCUUGUUCUGACUCUCGGCAAAAUCCUGUUUGCCGAAAAGGUGUAUGCCGGGUGGCUUUCACCGAGGGUGACACUCGGCAAAGGCUUUGCCGGCGGUUUUCGGCCCUUUGCCGAGUGUCCGUGGCACUCGGCGUAGCCCAGAAUUCCGGUAAUGUACAGAGACCCUCCUUGGUGACCCUCCUUUUUAGAAAAAAAACGUAUGGCUAUGCCACAAAAUCCAAAGCAAGGCAUCUCCAUUUUGAUUAAGGGAGUGUAAUUUUAGUUUUGUCUUAAGUUAAUUUUAUGUAUAGGAGUAUCUUAAUUCUGACCAAGUUUAAAGAGAGGAAUAUCAAUAUUCAUGGCAGUAAAUAGGUAAUUUGACAUGUCGCAUAACAACACUACUAAUUUGGUGACAUAAAUACUUUAUAUAUACUAAGUCAAGCUUAGAAAAGGUAAUUUGACUUCUUGGGUGUUGUAGGUGGUCGAUCCAUCCUCGCUCCAAUGGCGGAGAUUAGUAAUGCAGUGAGUUCAUUAAUUAUUUAUCAUUGUGGGACUUCAUUAGGGGCACCGUGCCCCGGCCAUGCCGCCUCUGACCCCCUUGGUACCAACGACGCCAACGAGAUGCUUUUGCUCGACUUGCUCGCCUGCGCGCAAGCAAAUGCGCUAGUGAAGCGAGACGCCAGCUAUGGUGACAAACGGUGUGCGGAAGCUGCUAUGGGGCAAGUACGCGGCGGUCCGGCGGCAGAGAUACAUGACUCGACGCGGAACGGCGUGCGGGGGUGUCUUGCAGUCUGGCCACCUUCGACAGCCCGGAGGAUGCCGCCAAGACGUACGACCAGGCGGCCCUGGCGCUGCCGGGCAGCGCCGCCUUUCUUAACUUCCCCAUCGAGUAUGUAUGGCCCUCAUUGGAUGGCGCGGGUGACGACAUGUGCGGACUUUUACGUUUAGUCCCACAACGGAAAAUUAAUGUGGUGGAACCCAACUUAUAAGGUGAGGCUGUUGUGGAACCUAGUAUGCAAUUUAAAUAAAAUUCCUACAAUCACGCAAGAUCUAUCUAGGAGAAGCAUAGCAAUGAGAGGGGGAGAGUGUGUCCACGUACCCUCGUAGACCGAAAGCGGAAAUGUUAGCUUAACUCGGUUCAUGUAGUCGAACGUCUUCACGAUCCAACCGAGCAAGCACCGAACGUACGGGACGUCUGAGUUCUGCACACGUUCAGCUCGAUGACGUCCCUCGAACUCUUGAUCCAGCAAAGUAUCGAGGGAGAGUUUCGUCAGCAGACGGCGUGGUGACGGUGAUGGUGAUAUGAUCCGCGCAGGGCUUUGCCUAAGCACUACGACAAUAUGACCGGAGGAGUAAACUAUGGAGGGGGGCACCACACACGGCUAAGAGAACAAUUUAUGUCCUUUGGGGUGCCCCUGCCCCCGUAUAUAAAGGAGGAGAGGGAGGAGGCCGGCCCUAGGGGUGCGCCAAGUGGGGGGGAACCGACUUGGACUCCUAGUCCUAGUCCCCCCCCCCCUUCUUUCUUUCGAAGGGGAAAGGGGGAAAGGAGUGGGAGAGGGAGAAGGAAAGGGGGGCCGCGCCCCCUCCCCUUGUCCAAUUCGGACUGCCCAUGGGGGGGCGCGUGCCACCCCUGUGGGCUGCCCUCUCUCUCCCCUAUGGCCCAUGUAGGCCCAUUAUUUUCCCCGCGGGGUUCCGGUAACCCCUUACUACUAGGGAAAACCCUAGCAGUAGCGUGGGUAUUUUGCCUAUCAGUAGCGCGGGACGACGCGCUACUGAUAAGGCGCUACAGCUAACGUGUAGCAGUAGCGCCUGUCGUCCCACACUACUGCUAUACAUGGCUAGCAGUAGCACGCUUUAGUGCAGAGCGCUGCUGCUAAUAUCUGUAGCACUUUUUAGCAGGAAGCGCUACUGGUAAGGGAGCGCUACUGCUAACUUUGUUCCCCUCGCUACUGCUAGUUUUAUUAGUUUCUGUUUUUUUCUGCAUAUUUGUUAUGUAUUUGAAUAGGCUUUAUACAAUAAUCUUUAGCAUAUCAUACACAUACAAAUGUAAUCAUAGCAUAUACAUACAAAUAGUCUCAUCAAAUAAUGUCAUCAUCAUAAUCAUCAUCCAACACAAAGUGGUCUCUCGUCAUCAUCUCGAAAAUAGCGAUACAAGUCUCGAUUACUUGCAACUACAUCGUCAUCCAUCUAAACAAUGAUAUACGCGAGAAGAGCUAAGAGUAAACUGUGGAGGAGGGCACCGCACACGGCUAAGAGAACAAUUGAUGUCCUUUGGGGUGCCCCCUGCCCCCGUAUAUAAAGGAGGAGAGGGAGGAGGCCGGCCCUAGGGGCGCGCCAAGUGGGGGGGAACCGACUUGGACUCCUAGUACUAGUCGCCCCCCUCCUUUCGGAGGGGAAAGGUGGAAAGGAGUGGGAGAGGGAGAAGGAAAGGGGGGUCGCGCUCCCUCCCCUUGUCCAAUUCGGACUGCCCAUGGGGGGGCGCGUGCCACCCCUGUGGGCUGCCCUCUCUCUCCCCUAUGGCCCAUAUAGGCCCAUUACUUUUCCCGGGGGGUUCUGGUAACCCCCCGGUACUCCGAAAAAUAUCUGAAACACUCAGAAACCAUUCCGGUGUACGAAUACUAUCGUCCAAUAUAUCAAUCUUUACCUCUCGACCAUUUCGAGACUCCUCGUCAUGUAUGUGAUCUCAUCCGGGACUCCAAACAAUCUUCGGUCACCAAAACACAUAACUCAUAAUACAAAUCGUCAUCGAACGUUAAGCGUGCGGACCCUACGGGUUCGAGAACUAUGUAGACAUGACCGAGACACAUCUCCGAUCAAUAACCAACAGCGGAACCUGGAUGCUCAUAUUGGUUCCUGCAUAUUCUAUGAAGAUCUUUAUCGGUCAAACCGCAAUGACAACAUACGUCAUUCCCUUUGUCAUCGGUAUGUUACUUGCCUGAGAUUCUAUCGUCGGUAUUGUCGGGGAAACGACACCUAUGGAAUCACUGGGAUUCCUUCUACGGUUGGCGGGCGCGGGGUUGUGCAGAGAGCGGGUCUGACAGGAAGCACACAGAUCGUUUACCCAGGUUCGGGCUGCGAGGAUGCCUAAAACCCUAGUCCUGCUUUGGUGUAUGUAUUUGAGUGUUCUUGUGUUCUUGAGCUAGCUACGGGGUGUAACUUCCCCAAAAGAUCCGAAUCCUUCUCCUGGUCGCCUCGGUCCUCCUUUUAUAGACAAAAGGGGUUUCCACAGUGGCACACAGGAGGUGGAAAGGUGUACAAUGGAUGAGUCUAUCCUCUGGCACCGUCGGACAAACGCAUUUAAUGCGCUGCUGACGUGCCCCUCUCGCUUUAUUAGGGACGGCAAGGAAGCUCGUCCUAGCUGUCGCCGCCUCGCUUGGCUUCGACAUGCGUCCGAGCUGACGAGGCGUCAUGGCGCCAUGUUGGCUGACUGUUGGGCUGGCGCGGUGGUGGAGCCUUCACGAAGAUCUGCAUGCCACCACGCAGGUGCUUACUGAGUCGGUCGUGGAGGCCGCUCGUCGCCAUGCAAGUGCCUGCCCAGCUGGUUGAGCUGGCAGCUGCAUGGGGACGGCGGUGGAGUCUUGGCAGACGCGGGCUCUGCUGCUGCCCCGUAGGUGUCUCCGGCAAGGGUCUUGCCGGGGCCCCGGCAAGGGUCUUGCCGCGGCAUCGUGACGCUUGCCAGGGGUCUUGUGGAUUUCCUCGGCUAGGGAUCCCGCCGAGGAUCGUCGUCUUCUGGUCCUCAUCUGAUCUCGUAUGUUCAUGAUCUUGACAAAGAUCUGCAUGCCACCACGGAGGUGCCUCCCGAGCCUUGGUUCCAAUGUGGUCGUUGGCGGCGUUGGAACCCUCGAGCUCAAGGGUGGCUCGCUCUGCUGGUGUUGGGCAAGCUGCCCUGGCAAGGCUCUUGCCGGGGCCACGGAGGCCGCCCCGGCAAGGGUCUUGCCGGGGGAGUCUGCCUUGCCCCUUUGCCCUUUUGUGUUUCUUGGCCUCGGCAUUGCCUCUGGUCGCCUUGUGCCUUCGGCUUCCCUCCUCUGCCCUGCUUAGUGUGGCCGUGGGCGCGGCUCCGACUGCCUGUGCACAAGUAAAGAGGUAAAAAGGAGAGCCCCUACUUUUGUAUACUGACAGGAGCCCCCGGGCCUGGGCCACAUAUAAGCGCAACGCGAACGGUGCGCGGGCAGGCAGGGCGAGAUUUUAACGUGGUAACUUCUUCGCUCGCUUGCGCUUCCCCACGACCCGCGUUGAACGCGUGUCGUGGAGGGUCGUUCGUGACGUGGGGGUCAUGCGUGGGGUGGUUCCCGCACGCAUGCGUCACAUCAUGGUAAAAAGGCGGCUCGCGCCUUCCCCAUAAAAAGAGGGAGACGCAGAGGCACGGCUCAUUUACUGAGUGGACUCGGGUCAUGGUCUUCAAGGCGUCCGCGCCCCACGAUCAUGGGGUGGGGAGCGGUCGCCUCAACCGUCCCCUCGAUUCUGCUUGCUUGCCACGUGUCCCCCAUGCAGGUGGCAGGCGGUGGAGGCGGGAAACCGGACUGUCGCUGAUUGGGGCAGCGGGUCGGUCUUGAUUCCCUGCGCCCUCGAUGGCCGGAUUGGUUGAGUGGGGCGGCCGAGCCCCGACCCCGCUCCUUUAUAAGAAUGGGGAGGGGGAUAUCAUCCCACAUUCUUCCAUCAUCCAUCUCCUUCCACUUCCGCUCCUUUCUUUCAUCUGCCAUGGUGAGAGGGGGCACCGGCCCUUCAACGGUGGCAGCUAGGGUCGCUGCUCGGCAGGGCGUCCCUCCUUCCCAAGAGCUCGCGGCAGCGGAGCCGGCCACGAGAGGAAGGGGGAGGGGGCGAGGCCAAGUUCUCCGUGGCGCUCGGGAAAGAGGGGGCGAGGCGGCGCACCAGCCUUGCCUCCGCCCGCGAUGCCUCCCCCGAUGGAGGGCCACGUCGGGGACCAGCCCUGUGAGUUCUUCAUCAGGCUGCGCCGGCCAUCGGGUCGUCGUAUUCGUCUCCCUACCCCAUUUGCUCGGGAGAUGGAGCUCGAUCCGCCCCAGACCCUCAGGCUGCACAUGAGGGGCUGCGGGAACGGCGGCACGCGGGUCGACGUCGACUUCCCGCUCCUCACGUCAUGUACCUCUGUCGCGGAUGGAAGACGUUUGCUCGUGUCCACAGCCUGACGGCGGGGCUCAUUCUCUAUUUCAAGUUAAUGGAGAACGGCCUGCUCUCUGUCAAGGUCUUUGGAGAUCUUGGAACUCACCUAAAGUGCUGCGUGGAGAGCUCCUCUGACGAUGAAGAUUCCUCCUCAAGCGGUAGUGGCGAGGAGGAUAGCGACAGCGACGACGAGGGCGUCAAGCGGUGGGACGCCGAGCUCGACUCUGACUGACCGCGUCGUCCCUCCCUCGGCCACGCGCCCUGCCGAGGGUCUUCCUCGUCAAGCUCUCCAUCGGCGCGUUCCCCGUCGCCACCUUGGGCGGCUGGCGUAGGAGGGUCGGAGAAGGCGAAGAAGGCGGGUGGCGGCCGUCAAGCCGGAGUACGUGGGCACCGACGCCUUCGUCGCGUAUUGUCGGCCCGCUGCCUCAUCUUCCAGCUCCCCUCCCGGCACCGGGAUGUUCCCUUGGUGCCUUUUGCUCCUCGUACCUGGCCUAGGCGCUCUUUUUGCCCUCCUGCCAUCUUGUUCCACCUCCUGAAGAGAGGGAUAAGAAAAGGAUCAUGGGCAUCUUAUCUCUUUUUAGUUUGUAAGCCUACGGGCACUUGUUAAUUUCUAAAACUUGUAAUCCCCUUGCUCAUGUUUUUUUAUUCCCUAUGAACUGUACCUAUAUGGGAUGUUUUUAAUGAAAAAAGGGUGCUUGCCGGGUUCUUUGUGCGUGAGUGAGGCCCAUGCCAAGGAAUGAAUCCUUGUUAUUUUUAAGAUAAACAUUUUCGCCCGGCAAUAGGCCUUGUCGUCCCCUUGCUUCAGCCGACCGUUCUCACGCUCUUGGCGGAGGCAGGGCGAAGUAGAGUUAGGCCCUUCGUUUAUUUCCUUGCCACCGCGACUACUACCCGGUUCCGACCCAAGGAGUUGGGUACAGGAAAGAGGGGGAGCACGAUGGUCUAGGAGCAAAACAAGGUUUCAUAUGUCCCAACUUCAUACGGAAAUGCACGGCAGAGAAUAAAAGACUUAUGUGAAUCUGCAGCCCCCGGCAGCCUUGGCUUGCCGUGGUUGGAUUCUUGUAUCUGCAGCCCCCGACAACUUUGGCCUGCCGAGGCCGGAGCGCUGACUCGUUCUCUUUCUUCCAAACAGCUCAGCAGAAAUGUCCAAGUACCCUACGAACCAAAGAGGACGGAAAGGAACAGAGAAACGCACACUCGACCUCUAUGCUAGGGGUUAGUUGCUGCUAAGCACUAUCAACCCUAACCGAGAGAGAGACUUAACCUAGCAUGCAUGCUAAAACUUAGGGCGCAAGCGCUUCAUUUAUUUAUGCUCAGGGUCUGCGCCUGGCUUUGUACAGAGGGUUACAUGCCUUGCCGGCAAGGCUUGUACAAAAGGUGGUUUGCCGGGGGGGCGGCAACCACGCCUUAUGGGUAAAACUUGCGAAGAUGUUCAAUAUUCCAGGAAUUGCUCACUGGAAUAGCAUCUUCGGUCUCCAGGCGGACUGCGCCGGGCCUAGUGACUCGUAUUACCCGAUAAGGGCCUUCCCACUUUGGCGUCAACCUGUUGGAAUUCUUGGCCGAUUGAACGGGCCGAAGAACAAGGUCGCCUUCCUCAAAGCUUCGGGCAUGAACUUUGCAGCUAUGGUAGCGACGCAAGGCUUGCUGGUAGCGCGCUGCUCUCACAGCCGCCCGAAGACGAUCUUCCUCGAGGAGCGUUGCAUCAUCUUGCCGCAAUUGCUCUUGCUGAAGCUCGUCAUAAGCGAGCACUCGAGGUGACCGGUAUGUGAGUUCCGUGGGGAGAACUGCUUCUGCCCCGUACACUAGGGCAAAGGGUGUCUGGCCGGUGGCUCGAUUUGGUGUCAUUCUGAUUGACCAAAGAACCGCCGGCAACUCAUCAAUCUAGCGCCUUCCGCUGUUGUGCAGUUUGUCAAAAGUCUUUGUUCUUAGGCCUCGCAGUACUUCAACAUUUGCCCUCUCCGCCUGGCCGUUGCUCCGUGGGUGUGCCACGGAAGCAAAACAGACCCUGCUGCCGAGGUCCUGGAUGUAUUGCAUGAAGGUGUGGCUUGUAAACUACGUGCCGUUAUCGGUGAUGACCCUGUUUGGCACACCAAAACGGCAGACUAGCCCCUUGAAGAACUUGACGGCUAACUAUGCUGUCACCUUCCUCGCUGCCUCCACCUCCGGCCACUUUGUGAACUUGUCGAUUGCAGCAUACAAGUACUCAAAGCCCCCGACAGCGCGGGGGGAAAGGCCUAGUAUGUCGAGCCCCCAGACCGAAGAUGGCCAGGAGAGAGGAAUUGUUUGAAGGGCUUGAGCUGGUUGAUGAAGCUUCUUCGAAUGGAACUGGCACGCUUCACACUUGGUUACUAGUGCCGUUGCAUCCUGGAGGGCAGUGGGCCAGAAGAAACCUUGUCGGAAUGCCUUGCCGGCAAGGGCCCUUGACCCUAUGUGGGAGCCACAUAUGCCUCCAUGUAUUUCUGCCAACAGCUCUAAUCCUUCCUCUCGGGGGAUGCACUUCAAUUUCACACCGUUCGGUCUCUUUCUGUACAGGACGUCGUCGACGAACUGAUACAUGGUAGACCGACGGGCUACUUUCUCCACUUCUUCCUGCUCCUCAAGGAGUUCCCCUGUCUGGAGGAACCGAACGGUAUGUUGUGCCCAUGCCGGAGCCUGGGGCUCGACGGCAAGGACUAAAGGCAUUUCCUCCGCCAUGGGAGCGGCUGACUCUACGGCCAGGGCUUGACACCCUGCCGGAGUCGGUUGCCCCAUGGCAGGCUCAGUGUCCACGGCAGCAUCCUUGCCGGCGGCCCCUGGGAGCUCGGCGGGAAAGUACUUGCCGGGGCCUGACUUCCUCCGCUUGUUCUGCUUUGUUGAUGGUUCAACGGAUGGUUGAGUUAACCGAAGCACAAAAGUACCUGGUUCCACAGGUAGUUUGAAGGCAGCGCGCUUCGACAGGUAAUCGGCGAUGUCGUUCUCCGCUCGGGGAACGUGCUCUGCUUGUAUACCAUCAAAGCGCUCUUCCAGCUUCCUCACUUCAUCUACGUAGGCCUCCAUCAAUGAGCUCUGAUAAUCUUUGUUGACUUGCCUGACGACAAGCUGUGAAUCACCCCUGACGAUGAGCUUCUUAACCCCAAGGUCUGCUGCGAUCCUAAGACCGGCAAGAAAUCCCUCGUAUUCAGUAGUGUUGUUUGUGGACAUCUCCCUGGGAAAGUGCAUCUGGAUUAUAUACUUGAGGUGCUCUCCGGUGGGUGCGACGAUCAGCACACCAACACCGGCGCCUUGCUGCGAGAAAGCCCCGUCAAAGUACAUGAUCAAGUUGCGACUUGCCUCCUUGCUGGAGAGAGUGGUCUCCUGGAUUUCUUCGUCGUGCGUUGAGGUCCAUUCCGCAAUGAACUCCGCCAAGACCCUGCUAUGGAUCAUCAGAGUGCUUUCAAACUUCAAACCAAAGCUCGACAGCUCCAAGGCCCACUCCACAAUUCUCCCGGUUGCGUCUGGGUUAUGCAAUAUCCGUUGCAAUGGGAGGCGGGUGACAACGGUGAUUUCGUGUGCUUGGAAGUAAUGACGCAGCUUCCUCGAGGCCAUAAGGAGGCCGAAGAGCAAUUUCUGCACACCGGAGUACCUUGACAUAGCCCCCUGCAAGAGGGAGCUGACAAAAUAAACUGGGUGCUGCAUCAUCUUCUUCUUUCGCAUCACUUCUUUUGGUUGCGCGGGCCCCUCCCUGAUGGCGUCAGGCUCUGCCGGGGGCCUUGCCUUGCCGGCACCAGCCCUGCCGGGGGGGCCCUGGCUCGCCAUCUGCCAGUCUUGUCGUUGCCACUGCCUCUUCAUCGACCUCCCUCUGUGCCACUAGCGCGGCGCUGACCACUUGAUUGUUGCCGCUAGGUACAGCAGCAAUGGAUCUUGUGGUUUAGGCGCAACUAGUAUCGGCGUAGAGGCGAGGUAUUUCUUCAAAUCCUGUAGCACUGCUUCGGCCUCUGGGGUCCAUUCCAUUGGUCUCGCCUUUUUCAAGAUUUUCAAAAAGGGAAGGGCGCGUUCGGCAGACUUGGAGAUGAAUCUGCUCAUUGCGGCAACGCAGCCAGUGAGCCGACGCACAUCCUUGAUCCGCUUGGGCCCCUCAAUUUGCUCGAUAGCCUUGAUCUUGUCUGGGUUUGCCUCGAUCCCACGCUGUGACACAAAGAACCCGAGAAGUUUGCCGGACGGAACGCCGAAGACACACUUCUCAGGGUUCAACUUGAGGUUGAUCUUACACAGGUUUGCAAACGUCUCUUCUAAGUCUUGCACAAGUGUUGCCCUGUCCUUGGUUUUCACCACUAUGUCAUCCAUAUAUGCUUCCAUAUUUCUAUGUCGCUGGGGCUCAAAACCAAUUUGGACUGCUCUUGCAAACGUUGAGCCAGCACUCUUCAACCUGAAAGGCAUCCGUAAAAAACAAUAUGUACCACAUGGGGUGAUGAAUGCUGUCUUUUCUUCGUCUUCUCUUGUCAUGAAGAUCUGGUGGUAUCCUGAGUAGGCGUCGAGGAAUGAUAACAGAUCACACCCCCGUGGAGUCAACAAUCUGGUCGAUGCGCGGCAACGGGAAAGGGUCCUUGGGACAAGCCUUAUUGAUAUCUGUGUAGUCAAUACACAGCCUCCACUUCCCAUUUGCCUUGCGCGCCACCACCGGGUUGGCCAACCACGUCGGAUGGAGUACUCCUCUCACCAAGCCUGCCGCUUCCAACUUCCUGAUCUCCUCUGUGAUGAACUCUUGCCUUUCCAAAGCCUGCUUCCUGACCUUCUGCUUGACGGGCCGCGCAUGAGGACAGACUGCAAGGUGGUGCUCAAUCACCUCCCUGGGAACGCCAGGGAUGUCGGAUGCUUGCCACGCAAACACAUCGACAUUCGCCCGCGGGAAAGUAACGAGCGUGCCUUCCUAUUUACUGUCAAGGGUGGAGCUUAUGGUGAAAGCCCCUCCCGUGCCAUCCUCCUUGACGGACACCUUCUUGGUCUCUAGCGGUGCAGCUCUGGAUUUCUUGCUCUUGCCGGUGGAGCUCUCUGGCACGUCCUCGACGGUAGCACAACACUCCGAAGAGAUGCGCUUGCCGGAGUGGGUGCGAGACGUCUUGCCGGUCUUCUUCUUCCCUCCCGGGGCUUCAGCGGCAGGAGCAAGUGCCUUGGCGGCAGUUGCUGCAACUGCUUCCCGGUAUAGUAGGUCGGUGCAGAUCAGCGCAUCCUUCUUGUUGCAGGGAAUGGUGAUGAUGGUCAUCGGCCCAGGCAUCUUCAGCGUGUUGUAGGCGUAAUGCGACGCCGCCAUGAACUUGGCUAGUGUCGGGCGGCUGAGGAUCCCAUUGUAGGGCAAGGGGAUCUCGGCUACAUCGAAGACAAUCCUCUCCGUCCUGUAGUUCAACUCGCCUCCAAACGUCACAGGCAGCGUGACCUUACCCUUCGGUUGGCUCCUUCCUGGGUUGACCCCUUGAAACGUGCCCGUCUCCUCGAGGUCCUCAUCAGGAAUUUGCAGCCUCUUGAUCACAAUGGGCGAGAUCAAGUUCAGACCGGCCCCGCCGUCAACUAGCAUCUUUGUCACCUUGAGGUUGCGUAUCGUUGGUGAAACCAACAAUGGCAAACACCCGACCGUAGUUGUGCGAUCAGGGUGGUCCUCGGUGUCAAAGAUGGUAGGCGUGCUGGACCACUUUAGUGGCUUCUGAGCAUCGAAUGAUGGCUCCGAUGCUGUGAUCUCACGCGCCCACUGCUUGAGCUGGCAGUGAGAGGUAUGCAGUGAGGCACCACCGUCGACGCACAUGGCCUCCGUAGCUUUCUGGAACUCAUGCUCGCCGGACUCGUCGUCCUCGUCAUGAUCAUCGUCUUCCUGCUUCUUGUCGCGGCCUCGAGUGGGCCUUUCUUGCUGGUUAUCCUUGCCGCCGCGGCCUCCUUGGCUGCCACGCUUCUUGCCGGAUCCUUUAGCACCAUCCUGACCCUUCUCCUUGUCUCGCCUCUCAUACUCGGUUUUUUGCUUUUCAGCAAGCAGCUCGACUUGUCGGCAGUUCUGGAGGUCGUGGCCCUUGGUGCGGUGGAUCUUGCAAUACUGCUUGUCGGAGCCUCCUGGCUUGUCAGCAGCCGCCAAGGCCCAGCAAGCGGCGCACCUGGAAAUCUCCUUGUCAGGGUCGUCUGCCUUGGCCUUCUUGGCAGCGCCGGUGUCGUCGGAUCCCUCGACGACAAGUACGACCUUGCCCUUGCGUUUCCUGUUGUGACGCCGACUCUUCUUCGUCGGGGCGGCGGUGUCUUUGUCAGUAGAGUCGGUUUCCGCACUGGCGUCCUCGCGGGGGUACUUCCUCCCCUCUUCGGCUCGAGCGCAUCUAUCGGCCAGAACAUAAAGUUCGGCCACAUCCUUGACCUUGUUCAUCGCCAGCUCUUCACGCAUCUUGCGGUUACGCACAUUCUGAUGGAAUGCGCUGAUCACGGCGGCGGGAUGAACAUCUGGGAUGUUGUAUUGCACUCGGCUGAACCUCUGUAUGUACUUGCGCAGGUUUUCACCUUCCUUCUGGGGAAUGAUAUGCAAAUCACUCGCCUGGCCAUGAGCUUGGUGGCCUCCAGUGAAGGCACCAACGAACUCACGACACAGAUCCGACCAAGAAGAAAUGGAAUCCGCCGGCAAGUGCAUCAACCAAGACAUGACAUUGGGUUUCAGGGCCAACGGGAAGUAAUUGGCAAGCACCUUGUCGUCACGAGCUCCAGCGGCUUGCAUCGUGAUGGUGUAGAUGCUGAGGAACUCUGACGGAUGGGUCUUGCCAUUGUACUUCUCGCCGACGUUGGGCUUGAACGUGCGGUGGGACGGCCACUGGAACUGCCGCAGCUCACGGGUAAAGGCUGGGCAACCCACCUCGUAAGGUAGGCCGUCGGAGCCUCCCGGUGUUGGGUGGUCCAUAGCGGGCCCCGCUCGCUUAUCUGACUGGUGGUGUGUGUCGCGCCGGCGCUCGAUGGUGGUUCGAGCGCCUUCAUGGGCUCGCUCCCGAAGAACUUGGCGCUGGUCGCGGUGGGUCCGUGGGUCGGACGACGCUAUGGAAAUGUUAUCGCAAGCGUCAUCACGACGGAUCGACACCUGCGGUGGCUGGCAUGGAGGAGGAGAGUGCACCGUGGCGGCAGCACCCCCGGCCCCUCCCCCACUGGCGUGCGGUGGUUCGACGAAGCGCCGGCCUGAGGGCCCCGCUGGCCAUGGCUCGUCUUUGUUGGCGACGCCGAUGAGGCUCCGGAUGGUGGCUCUCCACUCGUCGAGCUUUUCCCAGCAGGAGGGAAGUCGAGGAGCAACUGCGCGCGCGCCAAAGCUUCUGCUGGCGUGGGUGGCGGCGAAAGCUGCAUGGACCGUGACGCGCUCCGACUUCUAACCACAUUACAAGGAGCUCUAUCACGGCCUGGCGGCCAAGCGCCAUUUUCGCUAGCACUUCGGCGGGCAUGCUAGCCUCCUUCGUCCCGCGAAUGACGCACAAGACUCUUCCCACGGCGGCGUCCGGGGUCACCAACGUGGUGACGCUGCUCGUCGCGCACACCAUGGGAAGAGCGCGUUGUGGGCGCCUGCGUAGGCGUCUUGGAGGUUGCUGCGCUGCCCGUAGGUGGCACGGCGCCACCCCUGGAGGGCCCCGCGCCACCUGCGGGGGGGGCCAGCUCCGUCUUCGGGUUUGGCGACGUGCGGCCCGUCGUCUUGCGCACGAACGACGCCGCUCGCCAGGCUCUGACUGCCAAAGCGAUGUUGGUGCUCGCGGGCUGCGCCUCGGGUCCUGUCCGCGACCGGCCCGCUGCUCGUCCGCACCGGUACGGGUCGUCCGGCUCCGGAUGAACAGAUCACCGUGAUCGUCUUCUUCUUGGGAGCUGAUACGUCUCCAACGUAUCUAUAAUUUUUUAUUGUUCCAUGCUAUUAUAUUAUCCGUUUUGGAUGUUUAAUGGGCUUUACUAUACAAUUUUAUAUUAUUUUUGGACUAACCUAUUAACCCAAGGCCCAGUGCAAAUUGUACUUUUUUUGCCUAUUUUAGUGUUUCGCAGAAAAGAAAUACCAAACGGAGUCCAAACGGAAUGAAACCUUCGGGAGCGUGAUUUUUGGAACAAACGUGAUCCAGGAGACUUGGAGUAGACGUCAAGAAAGAAACAAGGAGGCCACGAGGCAGGGGGCGCGCCCUCCCCCCUCGUGGGCCCCUCGUAGCUCCACCGACCUACUUCUUCCUCCUAUAUAUACCUAAGUACCCCGAAAAAGAAACAUCAUAGAGCACCACGAAAACCUAAUUCCACCGCUGCAACCUUCGAUACCCGUGAGAUCCCAUCUUGGGGCCUUUUCCGGCGCUUCGCCGGAGGGGGAAUCGACCACGGAGGGCUUCUACAUCAACUCCCAAGCCUCUCCGAUGAUGUGUGAGUAGUUUACCAUAGACCUUCGGGUCCAUAGUUAUUGGCUUCUUCUCUCUCUUUGGAUCUCAAUACAAUGUUCUCCUCGAUCUUCUUGGAGACCUAUUCAAUGUAAUUCUUUUGCGGUGUGUUUGUCGAGAUCCGAUGAAUUGUGGGUUUAUGAUCAAGAUUAUCUAUGAACAAUAUUUGAAUCUUCUCUGAAUUCUUUUAUGUAUGAUUGGUUAUCUUUGCAAGUCUCUUCGAAUUAUCAAUUUGGUUUGGCCUACUAGAUUGAUCUUUCUUGCAAUGGGAGAAGUGCUUAGCUUUGGGUUCAAUCUUGCGGUGCUCAAUCCCAGUGACAGUAGGGGAAAGGACACGUAUUGUAUUGUUGCCAUCGAGGAUAAAAAGGUGGGGUUAUAUCAUAUUGCAUGAGUUUAUCCCUCUACAUCAUGUCAUCUUGCUUAAGGUGUUACUCUGUUCUUAUGAACUUAAUACUCUAGAUGCAUGAUGGAUACGGUCGAUGUGUGGAGUAAUAGUAGUAGAUGCAGGAAGGAGUCAGUCUACUUGUCACGGACGUGAUGCCUAUAUACAUGAUCAUGCCUAGAUAUUCUCAUAAUUAUGCUCAAUUCUAUCAAUUGCUCGACAGUAAUUUGUUCACCCACGUAAUACUUAUGCUAUCUUGAGAGAAGCCACUAGUGAAACCUAUGGCCCCAGGGUCUAUUUUCCAUCAUAUAAGUUUCCAAUCUAAUAUUUCCGUCUUACUUUAUUUUGCAAUCUUUACUUUCUAAUAUAUACAACAAAAAUACCAAAAAUAUUUACUUUACUAUCUUUAUCAGAUCUCACUUUUGCAAGUGGCCGUGAAGGGAUUGACAACCCCUUUAUCGCGUUGGUUGCGAGGUUCUUGUUUGUUUGUGUAGGUACGUGGGACUUGCGUGUGGCCUCCUACUGGAUUGAUACCUUGGUUCUCAAAAACUGAGGGAAAUACUUACGCUACUUUGCUGCAUCACCCUUUCCUCUUCAAGGGAAAACCAACGUAUGCUCAAGAGGUAGCAGGAGCCAUGGCGAUGAAGAACUGCUAGGCUACCCGCUAGACCGGAUUUUCACAACUGCGCCCCCUACCUGGCGCGCCAAAGAUGUCGGGGAAACGACGCCUAUGGAAUCACUGGGAUUCCUUCUACGGUUGGCGGGCGCGGGGUUGUGCAAAGAGCGGGUCUGACAGGAAGCACACAGAUCGUUUACCCAGGUUCGGGCCGCGAGGAUGCGUAAAACCCUAGUCCUGCUUUGGUGUAUGUAUUUGAGUGUUCUUGUGUUCUUGAGUAGCUACGGGGUGUAACUUCCCCAAAAGAUCCGAAUCCUUCUCCUGGUCGCCUCGGGGCUCCUUUUAUAGACAAAAGGGGUUGCCACAAUGGCACACAGGAGGUGGAAAGGUGUAAAGUGGAUGAUUCUAUCCUCUGGCACCGUCGGACAAACGCAUUUAAUGCGCUGCCGACGUGCCCCUCUCGCUUUAUUGGGGAUGGCAAGGAAGCUCGUCCCAGCUAUCGCCACCUUGCCUGGCUUCGACACGCGUCCGAGCUGACGAGGCGUCGUGGCGCCACGUUGGCUGGCUGCUGGGCUGGCACGGUGGUGGAGCCUUCACGAAGAUUUGCAUUCCACCACGCAGGUGCUUAUUGAGUCGGUCGUGGAGGCCGCUCGUCGCCACGCAAGUGCUUGCCCGGCUGGUUGAGCUGGCAGCUGCAUGGGGACGGCGGUGGAGUCUUGGCAGACGCGGGCCUUGCUGCUGCCUCGUAGGUGUCUCCGGCAAGGGCCUUUCCGGGGCCCGGGCAAGGGUCUUGCCGCGGCAUUGUGGUCUUCCCCGGCAAGCGUCUUGCCGGGGGUCUCGUGGAUUUCCUCGGCUAGGAUCCCGCCGAGGAUCGUCGUCUUCUGGUCCUCAUGUGAUCUCGUAUGUUCAUGAUCUUGACAAAGAUCUGCAUGCCACCACAGAGGUGCCUCCCGAGCCUUGGUUCCAAUGUGGUCGUUGGCGGCGUUGGAACCCUUGAGCUCAAGGGUGGCUCGCUCUGCUGGUGUUGGGCAAGCUGCCCUGGCAAGGCUCUUGUCGGGGUCGCGGAGGCCGCCCCGGAAAGACCCCUUUGCCCUUUUGUGUUUCUUGGCCUCGGCGUUGCCUCUGGUCGCCUUGUGCCUUCGGCUUCCCUCCUCUUUCCUGCUUAGUGUAGCCGUGGGCGCGGCUUCGACUGCCCGUGCACAAGUAAAGGGGUAAAAAUGAGAGCCCCUACUUUUGUACACCGAUAGGUAUCUUCAUACCUAGUUCAAUCUCGUUACCGGCAAGUCUCUUUACUCGUUCUGUAAUGUAUCAUCACGUAACUAACUCAUUAGUCACAUUUCUUGCAAGGCUUAUCAUGAUGUGCAUUACCGAGAGGGCCCAGAGAUACCUCUCCGAUACUCGGAGCGACAAAUCCUAAUUUCGAUAUAUGCCAACCCAAUAAACACCUUUGGAGACACCUGUAGAGCAUCUUUAUAAUCAUCCAGUUACGUUGUGACGUUUCAUAGCACACAAGGUGUUCCUCCGGUAUUCGGGAGUUGCAUAAUCUCAUAGUCAAAGGAAUAUGUAUAAGUCAUGAAGAAAGCAAUAGCAAUAAAACUUAACGAUCAUUAUGCUAAGCUAACGGAUGGGUCUUGUCCAUCACAUCAUUCUCCUAAUGAUGUGAUCUCGUUCAUCAAAUGACAACACAUGUCUAUGGUCAGGAAACUUUAACCAUCUUUGAUUAACGAGCUAGUCAAGUAGAGGCAUACUAGGGACACUUUGUUUUGUCUAUGUAUUCACACAUGUAUCAAGUUUUCGGUUAAUACAAUUCUUGCAUGAAUAAUAAACAUUUAACAUAAUAUAAGGAAAUAUAAAUAACAACUUUAUUGUUGCCUCUAGGGCAUAUUUCCUUCAGAGGCAAACCUCACCCAUCAAGCUGGUCUUUUGGGUUUAGUUAGGCCUAAGACCUUGUUUGGUUGUGGGCUCCAGUGGACCUGGGCUGGUAGGGGCCUGGCCCAUGUAGUGGCGACCUGGGCUGGACUGCUCGCUGCGCGCUCUAACAAGUGGUAUCAGAGCCUCGUAACUAAUCUCCUAGUAACUGGAGGACUCCGUAUCGUCGGGAAGUGCUCGGCGUCAAGAGCCCAUGUAACAUCUCCAUGACGGGGGAGCCCAUCUCACCCGAUGUGUGAUGGGUAGAAUGUUAGGUUUAGUCCCACAUAGGAAAAUUAAUGUGGUGAAACCAAAAUCGAUGAGUUUGUAUGCACGCUUUAAGUCGAGAGCGUCAGUGGCAGGGUUUCGCAACAAAUUUACAAUGGGAGGUCAUAUAUGAAGACCUAUUUUGAGAAAAAAAAUUGAACCACAAUUGUUUAUAAUAGUUUUAGUAGAAGAAAACCCCACUGCAUAGUGGCCUAAGAAGGUAGUUAUCGAUGAGUUUUUAUGCAGGACUUGGGUCGAGAGCAUCAGUGGCAGGGUUUUCGGGGCAAAAUUCACAAUGGGAGGUCAUAUAUGGAAACCUAUUUUGAGAAAAGUUUGUGAAUGGAAGUUGUUUAUAAUGGUUUGUGUAGAAGAAAAUUACACUGCACGGUGGCUUGAAAAGGUAGUUAUCAACGGGUUUGUAUGCAGGCUUUGGAUCGAGAGCAUUAGUGGCUUGGUUUCAUGGCUCAAAUCACGGUGGGAAGUCAUAUAUGGAGACCUAUUUUGAGAAAAGUUUGUGAAUGAAAGUUGUUUAUAAUUGUUUGUAUACAAGAAAAUUGUACUGCACGGUGGUUUGAAAAGUUAGUUAUCGAAGAGUUUGUAUGCAGGCUUUGGGUCGAGAGUGUCAGUAGCAUGGGUUCCAUGGCAAAAUUCACAAUGGGAUGUCAUAUAUCGAGACAUAUUUUGAAAAAAGUUUGUGAAUCAAAGUUGUUUAUAAUGGUUUGGGUAGAAAAAAUCCACUGCAUGGUGGCUUGAAAACUUAGUUAUCGAUGAGUUUGUAUGUAGGCUUUGGGUUAAGAGCGUCAGUGGCAGGGUUUUCGUGGCAAAAUUUACAAUGGGAGGUCAUAUAUCGAGACCCCUUUUGAGAAAGGUUUAUGAAUCAAAGUUGUUUAUAUUGGUUUGGGUACAAGAAAAUUUCACUGCACGAUGACUUGAAAAGGUAGUUGUCGAUGAGUUUGUAUGCAGGCUUUGGGUCAAGAGCGUCAGUGGCAGGGUUUCGUGGCAAAAUUAAAAAGUUCGUGAAUUUGGGGAAAAAAGUUCAUGAAAUUUUAAAAAGUUCAUCAAUUUUUUAAAAAGUUCACGAAUUCAAAAAAACACUGCUGAUGAAAUUUGAAAAAAGUUCAAAAUGUUUGAAGGAAAGUUAGCUAGUUUAAAAAUAGUUCACAGCCUAAAAAUUCAUGAAGUUGAAAAAGUUCACUAAUUUUGAGAAGUUGACGAUUUAGAAAAGGAAAAAACUUCAUGAAAGUUAAAAAUUAGAAAAAAGAAAAAACAAACCAAACCUGCCUGCAUAUUGUUUGCCCUAGUAUAGGUAUCAAAGGCUGAAGUUGAUUGCAGGACGAACAGGAGAUCUCAGCUGUCUGUGAACAUGAUCGGACGGAUGACAACAUCAAGUCUGAGCCGUGACGUAGGCAGCCCCAUUUUGCUGUUUAUUAAUGUGUGCAUACAGCUGGCCAAAAUUUACAGAAGGCGAUUUGUAGGGAUUCGUUAGCAAGCUAGUUGUCCCUGCAACUUGCAGGCCUUGCUGCGUUACUAGAUGCCUCGAGUAAAAAAAAGAAAAAAAAAAGCAAGCACACCAUGUUGGAGUGGUAGUAUGUUGAAACAAGACCGAUUUGUUUGUUCAUAAAUAGUUUGGAUUGCUUACCACAUGUCUCACGUGGUGACCACAAUGUCUAGGAAGCAGAAUAUAAAGAGAUCCGGUUUGCCUUGAUUAGGCGAUGUGGUGCUAAAACUCAAUCAAUGCAUGUACGUCGAUGGACUAAUUGAUGAACACAAACGAUCUUCAUUGUGCAGUGCUAGCAAGGGAACCACUAGCAAUCAGACUACUGAUGGCUAGCUUCUUAUCAGACUAGUCUUGGAAGAGAGCUAGCUCAUCGCCAGCAAAGCAGUACUUGAUGAAGACCUUCCAGGCUUGCACCCACAUGAUUAAUGAGGACACUAUUCAACUUAUUUUGAUAGGAAACGGUUUUGCUAAUCCUUCAAGUUAAUUUUAUAUGAAAACGAUUUUGCUAAUUCAAGUUAUUUUGAUAAUAAGAACGGUUUUGCUAAUUCAAAGUCGUCAGUGUCGCCGCGCUUGGCAAAGGUUCCUGGAUCUUAAGAGGGAGAAAACCGAUUUUGAUAAGAGGGAUUGUAAACACAAAGGAGAGAGUGACACAGAAAUUAGUCGUCCCCAAUUUCCUUGGCGACAUUUGAAACACAGUUUUUGAUAUCAAAAUAACUUGGAUAGCAUUCAUAUUGAUGAACAUGAAGUUGCACAGUCGUGCCAAAACUAACUUUUAUUGUUUAUUGAAAUUCACCAUAUCUUCCAAGCAUGGCAUUUUGGCACCUCGCUUAAUCCCUUAGGAUGCGCAGCAGCAAUUACCCUUUUCACAGUAGCUGUUGUCGAAACUAUAGCCAGACCAUUCGCAUGAAACCUUACACAAGGUAACAUUGUAUCCUAUCGGGUUCUCGCAUAACCGGUCAGGUUUGCACACAUCAAUCAAUGCAGUUGUACCUACGCCGAAAGUAGUAUUGCAUUCCAUUUCGGAUUAGUAAUGUAGUAUAAAUUACAUGAGUUACUCAAGAAUGUCUAAAAAACUAUGGUCUGCGUAUAUUUAUACAAAAUUUGACUGGUCUAAACAAAUGAGUGUACCUUUGUUUCUCCCAGUUGCCUCGCAUGGAAACAAAGUGGUAGACAUCAGAAGAAUUAGCAAGCACAGGGCAUUUGUGUUGUUCUUGAUAAGCGCCAUCAGAAGUGUGGGUGCCUAUUUUUCUUUUCCUCCCUUGCAAGAUAUUCCUUGAGGUUGAUGUUGCUCGUUCUAUUUGAGUCCUUAUUGUGGUAUUAUAUAGAGGCACUAUCUAAUCUCGGAGCAUCUUCAUUUCAGAAAGAAAAUGAUGGAGGAUCCAAUGUUAGUGUUGUCAUCCUUUGUAUCUAUAUGCAUAGUCAAACUACUAUUAUAAGAGUUACUGGAAUAUACCCAAAUAUAUCCUGUCAACAACUUGUUAUUAAAUGCCUACUUGUUCUUUAUAUACCAAGACAUUAAUACUAUCAUAAAAGUUAUUGGAAUAUAUAUACCAAAAUAUAGGUUGUCGACAACUAGCUAUUAAAUGCCUCUUUGUUUUUGGUAUAUACCAAGACAUUAAUACUAGGACCCCAUUAGUUGGGGGACAUUAGCUGGGGGUUGCUUCGAGCGAAAUCGUUGGAGUUGGCUCGAUUGAAAGAACCAAUUCCCUGGCGACUUUUGCGAGUGUGGCCCCAGGCCCAAAAAAAGUGGCCAACCACAACCCAUUCACCACCAGUGUAAAAUCAGUUUUAGCCUAAAACAAAAACAGAAAAUUCACAAGUUUCUAUAUUAAUAAAAGAAGUGUUGACCCAAAAUAAUAAUGUUGGCCCAUUAACAAAUUUGACAUGCUUUAUAUUUUCAUUUUCAAAAACCAAUAGGAAUAACACUGGAAGUUGCCAUCAUCGAAAACAAAAAAUUGCCAUGCUCUCAAUAAUAAAAUGAAUUGGGAAAUUCAUAAAAAAGAAAAUUAGAAUAAAAGUGGAUUUGAAAGAAAUCAUAGAUUUGAAAAAAAUGUUUAGUUUUUUAAAGAAUUCAUCGAUUUUGAAAGAAACAUAAUUUUUUAAACUGCAUCACUGUAAUAAAUAAGUUCAUGAAUUUGGAAAAAAGCUCUAACAUUUGAAAAAAUUCAUGCAUUUUAAAAAGUUCAUAGAUUUGGAAAAAAAUCAUGAAUUUAAUAAAUUGAAGGGUUUUGGAAAAAAGCUUCAUAAAUUUGGAAAAACAUGAAUUUGAUUUUUUUGUGAAUUUCAAAAUAGUUUGCUCAUUUGAAAAAAAAGAUCUAAAUAGAAAAGAAAAACUGAAUGAAAACCGGUCCAAAGGGAUAAAAAGGGAAAACCUCCCGGAAGCAUCCAAACGCUUCCUAAAACAUGACCAGAAAGCUUCUCAGAGUUUCGCAAAACUAGGGAAGGGAGUGUCCCGCUCGCGCCUUAUACGCAUAGGCCCACUAAAUCGAACACAUACAGGGACUGUGCGCAUUGUAAUAGUAACACUAUAAACGGCGCUACAAGCGCAAAAUAGGAAUUGGGCACCGAAGUAGACGAUGACCCCAUUUAUUUCUGAUCGAAGCCCCCCUACUAACUAAUUAGCCCAGAACAUCUAAUGGGCCUGGCCCAUGGCAUGUGGUGGCAUAACCAGCGUUGUCGAGCGCCGUUGUAUCUCGCCUCAUUGUCGCUACAAGUGAGGCUGCCCAAGUACCUUCAUGCAGGUUAAUUUCUUUUUUCUUCUGUUUUUUAUUCUUUUCUCUUUUUAAUAUUUAUAAAAAUAUUCAAUAUAUAUAUAUAUAUAUAUAUAUAUAUAUAUAUAUAUAUUUCAAAACAUAAAUAUAUAUAUUUCAAAAACAACAAAACUGAUAAAAAAUACGUUGUUUAAAAAAUUUGUUGGUGUAAUUUUUAAAAACUAUUGAUAGCAUUUAAAAAAAUGUCUGUGGCAUUUAAGGUUGAUGCUCCUCGUUUUAUUUGACUCCUUAUUGUGGUAUUAUAUAGAGGCACUAUCAAAUCUCGGAGAGUCUCAAUUUCAGAAAGAAAAUAUUGGAGAACCCAAUGUAGUUUUUUCAUCCUUUAUAUCUAUAUGCAUGGUCAACUCAUGUCAAUUAAUACUAUCAUAACAGUUAUUGGAAUGUACUAGGCACAACAUGGAGGUUCGAGGCCACCAUCAAAGUCGGUGAAGUUUGCGCGCUGCCGUUGUGGUGGCUAUUGCGGUGGCGACAAAGACAACAACAGCGCCUUGACAGAAACUCAGGAAGGAGCCUCUAGGAGGAGCGGCUAGGGUUUCAUCGGGCAGGAACAAGAGGAUACGCGUGGGAUUUCUGCCGGCUACCAUUUUUCUUGCCUACCUUCAUCGUUAUUUAGGAAUCUAUCAUGGGAGGCACCAGCUGUUAAUUUUUUUUAGGAAUACCAACUUUUCUUUAGAACAUUGAGGCUGUUAAAUAUAAUUGGAGAGAAAAAAAUAAGCUUCAAUGGGCCAUAACGCAAGUGGAGGGCUAGGCAUGCUCGCUGGGCCAUAACACGAUCUGGGGCCCAGGCACGGGAGAACCAUCCACGCGAAGAAACGUCUUGAGGAUUGUGCGCAACGAGGUGGCACUGAUUAUAUUAAAAAGAAAACUCUAAAUUAUUAUUAUUAUUCUUUGAACAUAAGAAAACUUUAUUGAUGAUCAGGUGCAUUUUACAGAAAGAAGCAUGAAGGGACUCAUGCUAGAACCAGAAACUAUGUCCUUGCCAGGACAUUGACCUUGAUCUGCUUGUGUACAUAAGCAACUCUAAAUUAUUACCAACACCAAGUCUAGCUGGGCUCGCCGCGCCAUAAAGUACGAAAAGUGGUGGUUGAUGGUUCGGUUCUUGAUAGGACUAAUGAUUUUUCGGGCCAAGUCAAUACGUUUUUUAUAUAAACUAGAACAAUGCCUCUGUGUUGCAACGGGAUAUAAAUACUCUAGUACGUUACCUUGUGACGAAUGAGUGGUGGGAAAAAAGGUGAAAUGAAAACCUUACAUUCUUUUUAAGUAGUAAAGAUAAUAGACCCCACAAAAAAAACUUCUUACGUAUAUAGGAUAAGUACUUCCUCCAUCUCAAAAUUCUUGUCUUAGAUUUGUAUCGAUACAAAUGUAUCUAGUCAUGUUUUUGUGUUAGAUACAUCCGUGUCGAGCUCAGGUGAGGAGGUGAUCCGUCAUUCUUUUCUUAGAUGGUGCAUUGCAACGGGAUAUAAAUAUUCUAGUACGUUACCUUGUGACGAAUGGGUGGUGGGAAGAAAGGUGAAACGGUAACCUUACGUUCUUUUUAAGUAGUAGAGAUAAUAGACCCCGCAAGAUAAGUACUUUCUCCAUCCCAAAAUUCUUGUCUUAGAUUUGUAUCGAUACAAAUUUAUCUAGUCAUGUUUUAGUGUUAGAUACAUCCGCGUCGCGCUCGGGUCAGGAGGUGAUCCGUUAUUCUGUUCUUAGGCGGCUGCUAUGGCAGUGCCAGAGGCAGGUGACACGUGUUGGUGUCAAGCUCAGAGAUGUUCUGCUAUCUUUUCAGUUUUGUCAUGUCGGUUUUUAUGUGACUUGUAUUUUAUUCUUUAUGAUAUGAAUGAGACACAUAUUACCAUGCAAAAAAAAGAUACAUCCGUACCUAAACAAAUCUAAGACAAGAAUUUUAGAACGAAAGUAAUACGUAAUAGCAGAUUAAUUCCACAUGAACUUCUUUCGUCAUACACUUGGCAAGUUGGUGAGAUUGGACUGCCUCCCGUGUCGCUCCAGGGCGACACCAGGGGCGAAGAACCCUAGCGCUCGAAGCCGCCUCUGCUCUUCCCUCCUCGCUGCUGUCGCCAGCGACCGUGCGGCGGCGGCGGGACUUCCCCGUCGCUGGGAUCUUCCUCCCCGUACAUCCCCUCUCCUCCCCAACUCCGGUCCGCCAUCGCUGCCCCAUCCUCCAACGUAGCCAUCACGGAUCCAGCGGGCUGGUCAAUGGAUCCGGGCAUCCCUAGAAUGGAUCUCGCCUCUUCGGUGGUCGUUGCUACUGCUUAGUCCCUGAGCACUGGCUGGGGUGUCCUGCGCCGCCGCAUGUUGGUUCUUCACCCCAUGGUGUGGUGGGCAUGGCGAGAGAACUGGAUGCCUUCCAUCAGCCGGGGCUAGGACCUGGGAGGCACGCUCUUCUCACGAGUAAAUUGCAAAAAAUCACCACAUUUGGGGCUUCAUCUGUGAAAAACCACCAGGUCGUUAAUCAUUUACAAAAAUCACCGCGCAUUCAGGAAACCUUUUGCAAAAAGCACUGAACAGGUGAUUUAGCCCAUUUAAUCACUUUCUGACAUGUGGGGCUGGACUGUAAGGAGCUGACUUGGCAAAAUAAUCACACACAGACCCCUAGUAGAUUUUAAAAAAAGCAAUCAGCCCCCUGGACCAUGCCCGGCAGAGCCCGGCUCCCGUCGCCGCCACCAGAAGACGCCCGCCGACCGGGCGGUCGCGGAGACGAGGAGGAGUCUGUGUGGCAGCGGGUGGGCACACCGGCCAGCGGCCAUCUCCGCAACCACGAGGGCCAGCAGCGCACCGUCGUCAUCGGGGAGCCGUAGCUCCUGUGCAGCGUCCACGGCGUGGACUGCGCAGAGGCGGCCGCCGGGAGCUCGGCCUUCAAGCCACGGCGGCGCCCGCAGGGAUGCUGUGGCCGCGCCUCGGUCUUCUACCAGGGAAGCCCAGCGCCGCUCGACGCCGUGGAUGCGGGCCAACCUCCAUGCGCUUCGGUGCCUCCUCCCCUCCUCCUACAUCCCACUCUGCCCUUGCUCGCGCAGCCGCAGCGAAGCGUCCACGCCCGCAGGAGAGCCCCGCAGCCCCGUGCGCACGCGCCACCGAGCCUCGCGCCGCUCCGACCGGACUUCCCCGCAGCUCACCGCCGCCAGUUCACCGAGCACCACCGCAGCCCCCUCUCCCUCUCCUUCCUCCCCUGUCUCUCACGCAGCUCCCUCUCUCNNNNNNNNNNNNNNNNNNNNNNNNNNNNNNNNNNNNNNNNNNNNNNNNNNNNNNNNNNNNNNNNNNNNNNNNNNNNNNNNNNNNNNNNNNNNNNNNNNNNNNNNNNNNNNNNNNNNNNNNNNNNNNNNNNNNNNNNNNNNNNNNNNNNNNNNNNNNNNNNNNNNNNNNNNNNNNNNNNNNNNNNNNNNNNNNNNNNNNNNNNNNNNNNNNNNNNNNNNNNNNNNNNNNNNNNNNNNNNNNNNNNNNNNNNNNNNNNNNNNNNNNNNNNNNNNNNNNNNNNNNNNNNNNNNNNNNNNNNNNNNNNNNNNNNNNNNNNNNNNNNNNNNNNNNNNNNNNNNNNNNNNNNNNNNNNNNNNNNNNNNNNNNNNNNNNNCCAGGACGCUGGCAAAAGCCGGAUCCGCCGCCGGCCAUUAGCCGCAACCGCCGGGAACAAGCUCCCCUGUAAACGCCAGUUAUGAGCUCGUACAGGCGCGCAGCGCCACGACCAUUCCCGGCGAGGGUGGAGCGAGGAAGGAGAUGCCCUCCGUGGGGGAGGGGGAGGGGCUUGAUUGCUUUUUUUAGAUCCAGGAAGGUAUAUGUCAAUUUGUUACCAAAUCAACUCCUUAUAUUCCGGCCCCACUUGUCAGAAAGUGGUUAAACGGGCUAAUUCACUUGAUCAGUGCUUUUUGCAAAAGGUUUACUGAAUGUGCGGUGAUUUUUGCAAAUGAUUAGCGACCUGGUGGUUUUCCGCAGAUGAAGCCCCAAAUGUGGUGGUUUUUUGCAAUUCACUCCUCCCCUCACACCCAACACUAGUACUUGGUGGAUGGCCGUGCAUCUAAUGGCCAUGGCAUCGGUUGGUCGUUUCAGGAUCCAGGCACAUGUCCAUAGAUCCUGUAGGCCGACAGCACAGCCUCUCUCGCGGGCACACACGCUCGGGCGAGGGCUCGUCUGUCGGUGGGCUAGGUCGUGGUGGAGCUCCCGUCCAUGAUGGUGGCUUGCCCCGAUAUGGUUCUGCCAGAUCUUGGACCUGAGACUCUUCAUAUGACAAGUCAUCUUUCUACUGGAUGUUGAACUCUUGGAUUUGGUCGCUGACGAGUUCCGGUCUUCCCUGUCAGAAAUCUACAUGGAUUGGCAUAUCUUGCCCCUGGAUAUCUAGAUCGAAAAGGCUUCGGUCGCGCGCGCUCAUAUUUUCAGCCAACACGGCCUUAAGAGUGCGCGGCGCGAAGCUUCGCUUUCUUUUGAGUGUCAUGGGACAUGUCUAAGUCAAGAUUCUCAAGGCAUUGAUAGAGGUGGGGUAAGUCAUGACGGCUGCGAUUGGAGGUCUUGAAGCUUCGGUGGAAGGGUAUUUUGAAUGCGAUGAAGAUUGUGUGCCAGGUGUGUGGUGACUUGUUUCAGCGGCCUCGGCAAGCGGGGGCAGCAACACUGGAGGAUUGCAUUUUUUAUGGUGCUCCUCGAGUAUCGAGUAUUGAUUCUCAGGGUGAAAACCCAAGGUCUGGCCUUUAUUGUUUGUACCUGGCAAUGGCCUUGUUGAAGGCAUUGUUUUUGAAUGAACUCGAACUUUCUCCGGGGUGAAAACCCAAGGUUUCAAUCGGAGGGUGCAGGAGGCAUUGUUUUCUUCUUGGACGCGUUGUUUUUGAAGAACCUUUUUUGUAUUCCGGGUGUUGUCUUUGGUGAUGGUUAGAGUGCUGCUGCUAGUGAUUGUUCACCGUGGCGGGGUCUUUUUUUUCUUUCUUCUGUUUUUAUUUUUAUUUUUUUGGUUGUGUGUAUCCUUGAUUUUUUGGACAUCUUAUCGAUAGAGAGGACGGAUGUAAUUGAUAUCUUUACGAUAUUAAUAUAUUCCUUUUAUGAAAAAAAAUACACCUGACAGGUACGCAUGUGUUCGCGACCGAUCACAUGUGGUCCAGCGGCCAGCCACGGCCGAGCGAGCCGCGGGCCGCCCUCGUCACUGACGGCGAGGCUACUAGCGAAUAAAGUAAUUAAGCAUUAAGCAUUAUGGCCUUGGUCUUGGAAGAGAGUUAGCUCAUCGCCAGCAAGGAGGUGCAGGAGGAUCUUCCAGGCCUCCUGCACCCGCAUGAUCAAUGAGCAUUAUUAAGUUAUUAUUUUGAUAUGAAACGCUUUUGCUAAUUCAACAUAUUUUGAUAUGAAAACUGUUCUGCUAAUUCAUGUUAUUUUGAAAUUAAAAACAGUUUUGCUAAUUCAAAGUUGUCGGUGUGGCCGCGCUUGGCAAAGGGGACUUGGAUCUUGAGAGCGAGAAAACCGAUUUUGGUAAGGAGAGAGUGACACGAAUUAGUCAUCCCUUGUUUCCUUGGUGACUUUGAAACACGGUUUUUGAUAUCAAAAUAACUUGGAUAGCAUCUAUAUUGAUGAAAUCAUGAAGUUGCACAGUCAUGUCAAAACUAACUUUUAUUGUUUAUUGAACUUCACCAUAUCUUCCAAGCAUGGCGUUUUGGCACAUCCUUUAAUUCCCUAGGAUGCGCAGCAGCAUUUGCCCUUCUCACAAUAGCUGUUGUAGAAACUGUAGCCAGACCAUUCGCAUGAAACCUUACACAAGGUAACAUUGUAUCCUAUCGGGUUCUCGCAUAACCGUUCAGGUUUGCACACAUCAAUCAAUGCAGUUGUACCU